GCUAGCUGGCUUACCAUAAGAUCACUGCUGAGUUCUCUAUAAAUACUUGCUACCCCUGUCACUACAAAUACAUAAAACCUUCUCUAACCUAAUUAUUUCAUAGCAUUAGUUUUCACUAGCCAUGGAAAUGUUCACAAAGCAACUCACCCAUAUUGAUCUUGGGAGAGGAUUGGAGCUACCACAGUACAAUUCUAACCUAAAACCCCUGCAACAUAUUCAAGGGACCUUAGAAUUGUCCACCAUAGUUGAGUCAGCUGCUGGAACCCGUUUACCGGACCCGGUGACAAUUCACUGCUCAGCCAUAAGAGGAAGCCUUGUAUUUAAAACAGGUUGGUAUGCUAUUGCUCGCGAUAUUGGCCUCAAAAGUGGAGACACUGUGACUUUCUAUCAGGAGGUUAACGGAGGAGCACAGUUCAAAUUGAAAGUGAGAAAUUUUCGUUAAAGUAAAGAAGAAAUGUGAUGGAAACAGUGUCUUCCAUACAUGCAUGAACGUCCGAGUGCACGUCCUUCUGUUUCUUCUUUGUUCUAUCUAUCUUCGUGUCUAGUUUCUUUCCGGUGUCAGCAGUUGAGAAAACUUUUCUCAAAAUUAUCUCCUGCAAUCUUCGUGUCUAGUUUUUUCAAUUCCUUGCAUGUGUGAGGAAAUUAUGAAUAAUUAAUUUCUUCUUUAGAUGAAAGAGUUUGUCUGUGAUUGUAAUAUGUAUUUUGAGCUUUAAUUUUGUGAUUUUUUGGUAAUAAAAUUAUUAUGUGUUGUGAAUUACUUUAAAAACUUCAAUGAGAUGUGAUUUGAUUCAUCAGCUAAUUAAACUGAAAUUAUAUGAGAAGCAAAUCAUUUUUCAGAGUAAUUUAAUUAUGUUUUUCCAAAAGAAGAAGAAAUAGUGCAUGAGGUAGUGUUAUUGAAGCUUAACUCUCAACCAAUUUAAUUUUGAAUGAUGGAAUCAUUAAAAAAUAUUAAUAAAAAAGCUUGCAAAACCACAAAAAAAUAGCAAAAAAAAAAAAGAAUGAAGAUAAAAUUUGAGAGAAAAAACCUAAGGAGGAUGAAAUUAUAAAAAAAAUAAAAAUGAUUCAAAAAAAAUAAAUAGCAAUUAAAAGAACGAGGACAAAAUUUGAAAGAUUAAAAAUCAUAAGCGGUGAAAUUGAAAAAUAUUUGUAAUUUGAUAAAUUAUUUAAAAAAUGGUAGAGGGUGAUAUUAAAAAAAAAACUAUAGAGGGCUAACCCAACAGAACAAAAAAAAAACAAAAAAAAAAAAGAAGAUAAAAUAAGAAAACAUCAGCUUUAAAAAAAAGAGAAAAAAAAACCUACAAACUCGAGUAAAUCUUCUAAACAUGGUCUAAUCUCUAAAACUAAAUGAAGAAGAUAAGAUGAGAAGCCCAAGCUCGACGCUAGGGGGCAUAACGAAUCAUUUUGCAAGUCAAUCCUAAGGUCUAGAAACACAUGGACCAAAAGGAGGUCUGGUAGCAAGCACUAGUGAUCCUUAGUCGUGAAAUCCCUUAAACACUUUUUUAACCUACAAAUAUCAUUUUUCUUCGUAACCAAAAGCCGAAGCUAAAGUUACAUGCCCAAUCAAGCUCUUUCUAAUAAAAGGCAGGCAAUUUGGAUCGGUAAGCAAUUUUUUCCAAUGUGAAACAAACCGCCUAUUUUUUAUACAAAUAAAACAAAUGCUUUGAAGACUACUUCUCUAAAACCAUCAAAUUAAAACUUGAACCCUACUAACCAACAAAACACGAAACAAAAGGUCACUUCAUUUUUUUUCCCAAAACAACAAAACAAAGAUUUUCAAUAAAAAUGAAAACCUAUCCAUAGGAAUCGCUUGAAUUCUUUUUGGAAUAAGUUUGCUUGAAACUAAUGUCAAAAUGAUUUUUGUGUUUGGAAUGGCUUUGAAAUUCCAGAAAUUUUCCUAUAAAAAUAAUUCAUUAUAAAUAAUCAAAUCUUAUUUCGUAUAGCAUCGUCCCUAAAAAAAACUUGAAACUAAACACCUGUGGACAUGAUCAGUUUGGGGGGCAAUCCAAGAAACAUGAUAGGGUUGGCUUCACGAUUCCCUUUCUAAGAAAAUAGAGAAUGUGAAGCAAAACUGAUAAUCUUUGAGAUAAAGGUUUUUAGGCUAAGAGGUAUGCUGAUAUCAUCUGAGAAUUGCCCUUCCUAAAGGUUAAGAUUGUUGCUUCCUAAUUUUUUACCCCAUUUUUGAAGUAUUUCAAGAAAAACAAAAAAUAGCAAAAAAACCUAAAAAAUAUGUUAUUGAUGUCCUUGCGCCACCUACAACGUUUUUUUCUAUGUGUUUAGUUGUUAACGUGCUUUUUAAAUCGACGUUGAUGUCGCUCUUUUUCAAAAAAAUACAAAAUACAAAAAUAAGAAAAAUCAAAAUCUGCAAGUGACCAAAUAUGAAAAGAAUAAAGUUGAGGGAUCAAUUUGUUUUAAGGAUUGCUUGGUCACCAAGUUUGCUUGGAGACCAAGAAAUUAAAAAUAACAAACUUUUUUUUUUAUCUAAAAGUAAGUGGUGGUUACACACAUAUGGAGGAGGCAAAAAUUAAGGAGAAACUUGAGGGAAACCAAAACAAUUCACACAUACUCUCCAACACCUACACGACACAAAAAAAAAACUCUAAACCUAUUAUACCCAGACCAGCCACCAGCCAGACAAGAGGUAAAGAAAAAGUAAAAAACUUGCCAAAGAUGACCAUAGGUCCCCUAUCCAGCCUUGGAUCAUCCACCAUUGUCAAUGACCUUAGCUAGACACAACAACCACUAAACUAACCACCAUCUUCCCCAACAACCUGCAUCCAUUCUAGUCGACCAACACCUUUAAGCCACCACACCUUCGGUCGUAACCUACACCCACAACCUUCUAUCCCACCGAGAACAAGAACAGCCAUUUGUCCUAAAAUCUCCUAUAACCAGCCACCCUCACUCUAUACCAACAGCAGCCGCCCCCCACAAACCAAUUUCAACCUUUCCUUCUCCUUCUCCUUCUCCAUAGAUUCCAGUCGUGGCCAACACAACAUCUCUCAUAACCCACUCUCUCCUAUCGAAUCAACCACCCAUAAACUCACCCAACUAACCCAGCUCCACCAUCAGCCACGACUAGCCUUCCAAUCGACAGCCUUGUGUCCCUCUCUCAACCUCAACACCACCAAUGGUGGUGGGUUUCCCCAAGUUAGCCACCAAUCCACCCUCAAACUUCACAAAACAGCUCUGAAGCACGUCUCAUCUCCUGUCUGUAGCCUUAAUCUUUCAAUAUGAAAAACAAUUAGGAGGGUAGUAGUGGGUUGGUUUGAGGUUGGGGAGGAGGAUUGUGCAAUCUAUUCAGAUUUUUCGAAAGAAAACACAUGUUCAUGAAAAUGGACAUGACGAGAGACUUAAAUGUGUUGGGAUGCAAUGUCAAAACAGUAACCUAGGUGAGAUGAACUAUAACCAAAAAACACACAUUGAGAGGAACAAAAAUCAAAUUUAUGAUUAUGAUAGGGGCACAUAAACGCAAAGCAGAGACAUCCAAAAAUACACAAAAAAUAAUAAUCCAUAUACCAUUGAAAUAGACAAUCAAAAGGAGAUUUAUUUGUGAGGACAAGAGUAGGCAUGCGAUUGAUAAAAUAAAUAGAAGUUUCAAAAGCUUAAUUCCAAAAUCUUAAUGGUGCUUUACACUAUCCUAGAAGAGUAAGUCUAGUUUCCAUAAUAUGCCUAUGACGACGUUCUAUUGUGCCAUUUUGUUCAUGAGUGUGAGGACAAAUCAGACGGUGAUGAAUACCAAUGGUCUGAAAGAAAAUGGAUAAUUUUUGUAUUCACCGCCCCAAUCAAUUUGAACAGAUUUAAUUUUUAGCGAAAAUUGACGCUCAAUGAGAGUCUGAAAUUGAUGAAAAACAAAGUAAACAUCAGACUUGGCAACGAGAGGGUAAUACCAUAUAUAUUUUAUGUAUGCUGAUUAGUACUUAAAAGUGCAUUUUUAUCAAGGUUGUAUAUCAUCAUAUUGCACUUAAAGUAUCAUUAAAUUCCCCAACUUAAGCAUGUUUUAUAAUAACAAGUCUGAUAAUAUAAGAUAUCUUUAAUUUAUGGUAAAUGCUCAUUUCAAAUACAGGCAUGUUUCACAAUUCAAAGGAUUGAUUGAUUUGUUUAACUAUUGAAAUUGAGAAGACAAAGAGAGGGCUAAGCUUAAAGAAGAGAUGCUGGUUCAAUUCAAACUGAAACACCAUUUGGUUAUUGGAUCAUAACUGGAGCUGUAGAACUUGGAUCUAGGUCUGGUUUAUAUGGAUGGAAAGCUAAGACACAUGCCUAAAACUUUUAUGAAGAGUCCAAGAUUCAAAACAGCCGUUUUGAAGUUCAAAUUGUAGCAACAAAAGAGAAGUCGGAAUCUAUCCUGUAGCCUAGACACUGGUUAGUGUUCAGCCCAUAUCUCGAGUUCUAGAAGUCUAAAUGAACUCAUUCUUAUUUUGUUGGAAAGCUGAAACAAAUGCCCAGAACUUUGAUGAAGAUUAUCUAUUCAAAUUAUGACGUUAGCAAUGAUGUUUUGUUCAGACAAGAAGAUAAUGGUUGUCACCAAGUCAAGAGGUGGCCACCCACUCAAUAAUUAGUCAUCAAAUCAAUAGUUCCGAAUUUUUGCCUAUAAAAGGAGACAUUUGCCAUACAUUUAGACAUCUUGGUGUUUAGAUCAAGAUCACUCUCUCUCUUUGUAUUUUGUAAUGUUCAAUUUUUAUUUUAUGUUAUAUUAAUCUCUUGUUUAUGCUUUUCAUUUCCUUUACUAUACUUAGUUAACUUAUAUCAUGUUUAUGUUCUUAUAUUGUUUAUUUAUGUUUUUUUUCUUCAUUAUGUUUAGCUAAGUUAAUUUUAUCAAGGUGAAAAGGGUACACUAAUGGUGUAAGAAUAAGUAUAAUAUAAACUCAACAUGGACUUUAAUGUUUGAUACUAACAUGUUUUGUAUUUGUUAUCUUACUCAUUCUUAAUACCUUGCUUGUUAAAUGGUUAAUCUAGAUUUGUGUUGUACAACCCUUGGUACAACAAAUACUUGGCACUUUCAUAGCCUACUAUAUGGUAUAACCAACACUUGUGCUAUGAAAGGAACUUGAUUUGUUGUUAACAUAAAUUACACCAUGAAUACCUGAUCACAUUUACAAGUAUUGGCAUUACUUAAAUAAGAUAAUUAAUAUAAUCAUGUUAAUAAUUUAUAAUCCGAUUGGAACCUCCUUUGUGUGUGGUUUCUAGUUGAGUACUAAAAGGAGUUUAUACUAUACUUAUUUGAAAUACCAUUAGUGGAUCCUCUAACCUUGACAAUUGUUUUAUCUUUGAUUAAUAAUCACAUCAACAUCACAUCUCAAAAGUUCUCUUCAACUCCUUUUCAUUUGUUGUGUAUAAUUUUAUAUAGUUCACCUCCCUGUGGUUCGACCCCGAUCUUGUCGAGUUAUUUAUUACUUCGACACUCCUGCACUUGGGAUAAAACAUCAAUCUUUUGAUCGUGUCAUAUGCAUCAACAGAGAUAACACAAUAACAAAAACCAUCAGAUGAAAAAAAGGGAGCAAGACCUCAAACAUCACGUAGGUCCUAAAGACAAACGCGACGACUUUCCUAAUGGACAAUUUGACUUUGAAAAUUAAGACGUUUGUUAUUACAAGUAAUCUUAUUUUGUGAAACUAGAAAUUUGAAAAUACAAGAAGUAGGAUGACCUAGUCGACGAUGUCAUAGAUCAGCAAAAGCAUACAUGCAAGGAGAUCAAUAAGCUUGAGGAACUGACAUGACAAAAGACCUGGUCAAAGCAUAGAGACCAUCUCUACUCUGACCGGAAAGGGGUACUACCUUAGUGUUUAGAUCCUUGACAUAAAAAAAUAGGUGAAAUUCAAAAUAAACAUUGUUAUCAAGAUAAAAUUUCUGAACAGAAAGCAGAGGUUUCGUAAUAUGUGGAACAUGAACAUUAGACAAAGUGAAAGUAUAAUAUGGUGUAUGUAUUUUAUUAUGCCCAAUAAUAGAUAUGGGAAGUCCCUUACCAUUACCGAGAUAUGGUUCGGACCUUGUCAGAUUUGCAAGAUCAGGUGUGACGUGUUGAUUAGCACUAGUGUCCGGAAGCCAAUCGGUAGUACCUAUUGAGGAAGCAUUACUCAACGCUAGAUUCGGACUAGGCUGUUGUCCAUAUCCAAGGUUCUGAAGCUGAGGACAGUGAGGGGCGGUAUGAUUGAAAGCUUGGCAUAAUUGGCAACGUGGGCGCAGGAUGCCCUCUAUUUCACUGCCAAUUGUCCUACCUCCCGUCAUUGCUAGAAAGUCCAUUGAAGCUGUAAAAAUAAGACCUGGAAGUAGCAGACUUGUUCCCUCUAUUGUUGCCAUUGUUGGGACGCCACCCUUCAUGAAAUUUGCCCCUAUUUUGGUGUCAAUUUCCAGAAGGCUGACGUUCAGCAACAAGAGCUGAAGGUGGUGUGGGCAAUAGAUGGGCAUUGAUGGCAACAGAUCCUAUAGAUUGAAGGGAGGUCUUGUGAAGAAAUUCAUGCGUGAGAAGGUGACUAUGAAGAUUGGCAUACGAGAGAGGUUUUGCCUUGGUCACAAGGCUUGUUACUAAGUCCUUAAACUCACUACCAGAAAUUCGCUAAAUAGCAACGGAUUUACCUUCUGUCCGUAAUUCAGUCGGUAACUACCGACGGAAAAGUUUUCGAAUUAAAAAAAAAGGCGGGACGCUGACGUGGAGGUUUUGGUGGGUUAUUUUUUCCGAUGGAUUCAAAACGACAGCCCGUACAGUGACGUGACCGGUUCGCCGUUUAAAUUGCCGACGGAAUCACUGAGGGAUUUGAAAUGGCAGAUCCGUAAGGUGACAUGUCGAUUUUUCUGUCAUAAUCACCGACGGCAUCACCGACGGAUUUUCCGUCGGUGAAACCGUCGGAAAAAGUUAAUAUAUGUCAGCUCUGCCGACCCUCUCCUCCCCUAUUUCUCCUUCUUCUUUCUAAUCCCAACUCUCCCCAUCUACAAACAACCAGCCCCCCCUCCCCCCCCAAACAAAAAUCUCCCUCAUAUCAGCACAACAAGUUAUAUUUCUUGAAGUUUUGUGGUCACAGCAUCCGUGUUCUGAUUUACCGACGGAUUUUAUCAAUUUUUUUAAGUAAUUUAUCUUUUAAAAUUUUAACAUUUAAUUAAAUGUCAAUUUUAUUGUUUUUUUAGUAUAUGUAUUUUGUUAGUAGAUGUACAUGUUUUAUUGUUAUUUCUCAAACAAACUUGUAGUAUAUGAAUGUAUAAUUCUAUACCUGUUAUGGUUUGUUUUAGAUUUUGUAAGAUUGUAUUUGUUUGUAAAUUGUUAAAACUUUAUGGAACUAUCGAAGUACAUGUGCUGUUUUGAAAUAAUUAAUAGCUUGCUUAAUGGGUCCGUUUAAAGUUUUAUCAAUGGUAUUGCGGAGUGGUAAUUUCUGUAAAUUUAUAUAUUUUAAUUUGUAUGGACGUUGAUAAAUGAUAAUGAAUAUUUAAUAUUUAUGAGAAGUUGUGAUUGGUCUGUUGGAUAAUCUUGAGGUAAAGUAAUAUUUUUGCAAGUUUAUUUACCUAACUUAGUUAAUUAAUACAUGAUGUCAUCAUAAUUUUAUAGAGGUUCGAUAUAAGUCAUGGAUGAUCGUUCAUGGAUGUAUCGAGAUUCACCCCAAGGAUUGCAGAUGAUGGAUUAUUGUAACGGGGUUCAGGGUUUUAUUAAUUUUGCAACAUCUAUUCCCAGAAAUUUUACUGGAGGCGGUAUUAGGUGUCCAUGCAGGAAGUGUCAGAAUAAAAAGUAUCUGCAUCCAGAUGUUGUAAUGAUGCAUCUUCUACACAAAGGGUUUAUGGAGAAUUACCAGUGUUGGUAUGCACAUGGAGAAGUAUUUGUUAGUAAGAGGAGAAUGAAAGAAACGGUGGUUGGGUCUACUUCUAGUGCUAACAACGUGCAUGAAGCGGCAAAUGACAACACUAAUCCUUACAGAAAUAUGGUUAUGGAUGCAAUGAGAAUGAAUCAAGGUAAUGUCAGUCAAUGUCCAAUCGUAGAAGAAGAACCUAAUGCAGAUGCAGCUAGAUUUUUUGAUUUGUUGAAAGAUUCUGACGAACCAUUAUGGGAUGGCUGCACGAACCACAGUAAAUUAUCGGCCGUAGCACAGGUGUUCACCAUCAAGUCAGAUCACGGGUUGAGUGAGGCCGGGUAUGACAAGAUUAUUGAAUGGGCAAGAAGCAUUUUACCUGAAGGGAACAGACUGAAAGAGAACUUUUAUGCUGCGAAGUCCAUGAUGAAACCCCUCGGUUUAGGAUACCAGAAAAUUGACAUGUGCCCUAACUUCUGCAUGUUAUACUACCUUGAAAAUGCUGAGAUGACCGAGUGCAUGACAUGCGGGCAUUCCCGUUACAAACCUAGAACUGGCAGGGGAAAGACUCUAGUGGCAUAUAAAAAACUUAGAUACUUCCCGAUCACACCUAUACUGCAGAUGUUAUUCAUGUCACCAAGGACUGCUGAGCACAUGACAUGGCACCAAGCACAUGAUGCGGUUGAUGGAGUGAUGGUGCAUCCUUCUGACGGCGAAGCGUGGAAACUCUUUAACAGUGUGCAUCCUCACUUUUCAGCUGAAUCAAGAAAUGUGCGUCUUGGGUUGUGUACAGACAGAUUCAACCCAUUUGGGUCAUUUGCUGCUCCUUAUUCUUGUUAGCCGGUCAUACUCACAGUUUAUAACUUGCCACCGGGAAUGUGUAUGAGGCCGGAGUUCAUGUUUUUAUCUACUGUCAUACCCGGUCCAACCAGCCCGGGGCGGAAUAUAGAUGUUUGUCUUCGACCAUUGAUUGAUGAGUUGGCGCAGUUGUAGUCCUCCGGAGCUCUGACUUAUGAUAUAUCGAGGAAACAAAAUUUCCUUAUGAGGGCGGCUUUGAUAUGGACUAUCAAUGAUUUUCCAGCUUAUGGAAUGCUUUCUGGUUAGAGCACGCAUGGGAAACUCGCAUGUCCAUACUGCAUGGAAAACAACAAGGCAUUCACGCUAGCAAACGAAGGUCAAGCUUCUUUUUUUGACUGUCACCGUUGCUUCUUGCCACUUAAUUACAGGUACAGAAAGAACAUAAAAGAUUUCUUUGUUGGCAGAGUUGAAAAAGAUGUUGCAUCCCCGCGUCUUUCUGGUGAAGAAUUGCAUGAUAUUGUCUCAGAGUAUGGUGACAUUGUGUUUGGCCUUCAAUCAGGUAAGCAAAAGUUUCCUGGUUUUGGUUUGACCCAUAAUUGGGUAAAGCGAAAUAUCUUUUGGGAGCUUUCUUAUUGGAAGACCAAUCUGCUCUGCCAUAACCUUGACGUCAUGCACAUCGAAAAGAACAUGUUUGAGAACAUUUUCAACACCGUCAUGGAUGUGAAGGGGAAGACAAAAGACAACAUCAAGGCUAGAUUGGAUAUAGCUUUAUACUGUAACCGUAAAAAUAUGGAGUUGGUUUAUGAUGAGUCACAGGUCGCAAAACCAAGAGCAAGCUUCGUGUUAGAGAAAAACACACAACUGCUAGUCUACAAAUGGCUUAAGAGUCUGUGUUUUCCGGAUGGACAUGCAUCGAACAUAUCAAGGCUGGUUAAUAUAGAGGACUGCAGAUUGUAUGGAAUGAAGAGUCAUGACUGCCACGUGUUUAUGCAAACACUCAUCCCAUUAGCUUUUCGUGAUUUGUUGCCAAAGGGAAUAUGGGAUGCACUCACGGAGAUCAGUCAUUUCUUCAGAGAUAUAUGCUCCAGCAAGUUGAAUGUUGAUCACAUUGAGAGGCUUCAAACGAAUAUCGUCGAGACACUAUGCAAACUUGAGAUGAUAUUCCCUCCAUCAUUUUUUGACUCCAUGGAGCAUCUCCCUAUACAUCUACCGUUCGAGGCAAAAGCUGGAGGACCGGUCCAAUAUAGAUGGAUGCACCCAUUCGAACGGUUAGAUAUUAUAGUUGCAAUGUAAUUCAUAUAUGAAAGUAUUUUAUAUGUUUUUCUUAAUUGAAAAUACUUGAUUAAUAUUUCAAUGCAGGUACUUGUUUAAUCUCAAGAAAAAGGUUAAGAACAAGGCGCAUGUUGAGGCUUCGAUAUGUGAGGCCUAUAUUGUUGAGGAGAUCUCAACAUUUAUCUCGUACUAUUUCGAACCUCAUCUGAGAACGAGAAUCAAUCACGUUCCACGGCAUGAUGAUGGCGGUGAAGUGCCUUCCAGUGGGAACUUGUCAAUAUUCUCCAAUACUGGACGACCCACACCUAAAAAUGCCGUAAGAGGAAGAUAUUUGUCGGAAAUAGAGUUCAAACAAGCACACAACUAUGUUCUAUUUAGCUGUGAUGAGCUGAGACCUUUUAUUCAGUAAGUUUAUACUAAUUAAACUUUGUUAGUAAUAUACUGUUAAUUAUAUAUUGUAAUAUCAUACACUCGUUAUCACUUGUAGGCAACAUUGACAAUAUUUGCUCUCCAAUAACUCACAGCUGACCGAAUCCCAGAUCUUUCAAUUACAAGAUGAACAGUUUGCCACGUGGUUCAUAACACAUGUAAGCACUAUCGCAAACUCAUUCUAACUUGCAAAAUUAUUGUACGUAUGCAUGUCAUUACGAGAUUCUCUCGUUCAUUUACUGUUUAUUGAUGUACAUUACAUACAAGGUUUAUCAAAUGGGAAGGAGUGCGCCUAAGUCAUUGUCUUCACUAAGUCUGGGGCCUGAAAGAAAAUGUAAGUGCUACAACGGGUAUUUUGUCAAUGGAUAUGUUUUCCAUACUGAAGAAUACGGGCAAGGAAGAAAGACAUACAACAGCGGUGUUUGUGUUAAGAGAUCCACUAGUAGGGAGUUAGAAGUUGACUACUAUGGUAGAUUAGAAGAGGUCGUCGAACUGCAAUAUCAUAAUGAGCAGAAUAGAGUGUUUUUAUUCAAAUGCUAUUGGUAUGACACGACUGACAGAGGAAUCAGAGUUGAUCCGCACUAUGGUCUGGUCGAAAUCAACUCAAAAGCUAGACUCCGCAACGUAAAUGAUGUCUUUGUUUUCACAAAGCAAUGUCAACAAGUUUAUUACACAUACACCCCUUCAUUUAGAAAGGAUCGAUCAAGAGUGGAUUGGUUGUCCGUUUCAAAAACGAAACCCCGAGGUCAUGUCGAGGUUGUUCAGGAUGAGAACGAAGACACAAGUGUGCGAGAUGAAGUAUUUCAAGUUAGUGAGUUGGUUGAACCAUAUCGAGUUGCUCCUUCGAUUGAAUAGGAAGAAAAUUCAAAUUUUCAUGUUUUCGAUGAUAGUCUUGUUGAUGUUGAUGCAGAGGAGUUGAAUUUUGUUUUGAGCUCUAGCGGACAAGCAAAUGUCGAUGAAGAAGAUGAUAUCCAUAUUGAAGAUUGCGAUGAAGGUGAUGACAAUUCAAUUGAUGACGAAGAAGAAGAAAAUUCUGACUAACUAUCAAAAUGAAGCCCUGUGUAAAACCCUUUUUUUCAUGUAAUUUAGAUUAUGGAUGAUAUAUUUUGUAACACGAAAUAUUUAUUACUUGAAAUAAUUACUUGAAAUGCCACAAUCACGAAAUAAUUACUUGAAAUAAUUAUAGAUCAUGGAUGAUAUAUUUUGUAACACGAAAUAAUUACUUGAAAUGCCAAAAUCACCGACGUCCAUACCGACGGAAUAAGUCCGUCGGCAUUUCACAGAGAGUUUGAAAAUAAUUACUUGAAAUGCCACAAUCACCGACGUCCAUACCGACGGAUAUAAGUCCGUCAGCAUUUCACAGAGAGUUUGAAAAUAAUUACUUGAAAUGCCACAAUCAUCGACGUCCAUACCGACGGAUAUAAGUCCGUCGGUAUUUCACAACUUGAAAUGCCACAAUCAUCGACCCUAAUACCGAUGGAUAUAAAUCCGUCGGCAUUUCACAGAGAGUUCGAAAAUAAUUACUUGAAAUGCCACAGUCACCGACGUCAAUACCGACGGAUAUAAGUCCGUCGGUAAGUUGUCGGAGGGUCAAGUUUACCGACAAAAUUACCGACGGACCGCGCGAAUUCCAAAGGGUUGUGCAUUAAAUGCAUCUCUGACCGCGUCAUCUUGCCGACGGAAUUACCGACGGAACACGAAAAAUAUGGAGGGUCAUUAAAAAUUUUGGUGCGAAAUUCAAAAUUUACCGACGAAUGUUUGACACUUCACCGACGGAAUAAAUUAAAAUAAUAAUUAAUUUUAUAGCCGUCGGUGAAUCUGUCGGUAAAACUGCCAUAUAAGUUCCCCCGACCGCCGCUUCAGCUCAUUUUUUCUUCUCCUCAGUUUUUCACCAAUUCUUUUCCUUUCCAUUCUUCAAAGGUUUCACCAGCAAUCUCUAGCAACUUUUCUCGUGAAUCUCCACCAGUUUAAAAGGUAUGUGUUUCUUCUAUUUCAUUUUACUUUAAGGGUUUUUUUUUUUUGCUAUUUUUUUUUGUUAUGUUUUUUGUUUUGGUGUAUUUUUUAUAAUGUAGAUAAAGUCUAUAGUUUUUUUUUUUUUGAAUUUAUUGAAUAUUUUUUAUUAUUGUAUUGGCAUAAUUAUUAUUAGUUAAUUUGUUGAAUAUUUAUUGUUAAUGUUGAAUUUACCAUAGAAUUAGUAAUUGAAUAUGUUGGAAUAAUUAUUAAUUUUACUCUAUUAUUGCAUGAUUUGUGUUUAAUUUUUUCCAUUUAUUUUGAUUGUUAUUCUAGAUUUUUUUUAAUUUAUUGUUUUGUUGUAUUGGCAUAAUUAUUGAAUAAUUUUUUGAACUGUAAUUGUUAAUGUUGAAUUUACCUUAGUAUUAGUAAUUGAAUAUUUUGGAAUAAUUGUUAAUUUUACUUUAUUAUUGCAUGAUUUAUGUUUAAUUUUUUCCAUUAAUUUUAAUUGUUAGUCUAUAGUAUUUUUUUUUAACAUUUGAAUUUAAUUAUAUAAUUAUUUGUAUAAAAUUGUGGAGAUGCGCAGAAUGAAAACCAGAGCUGGUCACUCACGUACGGUCGCAGCUAGUUCGUCUAGCAGCGAUGAUGAUAUUUCCUUAGGUGCCUCUCAAGAAGAGGCACCUACACCACCUGCGCCGUCAACCGAUGUUGCCUCUUCCAGCGCUACUUCACAGCGCAGAGGCGGGGUGCCUUCGCAGCGGAAUCAAUUUACCCGCAAGUACGAGGCACAGUGGAAGGACGACCUUUCAAUGUAAGUUUGUUAAGGUUUUAUUUUUUAAAAAACAAAUUACAACAUAAUUUAUGAAGUAAUCACUAUUUAAUUUAUUUCAUUUAUUUUCAGGUUCACAAACAUUGAGGUCGCCCGAGUAAUAUCAUCGGCGUUUAAAUCGUCGAUGGAGAUUCCAUUGUUUCAUUGGAGUCAGAUAUCCAAGCAUCCUGAAUGGAUGCCUCAAAUCAAUGCAUGGUUUGACAGAUUUCAGGUUGGUGUUAAUUUAUAAUUUUCAGCUUAUUUCUAAUAAAUUAUUAAUAUAAUUGUAAAUAAAUUAUUAUUUUUAUUUAAACUUGUUUAUUUAUACACAGCACAAAUUCUGCUGGGACAGUGAGCAUAACACUGUUGUGAGGUGUGGGAAAAUCACGUGGCAACUAGGUAAGAUCGAAAACAAUACAAGAUUUUUUUUAGAUAAAAAUUUAUGUUUCGAAAUGUAAUUUUUGGUUGCGUGAAGUAGGUUACAUGAUUUUUGGUAUGAAGCACAAAAAAGGGCAAAAAAAACCGCGAGGGAUAGGGGUUUCCAAGGCUGGAACGAUGUUGCGGUUUGGAGGGAUUUCAAACCGAUAUACAUCCCGGAAGAUAUAUGGCCGCACUAUCUUGAGCACGUGACGUCUGAGCGGUUCACACGACGCUCACAGUCCGGUGCUGGCAACCAGAAUCGGCCAAUUCAUGGCUCGGUGACAACGCACACUGGCGGCUCCGUUCCAUUUGCUGCACAUGCGAAACGGAUGGUAAGAUUAAUUUAAAUGAAAUAUAUCGUUAAAUUAAGUUGUUGUUAAUAUAUCUUUUUUCAUUAUAGGCUGCGUCUCUUGGACGUGAGCCGAGCCCGAUGGAGCUGUUUGUGGAGACGCACGUGCGGAGUCAAGAUCGCCAAAAGGGGGCGCAACAGUUCGUUGAUAACCGUGCUCAACAUUUCGUGGUAUGUUUGUUCAACCAUUUUAUUUUGUAAGUUAUUAUGUUUAUUGAAUUGAAUAUGAUGAUUACUUUUUUUAUUUUCAGGAGACCUAUAAUAAUCGGUUGAGGGAGAGAUACGGGGAUGAUAUUUUGACCCAUCCGAAAUUCGAUCCGGAUUUGUGGAUGGAGGUUGGAUCGUCAAGUGGACCCGAUAAAAAUCGGGUUUACGGGCUCUCCAACACUACGGCCGACAACUUGCGGUCCACCCGUAGUGUUUCAACCGUUGGGAGCUCUCAAUCAAUAUCAAUCUCCCAAUCUAAGGAGUUCGUGGCCUUGCAGCAACACACGGCUCAGCUCACCGACAAAUACGACCACCUAUCAGCGGAGUACGCACAACUCAAAGCGUCUCAUGCACAAUAAAGAGCGGAGUCUGAGCAAAUCAAAGCGUCUCAAGCACAACAAAAAGCGGCUUAUGAACAGCUUUGCGAAAUGGUCAUGAACAUGGCAACACAUAGUGGAACAUGUGCGCCUAAUCCUUUUUGGCCGUAUAACCACCAGCCUCCUCCUCCAGGAUCUCCUCCUCCUCCUCCAGCUCCACCUUUAUAUUAAUUUGUAAUAAACAUUAUUUACCUUUAAAACUUCAUUUAAUAUUUUUUUUUGAAACAUAUUCAGUUUGUAAUGAAUAUUAUUUAACUUUGAUUUUUUUUUAUGUCUAAUAUAAAUUUUAUUUGCAUAAUUGGUUUUUAUUACCAUUAUUUUAUAUAAUUUUAUAUUAUAUAUUCUAAAUAAUUUUUUAAAAACAAAUUUAGAAAAAACUAUUACCAAGGGUUUACCGACGGAAUUAAUCCGUCGGCAUCUGACAGNNNNNNNNNNNNNNNNNNNNNNNNNNNNNNNNNNNNNNNNNNNNNNNNNNNNNNNNNNNNNNNNNNNNNNNNNNNNNNNNNNNNNNNNNNNNNNNNNNNNNNNNNNNNNNNNNNNNNNNNNNNNNNNNNNNNNNNNNNNNNNNNNNNNNNNNNNNNNNNNNNNNNNNNNNNNNNNNNNNNNNNNNNNNNNNNNNNNNNNNNNNNNNNNNNNNNNNNNNNNNNNNNNNNNNNNNNNNNNNNNNNNNNNNNNNNNNNNNNNNNNNNNNNNNNNNNNNNNNNNNNNNNNNNNNNNNNNNNNNNNNNNNNNNNNNNNNNNNNNNNNNNNNNNNNNNNNNNNNNNNNNNNNNNNNNNNNNNNNNNNNNNNNNNNNNNNNNNNNNNNNNNNNNNNNNNNNNNNNNNNNNNNNNNNNNNNNNNNNNNNNNNNNNNNNNNNNNNNNNNNNNNNNNNNNNNNNNNNNNNNNNNNNNNNNNNNNNNNNNNNNNNNNNNNNNNNNNNNNNNNNNNNNNNNNNNNNNNNNNNNNNNNNNNNNNNNNNNNNNNNNNNNNNNNNNNNNNNNNNNNNNNNNNNNNNNNNNNNNNNNNNNNNNNNNNNNNNNNNNNNNNNNNNNNNNNNNNNNNNNNNNNNNNNNNNNNNNNNNNNNNNNNNNNNNNNNNNNNNNNNNNNNNNNNNNNNNNNNNNNNNNNNNNNNNNNNNNNNNNNNNNNNNNNNNNNNNNNNNNNNNNNNNNNNNNNNNNNNNNNNNNNNNNNNNNNNNNNNNNNNNNNNNNNNNNNNNNNNNNNNNNNNNNNNNNNNNNNNNNNNNNNNNNNNNNNNNNNNNNNNNNNNNNNNNNNNNNNNNNNNNNNNNNNNNNNNNNNNNNNNNNNNNNNNNNNNNNNNNNNNNNNNNNNNNNNNNNNNNNNNNNNGGAUUGGAGCUACCACAGUACAAUUCGAACCUAAAACCCUGCAACAUAUUCAAGGGACCUUAGAAUUGUCCACCAUAGUUGAGUCAGCUGCAGGAACCGCGUUUACCGGACCCGGUGACAAUUCACUGCUCAGCCAUAAGAGGAAGCCUUGUAUUUAAAACAGGUUGGUAUGAUAUUGUUCGCGAUAUUGGCCUCAAAAGUGGAGACACUGUGACUUUCUAUCAGGAGGUUAACGGAGGAGCACAGUUCAAAUUGAAAGUGAGAAAUUUUCGUUAAAGUAAAGAAGAAAUGUGAUGGAAACAGUGUCUUCCAUACAUGCAUGAACGUCCGAGUGCACGUCCUUCUGUUUCUUCUUUGUUCUAUCUAUCUUCGUGUCUAGUUUCUUUCCGGUGUCAGCAGUUGAGAAAACUUUUCUCAAAAUUAUCUCCUGCAAUCUUCGUGUCUAGUUUUUUCAAUUCCUUGCAUGUGUGAGGAAAUUAUGAAUAAUUAAUUUCUUCUUUAGAUGAAAGAGUUUGUCUGUGAUUGUAAUAUGUAUUUUGAGCUUUAAUUUUGUGAUUUUUUGGUAAUAAAAUUAUUAUGUGUUGUGAAUUACUUUAAAAACUUCAAUGAGAUGUGAUUUGAUUCAUCAGCUAAUUAAACUGAAAUUAUAUGAGAAGCAAAUCAUUUUUAAGAGUAAUUUAAUUAUGUUUUUCCAAAAGAAGAAGAAAUAGUGCAUGAGGUAGUGUUAUUGAAGCUUAACUCUCAACCAAUUUAAGUUUGAAUGAUGUAAUCAUUAAAAAAUAUUAAUAAAAAAAACUUGCAAAAGCACAAAAAAAUAGCAAAAAAAAAAAAGAAUGAAGAUAAAAUUUGAGAGAAAAAACCUAAGGAGGAUGAAAUUAUAAAAAAAAAAAUGAUUCAAAAAAAAAAUAGCAAUUAAAAGAACGAGGACAAAAUUUGAAAGAUUAAAAAUCAUAAGCGGUGAAAUUGAAAAAUAUUUGUAAUUUGAUAAAUUAUUUAAAAAAUGGUAGAUGGUGAUAUUAAAAAAAAAAAAACUAUAGAGGGCUAACCUAAUAGAAUCAAACCACAAAAAAAAACAAAAAAAAAAAGAAGAUAAAAUAAGAAAACAUCAGCUUUAAAAAAAAGAGAAAAAAAAACCUACAAACUCGAGUAAAUCUUCUAAACUUGGUCUAAUCUCUAAAACUAAAUGAAGAAGAUGAGAUGAGAAGCCCAAGCUCGAUGCUAGGGGGCAUAACGAAUCAUUUUGCAAGUCAAUCCUAAGGUCUAGAAACACAUGGACCAAAAGGAGGUCUGGUAGCAAGCACUAGUGAUCCUUAGUCGUGAAAUCCCUUAAACACUUUUUUAACCUACAAAUAUCAUUUUUCUUCGUAACCAAAAGCCGAAGCUAAAGUUACAUGCCCAAUCAAGCUCUUUCUAAUAAAAGGCAGGCAAUUUGGAUCGGUAAGCAAUGUUUUCCAAUGUGAAAGAAACCGCCUAUUUUUUAUACAAAUAAAACAAAUGCUUUGAAGACUACUUCUCUAAAACCAUCAAAUUAAAACUUGAACCCUACUAACCAACAAAACACGAAACAAAAGGUCACUUCAUUUUUUUUCCCAAAACAACAAAACAAAGAUUUUCAAUAAAAAUGAAAACCUAUCCAGAGGAAUCGCUUGAAUUCUUUUUGGAAUAAGUUUGCUUGAAACUAAUGUCAAAAUGAUUUUUGUGUUUGGAAUGGCUUUGAAAUUCCAGAAAUUUUCCUAUAAAAAAAAUUCAUUAUAAAUAAUCAAAUCUUAUUUCGUAUAGCAUCGUCCCUAAAAAAAACUCGAAACUAAACACCUGUGGACAUGAUCAGUUUGGGGGGCAAUCCAAGAAACAUGGUAGGGUUGGCUUCACGAUUCCCUUUCUAAGAAAAUAGAGAAUGUGAAGCAAAACUGAUAAUCUUUGAGAUAAAGGUUUUUAGGCUAAGAGGAAUGCUGAUAAAUCAUCUGACAAUUGCCCUUCCUAAAGGUUAAGANNNNNNNNNNNNNNNNNNNNNNNNNNNNNNNNNNNNNNNNNNNNNNNNNNNNNNNNNNNNNNNNNNNNNNNNNNNNNNNNNNNNNNNNNNNNNNNNNNNNNNNNNNNNNNNNNNNNNNNNNNNNNNNNNNNNNNNNNNNNNNNNNNNNNNNNNNNNNNNNNNNNNNNNNNNNNNNNNNNNNNNNNNNNNNNNNNNNNNNNNNNNNNNNNNNNNNNNNNNNNNNNNNNNNNNNNNNNNNNNNNNNNNNNNNNNNNNNNNNNNNNNNNNNNNNNNNNNNNNNNNNNNNNNNNNNNNNNNNNNNNNNNNNNNNNNNNNNNNNNNNNNNNNNNNNNNNNNNNNNNNNNNNNNNNNNNNNNNNNNNNNNNNNNNNNNNNNNNNNNNNNNNNNNNNNNNNNNNNNNNNNNNNNCAGAUAAGAUAAAUAGGGGAGGAGUCAACCUUUGGAGGCAAGGAAACCCAAUGUAGAUACAAAAAUCGCUCAGACGGGGCUAUAAUGCCCAGGACGCCAUGUUUUAAACCAUAUAAUGACUUGUGCAAUCUACACACAUGAGAUGGAAGAGUAGGGUCAACAAACCUAGAGGUUGUUUCAUGUAGACCUCUUCAAUAAGAACGCCAUUGAGAAAGGCAAUAUGAAUAUCAAGCUGAUGAAUCUUCCAAUUACAUGAAACCGCAAUGAAAAAGACUAAUCUGACGGUGGCCUGCUUAAUAACUGGGCUGAAAGUUUCAGAAUAAUCAAUGCCUUCCUGUUGAGUAAAGCCUCUAGCAACUAGACGGGCUUUAUAACGGUCAAUGCUGCCAUCAAUACGACGUUUGAUCCGAUAUAUCCAUCGGCUGCCAACAACAUUCAUCGAAGGAUGAAAGGGCACUAGGGACCAAGUGUGAUUGGAACGAAAAGCCUUGAUCUCAUCACACAUAGCAUCAUGCCAAGCAACAUAUUUAUCUGCAUCAGAGAAGGCAAUAGGUUUAGAGAAAGGAGAGAGCAAUACCCAGGUGGCAGCUGUAUCAGCUGCAGCAGAGGCCACCAUAUUUGCGGUUUUGGGCUGCCGCGGUCUAAGGACCAUAGGGUGGCGGCUGAGCAACGGUGGCGACGCAGAAAAGGUAGGUGUCGUGCUGCAGUGGAUAAGUAGAGAGAUCAACCACUAGAUUCAGACCAGGUGAAGAAGCCGGGGAAGAAGCUGCCGCAAGCAGAGGGCUGGCAACAGAGAUAGAGUCUGCAAAAGCUGGGUGAUUGGCAAAAUAAGGGGAAGCAGAUGAGGAACCAGAUGGUGUCCCAGUACUAGCAGAGACAUUGUGCUGGAGUGCAGGGAAAACUGAUCUACAACCUGUACCUGCAACAAAAUGGUGAGAUAAAGAUGCAUGUGGUGAUCGGCAAGGGAAAGGUGGAGGCUGUGGUGUUUUGGUAGGAGGUGAAUGCAGGGCAGAGGCAAAGGCGGGAUGGGGUGUGUUAUGAUCGGUGAACAAUGGGGAGUGGGUCAGAUUUGGGAGGAUGGUAGCAGGGGAUGGUGUGUGGUUUUGAGCUGAGACCUGUGCAAUCUGUUCAGAAUUAUCAAACGGGAAAACAUGUUUAUGAAAACGAACAUGACGGGAGAUAUACAUGCGAUGAGAUUUGUUGUAACCCAUUUUUGGGUCCCCACAAAAUAUAUAUAAAAAUAUAUAGCCAAAUGAGGUUAGAAAAAUAACAGGAGGCAGAAGCGCUCAAAAAAUGGUUGGAAAAUUGGUCAAUAAGGUUAAAAAUACACAAAAAAUGAUAAGCAGGAGGCCGUUGAAACAAACAAUCAAAUGGAGAUUGAUUGCAAGAACAAGAGGAGAAAAGCCCNNNNNNNNNNNNNNNNNNNNNNNNNNNNNNNNNNNNNNNNNNNNNNNNNNNNNNNNNNNNNNNNNNNNNNNNNNNNNNNNNNNNNNNNNNNNNNNNNNNNUUUAAAUGAAUUUAUAGGAGAUUUGAUUGUAAGAAAAAUUGAUUUUUAAGUCAAUUUGGGCUUUAAUUAGAAGAAAUUUAAGUUCUAGGGCCAAAAUAUAUUUUUUAGGAAUUUAUUAGGUCAAAUCAGGGGCUUAAUUGCAUAAAUAUUGAAGUUUAAGGGCCAAUUGGGGACUUAAUUGAGAAAAUUCGAAACCAGGGACCAAAUUGAAAGAGGCGCGUAAAUGGAGGGGCGGAGACCGAAAUUGACAGGGAUGCAAUUGAAGAGAAAAAAGAUGAUUAAGGGCUGAUUUGGAAUUUGGCGCGUUUUGGCGCCACAUUCAAAUGAAACGGCGCGUUUUCUCCAAAACGACGCCGUUUCAUACAUUCAAAAAAAAAAAAAAAAAAAAAGAGAAAGAGCAGAACGGUGUCGUUUUGAACGACACUGUUCAUCUUCUUCCCCCGAUCACGCAGCGGGGAAGAAGGAAAAAGGUUUGCUUUAAUUUGAAUUUCUGCCGGCCACUCUCUCGCCUGGAGCCCACCGACCGGACACAAUGGCCGACCACCCACCGCGCACUUGCCAGAAAACCGGGGAAGGGGGCCGAACCUUGGCAGUCGUGCCCAAUGGCCGACCGGCCGGUUGCUCCCCAUGCCACAGCAAAGCCACGCCCUGGGCUCUAUAAAUAGAACCCCAAGAACGCUGGAGGGAGGGGAACAGACGGGGGAAAGAAGGAGAAAACGAAAAAACAGAGGAGAGAGAGAGGAACGGAAAAAACCGAAAGAGAGAGAAAGGGGAGAGGGAGAAGAGAACCGAAAGAAGGGGGAAAGAAAACCAAAGAAGGAGAAGAAAAGGGAAGGAAACAGAGGAGAAGGAAAGAGGAAGAAUCCCUCUUUCCGCCGCUUGAGACAGCAGCGCCGCUGCUUGGAGUCGCCGCCAGGGAGCAGCGACACCGCUACCAACCUCCACCACAGAACCGCCAGAAACGCAGCCAGCCACCGCUUCCGCCUCCGCGCCAGGUAACUUUUCUUCCCCUUCUCCCUCGCGUUUAUUUUCUCGUUUCGUUCCCUGCAUGCAGAACGAGUAGCGUUCUGCAUGCAGGGGUGGGGGGAAAAUAAUUCCCCCCCCCGCCCCGUUUUGGCUUGGGCCAGGCGGAUCCUGGCCCAGCCCUGUCUUCUGGGCCGGGCCUGGCCCAGAAGAUAAUGUGUUUUUUGUUUUGGGCCGAGAUCGGCCCAACAAUUUUGGGCUGAGUCCGGCCCAGUCGGUUGGGCCGGACCAGCCCAGCCCAUUUAAUAUUAUAUAUUAUAUUAUAUAUAUUAUAUUUUGUAUUAUUUAUAUAGAUAUAUAUAUAUAUGAAAAAAUUACAAAAAUUCUUCAAAAAUUAUUUCAAAAAUAUGUGAUUUUCUGUAAUUUUAUUACUGUAUUUUGAUUAAUAUUGGUUGGUAUUUUAUACUGAAAAGAUACAAAUCCGGUAUUAACAUACCCGGUUUUCAUCAAACAUCAAAGAUUUUCAAAAUAAAAAAUGUCUUUUGCUUUCAAAAUUUUUCUAAAAUAUCUUUGAAAAUAUUGUUGAUUUUUCUGCAUUUGCUUUAUCAAGUAGAUUAAUAUUUUGGUGGUAUUUUUAUACCGCAAGGAUACAAACCCAGUAUUAAAAAAUAACCUCGAUUUGCGGUCAAACCGUACAAANNNNNNNNNNNNNNNNNNNNNNNNNNNNNNNNNNNNNNNNNNNNNNNNNNNNNNNNNNNNNNNNNNNNNNNNNNNNNNNNNNNNNNNNNNNNNNNNNNNNNNNNNNNNNNNNNNNNNNNNNNNNNNNNNNNNNNNNNNNNNNNNNNNNNNNNNNNNNNNNNNNNNNNNNNNNNNNNNNNNNNNNNNNNNNNNNNNNNNNNNNNNNNNNNNNNNNNNNNNNNNNNNNNNNNNNNNNNNNNNNNNNNNNNNNNNNNNNNNNNNNNNNNNNNNNNNNNNNNNNNNNNNNNNNNNNNNNNNNNNNNNNNNNNNNNNNNNNNNNNNNNNNNNNNNNNNNNNNNNNNNNNNNNNNNNNNNNNNNNNNNNNNNNNNNNNNNNNNNNNNNNNNNNNNNNNNNNNNNNNNNNNNNNNNNNNNNNNNNNNNNNNNNNNNNNNNNNNNNNNNNNNNNNNNNNNNNNNNNNNNNNNNNNNNNNNNNNNNNNNNNNNNNNNNNNNNNNNNNNNNNNNNNNNNNNNNNNNNNNNNNNNNNNNNNNNNNNNNNNNNNNNNNNNUCCCUUUACGCAACCAGUCCCCGUACCCGAUCUCUGAGACCAGUUAGGGUUCCUAGUGACCAAAAUACUAGGUGGCGACUCCCACACCAUUUUUCACUGCUAAGAGACAACGAAUUCCUUGUCUCCCUACGUUGACCAUAUAUAUAUCCCCCAUAUUACAUUUUUUGUGGGUGGACGAUCGCCGCGACGUCGCUCACGUGCGACAGAAUGGCGACUCCACUGGGGACCUUGUGGACUUAGCUUUGUUUUUGUCUAAUUUGUUUUUGUUUUCGUGUGUUUAUUGUUAAUAUGCCUUUCCUUUUGUUAUCCGCUUAUAUGCUUCAAAUAUUUUUACACAUAUUGUUCAUGCAUUUGUAUAGAACUGUCUCAUACAUCUUAUAGAACUGUCUCAUGCAUCACAUACUUUGAUUAUUGAGAAGCACACACAAGCUUUAAGUUAAGUGGGGGACUAGCAGCUUACCUUACGACUGUUAGUCAAGGUUUAAGUUUGUGUAAACCCCAACUCUUUGCUGAGUGCUUAGACUGGUAAUAGUUGGUACAUGUGACCAUCUCAUUGCCUACAAGCCCCCAUAUUGCCUCCACGAGGGCAAUCACUGGGACAGCAAGAGACCCUUUUUAGAGACUGAAUAGCCAACCUACCCUCGUCAAGCACAAAAGAAUUAGAACCGGCUAUAGGGUGUAUGCUCCAUAAAAUAUAUUUUUGCAUAAGACAAAACCUAACCAUAAGGCCUUUGGUUUUCAGGUCUUUUCAGCUCACAUUAUAUAUGCAUCAUGCAUUGUUCUUUAUCAUACAUACAUUCAUUUACAUUUUUUCCACGCACGCCAGAUCGUGAAACAUAGGUCCCACAUCCGAAGUCCACCACACCCGGUCUAGAUCAAGAAUGGAGAACGAAGAAAGAGCUCACUUAGAGUCACACUACCAGACCGAGUUGGAAUCUGUGAAAAAUGAAGUUUCUCGACUGACCAAUCUGCUUGAGCAACUCUUAAGAGCCAAGAACGGGGAGGGAACGUCUACCCAACCACCUAUAGGAGCACCGUCAGUUCAUGUCCCGGGGGUAUCUCAGAACUUGGGGGCAGAUUCAGUGACGGGGCAGCAAUUUGCGCCUGCCAUUCCCAUUCAGCCCCCUCAAGCUCACAUCACUGUAGAUGGGCCUUCCGAUAAUAGGUCCACUGGAUUUAUGAACAAUGACAAGAUAUCAGCCUUGGAAGAAAGGUUAAGAGCAGUCGAGGGAAAUGACUGGUUUGACCCCAUACGAGCAUCUGAAAUAUGCUUGGUGCCAAACAUCACGGUACCAAAAGAUUUUAGGAUACCGGAGUUUAUAAGGUACACUGGGUUGGAAUGCCCAAACACUCACCUUCGAUCUUAUUGCAAUAAGAUGGCUGAGGCGAUUCAUGACGAUAAAUUACUGAUCUACUUUUUCCAAGACAGUCUGUCGGGGUCGGCGCUAAGUUGGUACAUGAGGCUGGAUAAUACCAGGAUUAAGAAAUGGAAGGAUUUAGUGGAGGCUUUCCUUAAGCAAUACAAGUUCAAUUUGGAAAUUGCUCCAGAUCGAACAAGCCUUAUGUCAAUGGAAAAGAGAAGCCAAGAGUCAGUAAAGGCUUAUGCGCAAAGAUGGAGGGACGAGGCCACUCAUGUGCAACCUCCUUUGAUAGAAACGGAGAUGGUGACCUUGUUUGCCAAUACCUUUAAAGCACCAUAUUAUGAGCACCUAAUGGGUAGCUCAUCUCAGCAUUUCUACGAUGCGGUACGCAUAGCUGAAAGAAUAGAGCAAGGGAUUAAAGCUGGACGUAUAGUUGAGCCAUUGGAGGCGAAGGGUUUUAUGGGAAGAAAAAUGGGAGGUCACAUUUACGACUUUGAAGGUGGGUCCGAGGGCAAUAUAGUGGAUUCACUCAACCCACAGAUACCUACCUCUCAUGUUGCCCACAUAAACUUUAACAAACCAUUUUCCUCUAAUCAAGUAAAUAACCAGUCAAACAACCAAAACAACUACCAAAGACCAAAUACAAGGUACAUCUCAGAACAACUACCGCCAUUACCCAUGCCUUUGAAGGAAAUGUAUGCCAAACUACUGAGCAUUGGACAAAUAGCUCCUAUCCCUACAUUACCACUACAACCACCAUUCCCCAUCUGGUAUAAGCCCGAGUUGACUUGCGAGUACCAUGCUGGUAUUCCCGGACAUUGUCUUGAAACGUGCUAUGCUUUCAAGAGCAUGUUGUUGAAGCUCAUCAAGAUAGGAUGGGUGUCGUUUGAAGACACACCCAAUAUCAAUUCAAAUCUAUUGCCUAGUCAUGACAAAAGUAAUAGGGGAUAAAGGGUUGGAAAACCUUGGUCAAGAAUCGUCAAUAAUGAAGAAGGCGAGAUCGAAAGAGAAGACAAGGAAACGCAAAUGGGGAAGGAAGAUGAAGCAUUGCCUCGGUUGACUUUCCAGAACGGGUUGACCCAAGAACUUCUCGUAGUUUUCAAAAUGUAAAACAACUUUAUUUGCCUUAGCAUGUUUUUGUCAUUUGCUUUUGUCAGUACUUUUAUUUUCUCUGUUGGGCAAUCAGGGCUCAUGUUUUCAGCCAGAUUUUAUGUUUGUCUUCGAGCCUACCUUUUUUUUAAUAAAUGAUGAGAUUAUGCACUUUUUGAACAAGUUUGAGUGGUUAUAUCAUAAAAUGGUUUAAUAUGAAAUUUAAGAAAAGCUAACCCUAAAGUACAUCCCUACCUCUGAUGAAUGAUUAAGUGGUCACUUUAUAAUCAUCUGUAAUAACAAUGUGCAUUUUGAAAAAGAACGAAAAAAAAAAUCAUCAUUAUCCCUUCAUGCACUAAAAAAGUUUAUCAUUGGCUGAAUGAAUUUAUUCUCUAUAAAAGCCCAGACUAGGAUCACACCCCUACACUGGGGGCAAAACGAGUUGUUUUUUUGAAAAGUUUUACGUGUUUAAAAUUGGUUGGAAGCCCAUAGAUUUGAAAACCAAGCUAAAGCAUUUGACAAAAGCAUGACAAAGAGGCAAAUACAAGUCAUACAUUUUGAGAAAAGGACUACUUGGAGAAAGUCGAAGACUUCUUCUCAAAGAUAUGAGAGGCAACACGAGAAAUGAAUCCAGCAUACGACUUCAAAAGCAAGCUCAUAUCAAGAGAGAGUUUCAUGAAAUAGAAGAAGAUGAUGGGGCCUAUGUUUCAAAACCAGGUACAAAUGCAUGCAUGGCAUCUAAUCAUAAAUCAUUGCAUAUAUGUUUUAUGGAUCAUUACAGGAGGAGACCUUAAUGCAUUCCAACAAAAUUGGAGAUGAAGAAAGAAUCAUUGAGUUGAUUCUAGAACAACGAGAAGAGAAGAUAAUAAUUUUCAAACCCUGCCAUCAGGAAGAACGACAUCGAGCAAUCGGUUAAAGGGAAUCGCCAGAUGGGAUUCCAGGUUGACCGAUUUACAAAAUAGAUUUUUUGGUUUUUGAUUAAAGAAGAUCGCCAGAAGGGAUCUCAUUAUUUCAGCUUCGGAAAAAGGAAUCGCCAGAUGGGAUUCCAAGUUGUUUGAGAUCGCCAGAAGGGAUCUCGUAUUUCGAUAUUGGUUAAAGGAGGUCGCCAGAAGGGACCUCAUAUUUCAUAUUGAAUAAAAGGAAUCGCCAGAUGGGAUUCCAAGUUGUUUGAGAUCGCCAGAAGGGAUCUCAUAUUUCAAUAUUGGUCAAAGGAGGUCGCCAGAAGGGACCUCGUAUUUCAGCUUUGAAUAAAAGAAAUCGCCAGAUGGGAUUCCAAGUUGAUGAAGGUCGCCAGAUGGGACCUCAUAUUUCAUGUUGGUUAAAAGGAAUCGCCAGAUUGGGAUUCCAAGUUGAUUAAAGGAGAUUGCCAGAAGGGAUCUCGUGUUUCGCUAUUUGGAGGUCGCUAGAUGGGACCUCGUAUUACAUGUUGGUUAAAAGGAAUCGCCAGAUGGGGUUCCAAGUUGUUUGGAUAAAGGAGAUCGCCAGAAGGGAUCUUGUAUUUUGAUGAAGGUCGCCAGAAGGAACUUCAUGUUUUAGCUUUAGUAAAAGGAAUUGCCCGAUGGGAUUCCAAGUUAUUUGAGAUCGCCAGAAAAGAUCUCGUACUUCGGCAUUCAUCAAGGAAGGUCGCUAGAAGGGACCUCGUAUUGAAACUAUUUCUUAGAAAAGCAUGGAGUUUACUAAGAAUUCUUCCCCUGGGUAGGUCACCCAUUAUAAUGAGACCGCACUUCACAUUAUUUUUCUUGGGUUCGUCACCCAUACAAUGAGACCAUCAUUUUUCCUGGGUUAGUCACCCAUACAAUGAGACCAUUAUUUUUCUUGGGUUCGUCACCCAUACAAUGAGACCAUUAUUUUUCCUGGGUUAGUCACCCAUACAAUGAGACCAUCAUUUUUCCUGGGUUAGUCACCCAUACAAUGAGACCAUUAUUUUUCCUGGGUUAGUCACCCAUACAAUGAGACCAUCAUUUUUCUUGGGUUCGUCACCCAUACAAUGAGACCAUCAUUUUUCCUGGGUUAGUCACCCAUACAAUGAGACCAUUAUUUUUCCUGGGUUAGUCACCCAUACAAUGAGACCAUCAUUUUUUCUUGGGUUAGUCACCCAUACAAUGAGACCAUUAUUUUUCCUGGGUUAGUCACCCAUACAAUGAGACCAUUAUUUUUCCUGGGUAGGUCACCCAUAAUAAUGAGACCACUCUUUUCCUUUUCCCAUUCGGGCAGGUCACCCGUCAUAAUGAGACCACACACGUGUUUUUGUAUUUGGGUAUGGGUAAAGGAAUCGCCAGAUGAGAUUCCAAGUUUUUGGGGUUAAAGGAGAUCACCAGAAGGGAUCUCGAGAUGACUAAAUUUUGAUCAUAGUUUUUGGGUUAAGGAGGAUUGCUGUAAGGACAAAGUUUCAGAGCAAUCGAGCUCCGACUAGAUCAGUUUCGGGAGCUCAGUUUUGGUUUAUCUUUAUAAAACUUACUGCGCAAAACCUUUGCUCCGUAAGCAUUAUAAAGAGGGGGCAUCUGUUGUAACCCAUUUUUGGGUCCCCACAAAAUAUAUAUAAAAAUAUAUAGCCAAAUGAGGUUAGAAAAAUAACAGGAGGCAGAAGCGCUCAGAAAAUGGUUGGAAAAUUGGUCAAUAAGGUUAAAAAUACAAAGAUGGAAUUUUUGAUAAUAUAUUCUUGAAGGAGGAGAGCCCUGUUGACAAGGAAAAUUUGAAAUUUGAGGAGAAAAGCCCAAAUUUGGAUGUUUAUGGACUUAAUUGGAUUUUUAAAUGAAUUUAUAGGAGAUUUGAUUGUAAGAAAAAUUGAUUUUUAAGUCAAUUUGGGCUUUAAUUAGAAGAAAUUUAAGUUCUAGGGCCAAAAUAUAUUUUUUAGGAAUUUAUUAGGUCAAAUCAGGGGCUUAAUUGCAUAAAUAUUGAAGUUUAAGGGCCAAUUGGGGACUUAAUUGAGAAAAUUCGAAACCAGGGACCAAAUUGAAAGAGGCGCGUAAAUGGAGGGGCGGAGACCGAAAUGACAGGGAUGCAAUUGAAANNNNNNNNNNNNNNNNNNNNNNNNNNNNNNNNNNNNNNNNNNNNNNNNNNNNNNNNNNNNNNNNNNNNNNNNNNNNNNNNNNNNNNNNNNNNNNNNNNNNCCCGUUUUGGCUUGGGCCAGGCGGAUCCUGGCCCAGCCCUGUCUUCUGGGCCGGGCCUGGCCCAGAAGAUAAUGUGUUUUUUGUUUUGGGCCGAGAUCGGCCCAACAAUUUUGGGCUGAGUCCGGCCCAGUCGGUUGGGCCAGACCAGCCCAGCCCAUUUAAUAUUAUAUAUUAUAUUAUAUAUAUUAUAUUUUGUAUUAUUUAUAUAGAUAUAUAUAUAUAUGAAAAAAUUACAAAAAUUCUUCAAAAAUUAUUUCAAAAAUAUGUGAUUUUCUGUAAUUUUAUUACUGUAUUUUGAUUAAUAUUGGUUGGUAUUUUAUACUGAAAAGAUACAAAUCCGGUAUUAACAUACCCGGUUUUCAUCAAAACAUCAAAGAUUUUCAAAAUAAAAAAUGUCUUUUGCUUUCAAAAAUUUUCUAAAAUAUCUUUGAAAAUAUUGUUGAUUUUUCUGCAUUUGCUUUAUCAAAGUAGAUUAAUAUUUGGUUGUAUUUUUAUACCGCAAGGAUACAAACCCAGUAUUAAAAAUACCCGAUUUGCGUCAAAACGUACAAAAUACAUAUUUAAAAAAUGUUUUGUUUUAAAAUACGGCCUAGUCUCUCCAAUAUAUAUAUAUAAAUAUUAUAACAUCAUAUUUUCACACAACAAAAGAAAUUUCAAAACAAUAUAUGUAUUAGCAUGCAUUUUGGCUUUAAUAACCAGUUUAUUCAAGCCAUGAGAACUAGGCCAAUAUUCCAAAAAUUCUAAAAAAUCUUUUUGUCCUCUGUUAGUAUAUGGGAUUACGAAUUUAUACGUAAAACGUAUUCCUGAAAUUAAAAAUAUGUUUUUUUACAUAGACGCUAGAACGGUUAGGUUUUACCCGAUAAGAUAAGGACCUCCUUAUUAAGGAGGACUUUUCUUGAACCAUAGACGGACCAACAACUAGGAAACACAACGAAAACACCUUAAAUUUUAUCAGACAAUUAAACGAUGCAGCUUACCUUAGGUAGGGCGUAUUUGGGGUGUUAAUACCUUCCCUUUACGCAACCAGUCCCCGUACCCGAUCUCUGAGACCAGUUAGGGUUCCUAGUGACCAAAAUACUAGGUGGCGACUCCCACACCAUUUUUCACUGCUAAGAGACAACGAAUUCCUUGUCUCCCUACGUUGACCAUAUAUAUAUCCCCCAUAUUACAUUUUUUGUGGGUGGACGAUCGCCGCGACGUCGCUCACGUGCGACAAGAUUCAAUGUCAAAACAUCGAUAACCAAGAUGAGAGGAACUGUAGCCAAAAAACACACAUGGAGAAGACCGAAAAUCCAAUUUAUGAUUAUUAUAUGGACGCAAAAAAGGAAAACAGAGACAUCCAAAAGUACGCAAAAAAUGAUAAGCAAGAGGCCGUUGAAACAAACAAUCAAAUGAGAUAAACCGAAGUGUCAAAAGCAUAAUUCCAAAAGCAAAAUGGAGCUUUACAUUGUCCUAGAAGAGUAAGGCUGGUUUUCACAAUAUGCCUAUGAUGUCUUUCUACGGUUCCAUUUUGUUCGUGAGUGUGAGGACAUAUCAGACGGUGAUGAAUACCAAUGGUCUGAAAGAAAGUGGAGAGUUUGCGAUAUUCACCGCCCCAAUCAGUUUGAACAGAUUUUAUUUUUAAUGAAAAUUGAUGUUCGACAAGAGUUUGAAAUUGAUGAAAAACAGAAUAAACAUCAGAUUUUGCAACAAGUGACUUCCACAAAUAGUGCCUUCUCUUUUGCUGGAAUUUGGAAAGGUAUUGUCCCUCCUAAGGUAGAGAUCUUUUGCUGGAUGGCUAUCAUUAACAGAAUCAACACCCAGUGUAUGUUGGUUCUAAGAGGUAUUUUGGGUAGCUCAUAGUCUAAUUGCCCUAUAUGCCUAGUAGAGGAAGAGUUGGUGGACCAUAGCCUGCUGCACUGCCAUAAUCAUUGGCUCAUUUGGUCCAAAAUCAUUAAGUGGUGGGGUUUAGUUUGGUGCUGCCCAAAGAGCUUCUCAGAUUUGUGGUCUCAGUGGACUUCCCUGGUACAUGGUCACUUUUAGAGGAAAGCGUGGAUGAUGUUGUUCUUCUCAGUGGCAUGGUCUCUUUGGCUUCUUUGAAAUGAUCUGAUUUUCCAACAGAAGACACCUAACUAUGAUUCAAUAUUCUUUCUUAUUAUCACCCGUCUAUGCCUACGGCUAAAAGCUAUCCAUUCUGAUUUCCCAUACUCCCCUACAGAUCUGAUCAGAUCGGCAGAUGGCCUGCUUCGGUGGUCCAAUGCUCACUCUUUCAGAAUUAAUAAUAUGUGGUCUCCUCCUAUGAUUAAUAGCCUCAAAUGGAACGUAGAUGGUUCUUCUUUUGGUAAGCCAGGCCCCUCUGGAAUAGGUGGUGUGCUGCAAAAUCACCAUGGCCAUCUUCUUGGUAUGUUCUCUGUUCCAGUUGGGAUUUUAGACUCUAAUAUUGCUGAGUUAAGGGCUAUUGUCAAAGCCAUUGAACUAUCAACAUCUAAUUGUCUCCUCCACCAUCAACAUUUCAUCAUAGAAUCUGACUCUGCCAAUGUUAUUAGCUGGAUGCAUAAGCCUCACAUCCGCCCCUGGAAGCAUCACAAUCUUUUCUCCUCUAUCAAUAGACUGAAUGCAUAUUUUGGCUCAAUCACCUUCUCCCAUAUCUUUCGUGAAAGUAAUUGCAUGGCUAAACAAGGAGUGCGGAGAUCAAGUGAAUUUGUUGCCUGGUUUUGACUCCACCAUUAAUAUUGUGGCCUUGCUUAUGUGUCUUUUGCUGUUAUGCUGUUGAGUUUAUUUUUGUUCUGUUUUGUAGAGGACUGCUUAGCUAUGAGUUCAUUCAGAUGGAUAUUCUCUGGUUUUCUUUGCUUUUACUUAUCUUAGACUGUGUUCUAUCUUCUUUAUGGCCUUUCGUCAUAUUAAGAUAUUGUACAGCUUCUAUACUAAUCUCGCCAGACUUUGGCGUUUAAAUGAUAUAAGUAAUCUUUCAAAAAAAACAAGAAAAGCAAGUGAUAUUUGAUUUAAUUUGAGCGGUAGCUAGCGCGCUACCUAGUAUAAUACAUCGCUGUCAUAGCAUGCAGAAAAGAGCUAGCAUAUAUAAAAAUAGUUUAAUUUAAAAUUCAUAUCAUUUUUAUCCAAACAAAGUGUUGAUAAACCAAUCAAUAGUUGAAUUGCUGACUGACAGUUGACCAUUUCACAAUUUAUGUCUAAAUGGUCGGUGGAUAUAUAGCUGGAAGCAAAUGACUGAUUCAAAACACUUAUCAUCUACCUUUGGUGCAUAAAUUGUUCUAACCUCACUCUAUCUUAAUCACAUGUCUUUUAUCGAUCUAUUAAACGUCAACACAAACGAUGAACGUCCGAUAAUAUUUAUUUAUUAUAUAUAAAAAGAAAUGUUAGAAUGUGAUGGAUGAAAGAUAUAUGUCGAGGGCGAAAAUAGUGCGUAUCCGUGCAUGCACUUAAAUUGCCGUAAGAACAUACCCUUUCGUAGGGCACGAAAUUGGAGUAGUAAUUAAUGAAUGCUCCAUCACUCACUGAAAAGGGCCAAAUCUUGGAGAUUAAUUUAUAAAUUGAUUCACCUGAUGAGUGAGUUAUGAUUUUACAUAUAAAUAUUAAAAAAAUAAUUCCAUUUUAACUUUUAAUAAGAAAAAAAUCAUGAUUUAAAAUAAAAUUAUUUUAAAUUAUCUCCACAAGGACAGCCAUAAGUAGCCUAAUUAAAUAGAAAGGGGAUCCCUGUCAUGGCGGUGGUUCCUUUUAUCACAGCAGACGGGGCCCUUUUACCCUUUUGUCGGGUCUUCCAAGAUUGAUUGCUGCUGGGGAUUAUUUAAUCCAUCUCUCGUUCCAAGUCUCAAUCUAGUAAGGAUGUUUUCGGAUGAUUUGACAGUAACGCUUGCACCUUUGAGCAACAAUAAGGGACAAUUUCCCUCGCGCAGGCCCCACAAUUAUACGGAGCUGGUGAAGCCUAUCAGAAUUCUCACGCAGGUAAGAACAUGGACCGGCCAAUAUGAACAAAUAUAUAGUCGGCCAAGCAAUUAUCUUUUCCUCUGCAGAAAUGAUUCUUAAUUUUGCUUUUAAGGUUUGACGGUUACACGGUUACACGUCCUGAUCUGAUGGAAUCUUGGAAACCGUACCCAAAUGGACCUACUUCAAUCAUGAAAACAUUAGCAACAAAUCUCCAAUAGCAUAUUGGAAAAGUGAUACAUGCCACUUCAAUGUUAGGCGUUCAUUAUAAUAAAAUUAUUUUGAAAUAUUUUUGUAUUUUUUUUAUUUAGACAUGCUAUCCAUUAUAAUGAGAUUCUUUUGAAAAACAAUCCUAAUAUUUUUUACUUGGACAGAUCACUUAUCACAAUAAGAUCAUUUUGAAAAAAAAUCUUAGUAUUUUUUCUUGGACAGAUCACCCAUCACAAUAAAAUCAUUUUAAAAAUUUAUUGUAUUUUUUAUCUAGGCAGAUCACUCAUUAUAAUGAGACUAUUUUAAAAAAUCUUUGUUUUUUUACCUAAACAGGUCACCUAUUAUAAUGACAUCACUUUGAAAAAUCUUGGUAUUUUUCCACCUGGAAAGGUCCCUUAUACUAAGACCAUUUUAAAAAAUCUUUGCAUUUGGACAAGUUACCAAUUACAAUGAGACCACUUUAAAUUUUUUUGCAUUUUUUACAUAGGCACGUCACCUAUUAUAGUAAGACCACUUUGAAAUCCUUUGCAUUUUUCACUUGAGCAGGUCGCUCAUUACAAUAAGAUCACUCGAAAAAUCUUUUUUAUUUUUCCACCUGGAUAGAUCACUCAUUACAAUGAGACAACAUUUGGGAAAAAAAAAAAGCAUUUAUAUUUUUCAUCUGGGUAGGUCACCCAUGACAAUUUAACUAUUCUAAAAUCUUUGAAUUUUAUAAAUAAGCAGGUUGCCUGGUACAACCAUACCACUUCAAAAGGUCUUUUACAAAGAUCAUUUUUUUCUUUACAAAUCAUAUCCCUUUUUCAUCUUGUGCGCUUUUGAACCCUCACUUCAAACAUUUUUAGAAAGGUUGACCAUAUCUUGAUCUAGUGAAUCUGUUAUCUCUCAUUCCUUCGUCUUUUUUACAAAGCUUACCAUCUCAGUUCUUUUACGAGACUUUUUGUCGUAAGCAAUGUAAAGAAGGGGAAACUGUCAUAACUCGUUUGUGGGUUAUUUCUCAAAUUCAUCUUUUUUCUUUCCAAAAUAAAAAAAAAUAAUAAUAGUAAAAAGACUGAUAUUUUGACAAAAAGCAAUCUGGGAGGAUUUCAAAUGUAGAAAAAAUCAAGUUGCAAUUUUUGAUGAAAUCGAGAGCCUAAUUGUACCCUAUUUUACCCAAAACUGGAGAGACAAUGCACAUUCAAGGUCUUUGUCAAGGCACUUACAUGGAUCCCUUCAAUAAGAAUUCAUUUGGGUGCACGAGCCCAUAAUAAAUUGAAAAAGUCAUAUUUAUUCACACGAGUAAAUUUUUACCCGGAGCCAUAGAUAGACUACCGGUUAGAAACCCAUCAAAACCUUUAAACGACAUUCAAAACCACAAUGCAGAUUACCUCAGGUAGGGUGUGCUAGGGGUGCUAUUACCUUCCCUCACCACAAUCAGUCCCUUAAUCUUGAAUCUUUGAUAAAACCAAUAUACUCGGAUUUCCUAGCGAGAUUGAACCCAACAACUAGAUGGAGACUCCUUUGACCCCCGAUGCCACGCAUCCAUAUACGACAGGGUGCGACUCCCAUGACCCCCGAUACCGUGUGUUAACGUGCAAUAGAAUGAUGACUCCUUCGACCCCCCUGACACCACGCGUCCAUGUGCAACAAUUACUACAAUGUUUUUUUCUCAUCAAUAGAUUGUAGAGUCAGAUUCUUAUAAUGCUAUCAAUUGGAUUAGAGGAACUAAUGAUAUGUGUAUUUGGCGCUUGCAAGGUGCGUUUAAUGUUAUUUUCAAUACACGCAAAAAGUUCUCUGGUGUUGAUUUUCAACAUGUUCAUUGAGAGAAGAAUGAAGUUGUAGUCUGGCCAAGCAAGCAGUUUUUGGAGAUAUUGAUCCAGUAGCCUGGCUUUAGCUUUAUUCAGUUUUAUUUUUAAUGUAUGUGAUUACGUGUCUUUUGUUUUGUUGUAAGUUUCUGUUAAGUCAUGUUAUUAAUAACUAUAACAGUGCUUAAUAAAUCAUGUUAUUAAUAACUAUAACAGUGCUUAAUAAAUCAUUAGUAUUUCAUAUAUAAAAAAGUGGCUAUUAAAUGGUUCAGUACAUGGACCGGCACACAAAUGAACCCUUGAAAUUAUAAAGUUCGAAUGCUACUACCACACUUGUUCAAAAAUUUGUAUUUAAUAAGUAUUUCUUCCUAAGUUUAAAAUUUAUAAUUAUAUAACAACAAGGCUUUCUAACAACAAGGCCUUCUAAUGAAACAAAAAAAAAAUCUCAGUAAAUUUUUUUCUAACAACAACUUCGAUACGCAACAACAAUCUCAGUAAAUUUAUAAUUAUAUAACAACAAGGCUUUCUAACAACAACUUCGAUACGCAAAGGGUAUGAAGCUCGACUAAACUCUCGCAUGUAUGAAGCUCGACUACGGAAGCAAAUGUUUGACCGAAAGUGAUUCAAAACACUUAUCAUCUUUCGUGCAUAAAUUGUACUAACUUCAUUCUCUCUUUAUUCAAUGCCAUUUAUCGACCAAUUAAUCGUCCACAGAAGAAAAACCAAACGAUAAUAUUUAUUAUAUAUAUAAAAAAUGAAUGUUGAUCCUUCACUCACUGAAAAGGGCCACGUAGAUAAUAUCUUGGAGAUGGUUACCAACUAGCAUUUCUAUCCCAAAACCCUAAGACCAAUUCGACAGAAAAGAAAUUGCUUUUGAAAAUCAUUAAUUGUUGAUAAUAUAUCGUCAGUUAAAACUAUGGAUAUUUUUCUUACUGAAAGUAUUGACUAACAAAUCACGGGAAUUCAGAGAAUUCAAUUGUUUCUAGAACAAUUAAUUAUAUGUCGAAUAAGUUUAUACAUCAAUAAAUAUAGAGUGAAACACAACAUCACGCAACAAGCUAGCUGGCUUACCAUAAGAUCACUGCUGAGUCUCUAUAAAUACUUGCUACCCCUGUCACUACAAAUACAUAAAACCUUCUUUAACCUAAUUAUUUCAAAGCAUUAGUUUUCACUAGCCAUGGAAAUCUUCACAAAGAAACUCACUCCUAUUGAUUUUGAUAGAGGAUUGGUGCUACCACCCUGUUCUAACCUAGAACCCCUGCAACAUUUUCAAGGGACCAUAGAAUUGUCCACCAUAGUUGAGUCAGCUGCAGGAACCAGUUUACCGGACCCAGUGACAAUUCACUGCUCAACCAUAAGAGGAAGCCUUGUAUUUAAAAGAGGUUGGUAUGAUAUUGCUCGCUAUGUUGGCCUCAAAAGUGGAGAUACUGUGACUUUCUAUCAGGAGGUUAACGGAGGAGCACAGUUCAAAUUGAAAGUGAGAAAUUUUCGUUAAAGUAAAGAAGAAAUGUGAUGGAAACAGUGUCUUCCAUACAUGCAUGAACGUCCGAGUGCACGUCCUUCUGUUUCUUCUUUGUUCUAUCUAUCUUCGUGUCUAGUUUCUGUCCGGUGUCAGCAGUUGAGAAAACUUUUCUCAAAAUUAUCUCCUGCAAUCUUCGUGUGUAGUUUCCUCAUUUCCUUGCAUGUGUGAGGAAAUUAUGAAUAAUUAAUUUCUUCUUUAGAUGAAAGAGUUUGUCUGUGAUUGUAAUAUGUAUUUUGAGCUUUAAUUUUGUGAUUUUUUGGUAAUAAAAUUAUUAUGUGUUGUGAAUUACUUUAAAAACUUCAAUGAGAUGUGAUUUGAUUCAUCAGCUAAUUAAACUGAAAUGAUAUGAGAAGCAAAUCAUUUUUCAGAGUAAUUUAAUUAUGUUUUUCCAAAAGAAGAAGAAAUAGUGCAUGAGGUAGCGUUAUUGAAGCUUAACUUUCAACCAAUUUAAUUUUGAAUGAUGGAAUCAUUAAAAAAUAUUAAUAAAAAAAGUUUGCAAAAGCACAAAAAAAUAGCAAAAAAAAAAAAGAAUGAAGAUAAAAUUUGAGAGAAAAAACCUAAGGAGGAUGAAAUUAUAAAAAAAAUAAAAAUGAUUAAAAAAAUAAAUAGCAAUUAAAAGAACGAGGACAAAAUUUGAAAGAUUAAAAAUCAUAAGCAGUGAAAUUGAAAAAUAUUUGUAAUUUGAUAAAUUAUUUAAAAAAUAGUAGAGGGUGAUAUUAAAAAAAAAACUAUAGAGGGCUAACCCAAUAGAAUCAAACCACAAAAAAAAAAAAAAAUAUAAAAUAAGAAAACAUCAGCUUUAAAAAAAGAGAAAAAAAAACCUACAAACUCGAGUAAAUCUUCUAAACUUGGUCUAAUCUCUAAAACUAAAUGAAGAAGAUAAGAUGAGAAGCCCAAGCUCGAUGUUAGGGGGCAUAACGAAUCAUUUUGCAAGUCAAUCCUAAGGUCUAGAAACACAUGGACCAAAAGGAGGUCUGGUAGCAAGCACUAGUGAUCCUUAGUUGUGAAAUCCCUUAAACACUUUUUUAACCUACAAAUAUCAUUUUUCUUCGUAACCAAAAGCCGAAGCUAAAGUUACAUGCCCAAUCAAGCUCUUUCUAAUAAAAGGCAGGCAAUUUGGAUCGGUAAGCAAUGUUUUCCAAUGUGAAAGAAACCGCCUAUUUUUUAUACACAUAAAACAAAUGCUUUGAAGACUACUUCUCUAAAACCAUCAAAUUAAAAGUUGAACCCUACUAACCAACAAAACACGAAACAAAAGGUCACUUCAUUUUUUUUCCCAAAACAACAAAACAAAGAUUUUCAAUAAAUAUGAAAACCUAUCCAUAGGAAUCGCUUGAAUUCUUUUUGGAAUAAGUUUGCUUGAAACUAAUGUCAAAAUGAUUUUUGUGUUUGGAAUGGCUUUGAAAUUCCAGAAAUUUUCCUAUAAAAAUAAUUCAUUAUAAAUAACCAAAUCUUAUUCCGUAUAGCAUUGUCCCUAAAAAAAACUUGAAACUAAACACCUGUGGACAUGAUCAGUUUGAGGGGCAAUCCAAGAAACAUGAUAGGGUUGGCUUCACGAUUCCCUUUCUAAGAAAAUAGAGAAUGUGAAGCAAAACUGAUGAUCUUUGAGAUAAAGGUUUUUAGGCUAAAAGGUAUGUUGAUAUCAUUUGAGAAUUGCCCUUCCUAAAGGUUAAGAUUGUUGCUUCCUAAUUUUUUACUCCAUUUUUGAAGUAUUUCAAGAAAAACAAAAAAUAGCAAAAAAACCUAAAAAAUAUGUUAUUGAUGUCCUUGCGCCACCUACAACGUCUUUUUCUAUGUGUUUAGUUGUUAACGUGCUUUUUAAAUCGACGUUGAUGUCGCUCUUUUUCAAAAAAAUACAAAAUACAAAAAUAAGAAAAAUCAAAAUCUACAAGUGACCAAAUAUGAAAAGAAUGAAGUUGAGGGACCAAUUUGUUUUAAGGAUUGCUUGGUCACCAAGUUUGCUUGGAGACCAAGAAAUUAAAAAUAACAAAUUUUUUUUUUAUCUAAAAGUAAGUGGUGGUUACACACAUAUGGAGGAGGCAAAAAUUAAGGAGAAACUUGAGGGAAACCAAAACAAUUCACACAUACUCUCCCACACCUACACGACACAAAAAACAAACUCUAAACCUAUUAUACCCAGACCAGCCACCAGCCAGACAAGAGGCAAAGAAAAAGUAAAAAACUUGCCAAAGAUGACCAUAGGUCCCCUAUCCAGCCUUGGAUCAUCCACCAUUGUCAAUGACCUUAGCUAGACACAGCAACCACUAAACUAACCACCAUCUUCCCCAGCAACCUGCAUCCAUUCUAGUCGACCAACACCUUUAAGCCACCACACCUUCGGUGGUAACCUACACCCACGGUGGUAACCUACACCGACAACCUUCUAUCCCACCGAGAACAAGAACAACCAUUUGUCCUAAAAUCUCAUAUAACCAGCCACCCUCACUCUAUACCAACAACAGCCAACACAACAUCUCCCAUAACCCACUCUCUCCCAUCGAAUCAACCACCUAUAAACUCACCCAACUAACCCAGCUCCACCAUCAGCCACGACUAGCCUUCCAAUCGACAACCUUAUGUCCCUCUCUCAACCUCAACACCACCAGUGGUGGUGGGUUUCCCCAAGUUAGCCACCAAUCCACCCUCAAACUUCACAAAACAGCUCUGAAGCACCUCUCAUCUCCUAUCUCUAGCCUUAAUCUUUCAAUAUGAAAAACAAUGAAAAUGGACAUAGGAGGGUAGUAGUGGGUUUGUUUGAGGUUGGGGAGGAGGAUUGUCCAAUCUAUUCAGAUCUGUCGAAAGAAAACACAUGUUCAUGAAAAUAGACAUGACGAGAGACUUAAAUGUGUUGGGAUGCAAUGUCAAAACAAUAGUAACCUAGGUGAGAUGAACUAUAACCGAAAAACACACAUUGAGAGGAACAAAAAUCUAAUUUAUGAUUAUGAUAGGGGCACAUAAAUGCAAAGCAGAGACAUCCCAAAGUACACAAAAAAUAAUAAUCCAGAUACCAUUGAAGUAGACAAUCAAAAGGAGAUUUAUUUGUGAGGACAAGAGUAGGCAUGCGAUUGAUAAAAUAAAUAGAAGUUUCAAAAGCUUAAUUCCAAAAUCUUAAUGGUGCUUUACACUGUCCUAGAAGAGUAAGUCUGGUUUCCAUAAUAUGCCUAUGACGACGUUCUAUUGUGCCAUUUUGUUCAUGAGUGUGAGGACAAAUCAGACGGUGAUGAAUACCAAUGGUCUGAAAGAAAAUGGAUAAUUUUUUGUAUUCACCGCCCCAAUCAAUUUGAACAGAUUUAAUUUUUAGCGAAAAUUGAUGCUCAAUGAGAGUAUGAAAUUGAUGAAAAACAAAGUAAACAUCAGACUUGGCAACGAGAGGGUAAUACCAUAUAUAUUUUAUGUAUGCUGAUUAGUACUUAAAAGUGCAUUUUUAUCAAGGUUGUAUAUCAUCAUAUUGCACUUAAAGUAUCAUUAAAUUCCCCAACUUAAGCAUGUUUUAUAAUAACAAGUCUGAUAAUAUAAGAUAUCUUUAAUUUAUGGUAAAUGCUCAUUUCAAAUACAGGCAUGUUUCACAAUUCAAAGGAUUGAUUGAUUUGUUUAACUAUUGGAAUUGAAAAGACAAAGAGAGGGCUAAGCUUAAAGAAGAGAUGCUGGUUCAAUUCAAACUGAAAUACCAUUCGGUUAUUGGAUCAUAACUGGAGCUGUAGAACUUGGAUCUAGGUCUGGUUUAUAUGGAUGGAAAGCUAAGACACAUGCCUAAAACUUUUAUGAAGAGUCCAAGAUUCAAAACGACCGUUUUGAAGUUCAAAUUGUAGCAACAAAAGAGAAGUCGGAAUCUAUCAUGUAGCCUAGACACUGUUUAGUGUUCAGCCCAUAUCUCGAGUUCUAGAAGUCUAAAUGAACUCAUUCUUAUUUUGUUGGAAAGCGGAGACAAAUGCCCAGAACUUUGAUGAAGACUAUCUAUUCAAAUUAUGACGUUAGCAAUGACGUUUUGUUCAGACAAGAAGAUAAUGGUUGUCACCAAGUCAAGAGGUGGCCACCCGCUCAAUAAUUAGUCAUCAAAUCAAUAGUUCCGAAUUUUUGCCUAUAAAAGGAGGCAUUUGCCAUACAUUUAGACAUCUUGGUGUUUAGAUCAAGAUCACUAUCUCUCUUUGUAUUUUGUAAUGUUCAAGUUUUAUUUUAUGUUAUACUAAUCUCUUGUUUAUGCUUUUCAUUUCCUUUACUAUACUUAGUUAACUUAUAUCAUGUUUAUGUUCUUAUAUUGUUUAUUUAUGUUUUUUUUCUUCAUUAUGUUUAGCUAAGUUAAUUUAUCAAGGUGAAAAGGGUACACUAAUGGUGUAAGAAUAAGUAUAAUAUAAACUCAACAUGGACUUUAAUGUCUGAUACUAACAUGUUUUGUAUUUGUUAUCUUACUCAUUCUUAAUACCUUGCUUGUUAAAUGGUUAAUCUAGAUUUGUGUUGUACAACCCUUGGUACAACAAAUACUUGGAACUUUCAUAGCCUACUGUAUGGUAUAACCAACACUUGUGCUAUGAAAGGAACUUGAUUUUUUAUUAACAUAAGUUACACCAUGAAUACCUGAUCACAUUUACAAGUAUUGGCAUUACUUAAAUAAGAUAAUUAAUAAAAUCAUGUUAAUAAUUUAUAAUCCGAUUGGAACCUCCUUUGUGUGUGGUUUCUAGUUGAGUACUAAAAGGAGUUUAUACUAUACUUAUUUGAAAUACCAUUAGUGGAUCCUCUAACCUUGACAAUUGUUUCAUCUUUGAUUAAUAAUCACAUCAAUAUCACAUCUCAAAAGUUCUCUUCAACUCUGUCGUACCCUCCCGAGAGCUCGACGUCGCAGCGACCCAUCCACGUAGCCGUGAUUGAUUUUGGGGUCUUUCUGUUGUGAAAAAGGGAGUCGCCACCUAGUAUUAAGGUCACUAGGAAACCUAACUGGUCUUUCAGAGAUUCUAAGGCAAGGGACUGGUUGCGUAAAGGGAAGGUUUUAGCACCCCUAGUACGCCCCACCUAAAGUAAGCUGCUUGGUGUUUGAUUUGCCUUAUAACUGUCAUGGUGUUGAUGUUCUCUAAUCCCAUCCGUUUCCUAGGAUAAGUCUGCUCUGAUGAACGAAAUCUAGGGUGCUUUAAAAACCUAUUUUUAUCUCAGUGUUUUAUACUCUCACGGCUCGCAAACCGUGGAGUAAAAAAAUUUGAAAUGUCCUCGAUUAUAAUCAAGGCUUCUUUCAAGGAUGUGUGCGGAUUUAUUAUUCCUAGAAAAUUAUUUUGGAUAUUUACCACUCCGGGUUUCUUUAUCCAAAUAUUAACAGUGAAUAAUAACAAAUUAUCCCCAAUAAUAUUUGGGAUAUUCGUCCUUUAAGGAUUUCUUUAUCCAAACAUUAGUGCUGAAUAAUAACAAAUUAUCCCCAAUAAUAUUUUGGAUAUUCGUCCUUUAGGGAUUUCUUUAUCCAAACAUUAGUGGUGAAUAAUAGAUGAAUUCCCCAAAAAUAAGAUUUUUAUAUUUUUUGGAAUAUUGGCCAAUACCCUUUGGAGUUUUACAAACAUGUUGUAAAAUUCAGAAAUGCAAGAAAAAUGAUUUUUGUUGUGUUUAAGAAAUCCAUGCGAAAACACAUUUUCAAAACUUCAAAUAUUUGUUUUUUAUAUAAAAAACGUAAAAACAAUGUUAGGGUGUUUCCUUUAUGCAGAUGCACCCGCCUCUGUUUUCCUUCCUCCUUUGCUUCUGUUUGGUUCUUCUUCUCUUGAUCGCGGGUGUUUCCUUCUGUCAGCUGUUCGCCCUCCUCAAUGUACAACGGUUUCCCUCAAUGGUGGCGCGGCGUGUGGGAGAAAGAUGAUGAGCUGAGGAAGGAGGGUGGUGGCGUGGGGGAAAAUGGUGGGCUGUUGUUGAGAGGGAAAGGCUGUUGGAGGCUUGGGGGUUCUGUGACCAAAAUCUCCAAAACCAGGGAAGCCGCUGGUGGCUGGCUUAGACUUGAAGAUGAAGGGAUGAAAAAGAGAUGGAAAGGCAGAGGGGCUGGUGUGUUCUUUGGUCGGAUGAGGGGAAGAAGGAAAACGAAGGGAAAAAGCUGGACUCGGGGAGAAGGGACUGUUGGUGCUGUGGUCGGGUCUCUCUCCCUGUGUUUUUCCUUCGUCCCCUGUGUCUUUCUCCCUCUCUUUUUUUUCCGUCCCCCCUCCUUCUCUGUUUUUCUUCCCCUUUUAUAGGCAAGGAAAGCCUUGCGGUGAUAAUGGUAUCCGGGACAAGCCAUAAAACAUGCCCCAUAAUUUCAGCAAUUUACUACAAACCAUAUCCCUGUUUUAAUGCUGAAAAUGGCUUUCUUUUAAGGAGACAAUAAAUAGUGCUUGACGCCGUUUCAAAAUUUCAAAAAAUUAAUAUUUUAGUGUUUUGACAAUUUUGUAAUCAAGCCGAAUUGUAAUUGGAUCCCUUGAUUUUAGCGCAUCUUCUGGUUUGGUCCUUGGUUUUGGAUCGUGUCAAAUAAGUCCCUAAUUGGCCAUUAAACUUCAACAUGUAUGCAAUUAAGCCCCCGAUUUAGCCCAAUCAACUCUCAAAAAUCAUAAUUUGUCCCAGAACUUUAAUUUCUUCCAAUUAUAACCUAAUUUGACUUAAAAAUCAAUUUUCUUUACAAUCAAACCCCCUAUAAAUUCAAUUAAACCUUCAAUAAAAUCCAAUUGAGUCCAUAAACAUCCAAUUUUGAACUUUUCUCUUCAAAUUAAAUUUUCUUUUCCAACACGACCCUCAUCAUUCAAGUAUAUACUUAAAAAAAAAUCACUCUUUGUAUUUUGAACCUCCUUAAUCAAUUUUCUGAUCCUUUUCUGAGUGCUCCAAACUCCUUAUUAUUUUUCUAAUUUCUUCCGGCUAUAUAUUUUUAUAUUUUUUCCUUUUAUUUCUAUUUGGGGGGGGGAACCCAAAAAUGGGUUACAAUAGAAGCCCCCUCUUUAUAAUACUUACAGAGCAAUGGUUUUGCGUCGUAAGUUUUAUGAAGAUAAAUAAAACUGAACUUCCAAAACUAAUCUUGUCGAAGCUUGAUCGAUCUGAAACUUUGUCUUUACAGUAAUUUCCCUUCAACCCGAAACAAUGAUCAAAACUUAGUCAUCUUGAGAUCCCAAUCUGGCGAUCCCCUGACCUCUAACUUCGAUUAGAUUAACCUGGCAUUCCACCUGAGAUCCCUUCUGGCGAUCUCUUUUAACUAAAAAUCCAUAUUUGUAUUUUGGCCAACCUGAAAUCCCAUCUGGCGAUUUCCUUUAGUCAAAGCUGAUAUCUGUGUUGCGGUUGGGCUAACCUGAGGUCCCUUCUGGCGACCUCCUUUAACCAGAACCAAAAUCUUGUGUGUGGUUGGGCUAACCUGAGAUCCCAUCUGGCAAUCUCCUUUAACCAAAGUUAAAUUCUGUGUGUGGUUAGGUUAACCUGAGAUCCCAUCUGGCGAUCUCCUUUAACCAGAACCAAUACAAAAAUAUGUGUGUAGUCUUAUUAUGACGGGUGACCUACCCAAAAUGAAAGAUGGUCUCAUUAUGACGGGUGACCUACCCAAGAAGGGAAGAUUGGUCUCAUUCUUAUGGGUGACCUACCAAGGGGAAGAAUGGCCUCAUUAUAAUGGGUGACCUACCCAGGUAAAAAAAAAAAAUGGAGAAUGGUCUCAUUCUAAUGGGUGACCUACCCAGAAAAAAUGGUCUCAUUGUGAUGGGUGACCUACCCAAGCGGAAAAGGGGAAGAGUGGUCUCAUUCUUAUGGGUGACCUACCCAGGGGGAAGAAUGGCCUCAUUAUAAUGGGUGACCUACCCAGGUAAAAAAAAAAAAUAGAGAAUGGUCUCAUUCUAAUGGGUGACCUACCCAGAAAAAAUGGUCUCAUUAUGAUGGGUGACCUACCCGUUUUGAAUUUCAAAAGAAAACAUCUUACCUCGAGGAAAUGAAACAGUGCUGGUUCACAAUUCAUAUUCUUUUCUGUAGCUACGUUGACUUGAGACUCUGUCUCUUAGUGAUUCCCAAAAAACUUGGAACUAUUUUGGCUUUCGUCCCACCUUUCCUGCCAGGUUAGUGUUAUGACAAUAUAGCAUGCAUGUUUUUGUUACCUAUCUUUGGAAACAUAGGUCCCCCUUUCGUUGUAAACUUCUUCGAGCUCUUGUUUCCAUUUGUUUGUCCAACCUUUUCUUUUGAAUCGGAAUAUGCUCCGCACACUAUACUUCAUAUCCUCUUGGUGAAGAGAUCUCUGGUUCCUUAAGGGGCCCUUUCUUGCUCCAUUGAGUAUUGUCCUUUAUUAUUAUUUUAAAAUGAAAACUCAAAAGAUUUGUCUUUGUUCAUGAAAACUGAAACUUUCAAUGUAAUUGGGAAAUCUCAUAAAAGAUGCUUUUAGAAGUUUUUAUGAUAUACCCAUUUGGGCUUUGGUUCACUAUGGACCCCUAUGUGCACUUUGUACAUUUCUUGCCCCCAGUGUGGUGUGCAUAAAUAUGCCAAGUUUAGAUUUGAUUUGGUUCCCUCCAAUUGAUGGAGUCGUUUCCUUAGUCUUGUGUAAGAAAAGAGUUUGUUUAAGUAAAAGAUUUCAAAUGCUAUGAGAUCAUGCUUUUUAUGAAGAAAGGUUUUUUACAGAGAAAAUUCAUGGCCAAACUUUAUUUUAUUGAUUGGGAGAUUACGAAAUACAUCAAGCGUAAUAUUUCCUUACAGAGUCAGAAUUCACUGGCCUAACUAGAUCUUCUCCAUCCAUUCUAGAUAACAGCAAAGCUCCUCCCGAGAAUGCUUUCUUCACCACGUAAGGGCCCUCAUAGUUUGGCGCCCAUUUACUCUGAUCUUCCCCUGGUAAAGGCAAUAUUUUUUUCAGUACAAGAUCUCCUUCGUGGAAUCCUCGAGGUCGAACCUUUUUGUCAUAUGAUUUGGCCAUCCUUCUUUGGUAAAGUUGAUGAUGACAGAUUGCGGCUAUCCUUUUUUCACUUAUCAGAUUCAGCUGUUCAUAUCUAACUUUUGCCCAUUCUACCUCUUCCAGCUCAGAGUUUACCAGUACUCUCAAUGAGGGGAUUUCCACUUCUAAAGGCAUAACCGCCUCCAUUCCAUAUACCAACGUGUACGGGGUGGCUCCUGUUGAGGUUCGGACUGCGGUGCGAUACGCAUGAAGGGCAAAUGGCAACAUCUCAUGCCAAUCCUUAUAGGUGACUACCAUAUUCUGAAUAAUCUUUUUGACAUUCUUGUUAGCAGCUUCUACCGCACCAUUCAUCUUUGGUCUAUACGGCGAGGAGUUGGAAUGCUUGAUUUUCCAUUUAGCGCAAAGUUCUAUUAUCAUCUUGCCAUUGAAAUUCUGGGCAUUAUCAGUUAUAAUCUUUUCUGGUGGACCAUAUCGACAAAUCAAAUCUCUCUCAAUAAAUUUCUUCACUACUUUUUGCGUCACAUGAGCAAAUGACCCGGCUUCUACCCAUUUUGUAAAGUAGUCGAUAGCCACGAGAAUAAACCUAUGACCAUUGCUGGCUUUUGGGUUUACGGGUCCAAUCACAUCAAUUCCCCACAUCGCGAAGGGCCAUGGAGAUGUCAAGUUAAAUAGAGGAGCUAGAGGGGCGUUGAUUUUGUCACUGUAUACUUGGCACUUAUGACAUUUUCGGACAUAGUCGAUGCAAUCCUUUUCUAAUGUCAUCCAGAAGUAACCGACUCUUUGUAUCUUCCUAGCCAUUACGUGUCCAUUAGCAUGGGUUGAGCAAAUCCCUUCAUGGACUUCUCGUAACGCGCUUUGUGCCUCAAAUUCAUCCAAACAUCUCAACAAAGUCCCGUCGGAUGAUUUUUUAUACAAAAUCUCCCCAUCAAGAUAAAAAUCCAUUGCCAACCUCCUCAAUGUCUUCUUGUCGAUUUUGGAUGCCCCCAUGGGAUAUGCCUGGUUUUGGAUGAAAUUCUUGACAUCAUAGUACCAAGGGUUUCCAUCCACUUCUCUUUCGACUGAGCAACAAUGAGCUGGGUUAUUUCUGAUAUUGAUGUGUACUGGUUGUACCUUGUGCCCAAAGUCUAUUCUGGCCAUAGAUGCUAGUGUAGCCAAAGCAUCUGCAAACUGGUUCCCUUCCCUUCCUAGAUGGGUGAACUCUAUUUCCUCAAAUUCUCCAGCCAGUUUAGACAGGUAUUCUUGGUAAGGCCUUAACUUCUCUUCCUUGGUUUGCCAUUCUCCUUUUACUUGGCAAAUGAUCAGCAUUGAGUCUCCAUACACAUCUAUCUUUCUGAUGUUUAGCUCCAAUGCAGCCUCUAAACCGAGAAUGCAAGCUUCAUACUCAGCUGUGUUGUUGGUGCACCUGAACUGUAGCUUAACUGAAACCGAGUACUGCUUCUUAUCUAGAGAGAUUAUCACCGCACCCGCUCCGUUACCACAUACAUUUACAGCACCAUCAAAGUACAUAAUCCACCAAUCUGAUUUCUCUUCCUCGAUUGCAAGCACAUCUUCAUCGGGAAAUUCAAAGUCUAAUGAUUCAUAAUCUUCCAUAGCAUGGUCAACUAGGUGAUCGGUAAUAAUACUUCCUUUUACGGCUUUCCUUGUCAUAUAUACUAUGUCAUACUCAACCAAUAGAACUUGCCAUCUUGCAAUUCGGCUCGAUAAAUAGGGCUUUUCACAAAUGUACCUCAACGGGUCUAAUUUGGAAAUAACCACGUAGUGUGAUACAACAUAUACUGACGUAAUCUCUUNNNNNNNNNNNNNNNNNNNNNNNNNNNNNNNNNNNNNNNNNNNNNNNNNNNNNNNNNNNNNNNNNNNNNNNNNNNNNNNNNNNNNNNNNNNNNNNNNNNNNNNNNNNNNNNNNNNNNNNNNNNNNNNNNNNNNNNNNNNNNNNNNNNNNNNNNNNNNNNNNNNNNNNNNNNNNNNNNNNNNNNNNNNNNNNNNNNNNNNNNNNNNNNNNNNNNNNNNNNNNNNNNNNNNNNNNNNNNNNNNNNNNNNNNNNNNAAAUUCCCGGGUUUUCCGCAGUAAGUAGCAACCCGGUUAGGCACAAGUCAUGGUUAGUUGGGAUAUGAACCGAGCAAUGUAAUUCAACCUUCCUAAGAAACCUCUCACAUCCUUCUCAGUCUUGGGAGGUGGCAUAGAUUGAAUAGCCUUUACUUUGUCGGGAUCCACUUCUAUCCCUUUGUCACUCACCAUAAAUCCCAACAACUUCCCAGAUUUCACCCCGAAUGAACACUUCGCCGGGUUAAGUCUCAACUUAUAUUUCCUUAGUCUUUCAAACAAUUUCUUCAAUAUUUGGACAUGAUUCUCUCCCUCUCUAGAUUUAGCAAUCAUGUCAUCCACGUAUACUUCAAUCUCUUUGUGCAUCAUGUCAUGAAACAAAGUCACCAUAGCCCUUUGAUAGGUGGCCCCAGCAUUCUUUAAACCAAAUGGCAUGACUUUGUAGCAAAAUGUUCCCCAUGGUGUUACAAAGGUUGUCUUCUCUUUAUCCUCUUGCGCCAUUUUUAUUUGAUUGUAGCCCGAAAAUCCAUCCAUAAAGGAAUAUGUGGAGCUGCGUGCUGCAUUAUCAACUAACAUAUCUAUGUGUGGUAGAGGGAAAUUAUCUUUAGGGCUAGCCCGGUUUAAGUCCCUAAAGUCCACACAAACUCUGAUUUUACCUUCCUUUUUGGGUACCACCACUAUGUUUGACACCCAUUGUGGAUACUUGACUACUUCCAAAAAACCAGUGUUCCAUUGUUUUUCAAUUUCUGCUUUUACUUUGAUUAAGACCUCCGGAUGAGUUCUCCUCAACUUCUGUUUAAUCGGUUUGCAUCCUUCCACCAGUGGUAUCCUAUGUACUACGAUAUCCGUAUCCAAACCAGGCAUAUCCUCGUAGGACCAAGCAAAGACAUCUACGUAAUCUCGGAGUAGUGCAAUCAAUUCUUCCUUCUCUUCAGGGGUGAUCAAAGUUCCUAUUUUCAGCUCUCUCUUGAUUUCUUCAUUACCCACAUUUAUGGUUUCAAGUUCCUCUUUAGCGGGCCUCCAAGCCUGUUCAUGUUGUUCUAUUAAUUUUGUGAAUUCCUCUAUGUUUUUCUCCUCCCAUUCCUCAUCUUCUACAGCUACUAUGUAUUCUUUAAAGUUUGGCCAUUCAUUCUCAAUGUAAAGUGCAGGUGUUGUUGUGGAGGAUCCGCUUUCAGGGUUCCUGAAAGCGGGAAGUGAUGUGUAAAUGCACAGUAAGACAUCAAGAUGAAUUUUGAAAAUGCAUGAUCUCAUUAAAAGGAAAAGAUUGGCUCAAAAAUAAAAAUAAAAUCCAAUUGACAUCUUGAGCUUCGAUUGUCAAUGAUAAGAAACAAAAUAGAAAAGGGCAAACAACAUAGAUAAAAUUAUAAUCCAAUAAAAUCAUUGUUGAUUACAUUUUGAAAACCAAUGGAGCUUCUUGGGUCUCCCAAUUCUGGAACGUUUCUCUUUCGGCCAGCUUUCGAACGAAAGUCCUGACGGUGACUUCUUCCAAAGUGUGGAUGGUUAAUUGUGGCAGCUCUUCAUCCUUUCUUCCAGAUUCAAUUUUCUCCACAAUGUUCUUGACUUGGUCUUCCUCCAGAGUGUUUAUGUUCAUUGAAAAAAACUUCUGAAAGAGGUUUCCGUGUCCCUUAUCAGGUUGCAUCACGUAUGCGGCCUUUGGAAAAGAAAUCCUGAUUGGAGGGAUGACUAGGCUUUCUUCUUCAGGCUUCCUUCCUUCAAUCCUAGCCAUUCUUUUCUCCCUUCUUGCAUCAGUAGCUCGCUUGUAAUCCUCUUUCUUGGGCUUAUAUCCAAGCCCAAACCUCUGUUCUGCAGCUUUCAGCUUGAUUAUAUCAAUCCAUUCAAGUUUUCCUUUCUCGAUGUCAUAUGGGCAAGGAAUCUUGUGCUUCAAAAAGCUUUUAGCGGCCAUUUUCGUGGCCUCCGAGAGUUCUGGUUUCCUCACCACAGUGUUCUCGGGUACCCACUCGGUAUUCACAACUUCAAAUGCAUGAAGGUUUCCAUCCUUACAAUCUUCGGCUUCAAUGAAUGGAAUCGCCACAUUUCUUACCAUUGAUAUAGUCUCCUCAGCCUUAACAGUAACCAGAACACCAUUGGCAAUGUACUUCAAACAUUGAUGCAGCGAGGAGGUGACAGCUCCCGCAGAAUGUAUCCAUGGCCUUCCUAACAACAUACUAUAGGAAGGGUGGAUAUCCAUCACUUGAAGGGUUACUAGAAAGACUUGUGGACCCACAGCUAGUUCGACCUCAAUUGUCCCUAUCACUUGCCUGGGCGAGCCAUCGUACGCUCUAGCCGUCAUCACACUGGGUUGCAUAUGUGAGUGAUCUACUAGCAUUUCAUCCAGCAUGUGCCUUGGUAACACAUUAAGGGCUGAGCCGUUAUCGAUGAGAACUUUACUAAUGAGACAAUCUUUGCAUCGAACCGUGACAUAUAAGGGCUUGUUAUGUCCCGUUCCUUUAGCGUCAAGUUCAUCUUCCGUGAAAUAUAAGUAAUUGGCAGCAUGGAUCCUCCCUAUUAGAUGCUCCAUAGUUUUUUGUUCAAUAUCUUGGGGUACGUAGGCCUCAUUCAGUACUUUUUGCAAAGCAUUACGAUGCGGCUCGAAGCUAAGUAUUAAUGACAUGAUGGAGAUCUUGGCAGGGGUCUUCUUCAAUUGAUCCACUAUACAAUACUCACUAUGCUUCAUCAAUUUCAGGAACUCAUUUGUUUCUUCCUCAGUCACAGGUUUAUUUACCUCAAGCUCUCUAUCGAGGUCCCAUACCUCCUUGUCUUUAGCCUUUCUUUGCUUCUCUAGUUCUUCAGGUGUGAAACAACGACCACUCCGAGUUAGCCCACUUAUCUCAUUUUGAAAUAAUGACAAAGGAGUUUCGAUAUUCGAGGUAUAACCAUAAUCUCCAGGCAUCGCUCCAUAGUCUACUUUGUUUGCCAUCGGGGGCUUAGUUAAUACCAAUUUCGAGAGCCCAUUAGUUGUUGAUUGGAUUCUACAUUUCUCUCGAUUCUCUAUCAUCUCUAUCUCUUUAUUGUCGUUUACGGCCUCAAUCCUUAGCUCUCCUAGAGUUAGCAUUCUUGCAACCUUUUGAUGAAAUUUAAUGCAUUCGUCAAUGUGAUGCCCUUUCUUUAUAUGGAAGGGGCAAAAGUUACUUUCCCAUAUGCAGCAUUCAGUUGAUUUUUCCAAAUGUCCAGACUGCACCAACAUAAAGUAUAGUUUUGUCAUGGUCACUUUUAACACCCUCUCUUUGCUACCAAUCUCCAUGGUAUUCACUCCACCACUACUAGCGAUAUGUUUGGGUAAAGGGUUUGAAUUCACAUUAGGUGAAUCCUCGAAAGUGACCCAUCCAACUUUGAUCAGCUGCAACACCUUCCUUUUAAAAGCAAAGCAAGCCUCAAUGUUAUGACCUGCGUGACUAACAUGGUAUUCACAAGUCACCUUGGGGUUGUACCAGGUAGGGAAAGGUGGUUGCAUAGGUGGUAUGGGUAGGGGAGCUAUCCGCCCAAUACUCAACAGCGUGGCAUACAACUCUUUUAAGGUUAUUGGUAAAGGUGGUAAUUGUUCUUCCGAUGGUCGGUUGUAAUUGCUUUGGUUAUUUGCUGGGAAUUUUGUUUGAUUGGGUUGGUUUGGGAUGGAGGGUUUGGCAAAAUUGAUACUGGUGACUUGGGUGGUAGGUGUUUGGUAGUUUUUGCUUCUCCCUUUGUAUCCGCCUUCUAGGUUAUUCACCUCAUUUUCUUUCUUUUUCCCAAUGAAACCUCUCUUCUCUAUAGGUUCUGCAAUUCUCCCACUUCGGAUUCCUUGUUCAAUCCUCUCAGCAAUCCGCACAACAUCAUAGAAAUGUUGUGCUGAACUACCCAGAAGGUGUUCAUAGUAUGGAGCCCUAAAAGUAUUAGCAAACAGUGUCACCAUCUCCGUCUCUAUUAGUGGAGGUUGUACAUUGAUAGCUUGGUCACGCCACCUUUGAGCAUAAACCCUUACGGACUCUUGAUUUCCUUUCUCCAUGGUAAUCAGACUGGUCCUAUCAGGAGCAAUCUCAAGAUUAAACUUGUAUUGCUUUAAGAAAGCAUCUGCCAAGUCUGUCCACUUCUUGAUCCUAAUAUUGUCCAGCCUCAUAUACCAACUGAGGGCCGAUCCUGUCAGGCUAUCCUGGAAGAAGUAAAUUAACAUUUUAUCAUCGUGGAUAACUUCUGCCAUUUUGUUAUAGUAGGAACGGAGAUGGGUCUUUGGGCAUUCCAUCCCGGUAUACUUAACAAACUCUGGCACUCUAAACUUCUUUGGAAUAACAAUGUUAGGCACUAAACAUACUUCAGCAGCCCUAACUGGGUCAAAUAAAUCAUUUCCUUCAACUGCCCUUAGCCUCUCUUCUAGUACAGUCCACUUAUCAUACCCUUCAUGAUUAGAGAGUUUGACGUCAUGUGGGUCCUCAUUUGUUAAAUCCAUUGUAAUAGGGAUUUGGAUGGGCCGAGUGGGAUUAGGAUGCUGCUUAUGUGGUGUAUUUGCCCCCACGUUUAUAGGUGCGACAGGGAUUUGAGCUGCUGGUGGUGCUUCAUCAAGUUGAGUAGACGUUCCCUCUCCAUCUUUGGCUCUCAAUAUUUGUUCUAGCAUACUGGUCAGGUGCGCCACAUCCUUCCGAACUCCUUCAAGCUCUCUUUGGUAUUGAGCUUCUGGUUGUGACCUUUCUUCGUUUUCCAUCCUUUUUCUUUGUCGAGUGUUGUGGAUUCUGGGAGGGGGACCUAUGUUUCUUAAUCUGGAAAUGCGUGCAUAGAUGUAUGAGAAAAUGCAUGAUUGAGAAAUGCUUGUAUAUUGGGUAUGGAUGCACCCUUCUUGUGAACGAAUAAUAGCCACCACCUUAUAAACAUAGGUUCUUUUGUCACAUUGCUAGGAGUACUGCCUUUCAAGUCGUUUGCUUGAAUCAUAUUCACCAAGAGACAGAUUUUGCAUAAGAAGAUGGGUCAACGCCCUUUUCAUUAAUGCUUGAUAAGUUUAUUACAUUUAUAAAUGAAAAAGGAAAUACAACAUAUUAAUCCCUUUCCUCCAUAAACUCUCUAGCCAAAGGUAGGAAGGCAAAACCACGAUUCUCAAUCUUCCCUAGAAAGGCAUCGGUUUCAGCUAGGCUUCGGCGAUAGCGAAUGAUGUCCCCUCCCACUUUUCACGCAUUGAUUCUAAUAAUCCGAGCAUGUGCAGCAGCUUCGUCUAUUUGCUCAUCUGUUUUGGUCAUCUUUUCUAUGAGCAACAUAUGGGUUCUGUUCAAAGCAACAUUGUUAGCGUUGAUUUGAUCCUUGUAUUUUUCCAUUACUGCUAGCUUAUUGUCCAAAUACUUUUUAUCCUUUUCGCGCUUCUUGUCAAGUUUUUAUCCUCACAACUUUUUAUCUCAUUCUUCUUAACCGCUAACUCUGCUUUAAUAGCCUUAAAACCUUUCCUUUUACUCUCUUCCUUUACAAUCUCCAUCAAACGGUUUUCCAACUCUAUAUAUUUCUUGUUCAAUCCUCAUACUUCCCAAUCCUAUCCAUCAGUUCGAAUUGAACUUGUGCAAAUUUUUCUUGGGUAUAUUUUGUGCUUCCUUGGCAAUCUUUAAAGUCAACCUCUAUUGCUUCAAGUUCAAAGCAACUUUGCAUCCAAUCCAAACUCAUCCCUUCUAGCUCCUUCUCACUUUUGUCCUAGCAAUCUUCUCUUCACUUAGCUUUAACUCAAGCUUUGUUAUUCUCGCGUCUCUAGAUUGUGUUUGUUCAUCUAGAAAUGCUCUUCUUUUAUCUUCUUCCAGCAAUCAUUUCUUCCAACAUUGCCUUGUCUUCUCAACUCCUCUUCAUUAUUGUCCCUUUUUCUCUUGAUAGGCUCUUCUAUAAUUUGGGGAGAUUUGACUCCUACACAAGGCAUGGCUGAAGCAGCUAAGUCUCUCCAUCUUGCAUAUCCUUCACUUGCACUUGGAUCCUUCAAUCCUUCUAUCUCAACCAAAACCAGAUGCUUCCAAUCUUGUUUGAUGAUCUCCAAAGCUUCUUGUGCAAUGGGAUCUUUGAACAAACCAAAGAAUUGAGCAAUUCCCAUAGUCCUUGGAACAAAUUGCAUGACCCCAAGUUGCCUUACGACCAGGGCAGGAGUAUAACUCACAUAGCCUGUAAUCCCCACCAAUGGCACCCAACGUCUCUGUCCACAACUCAUUAGGACUUUCACUGUCGUUACCCAUGGGGAUCUCCACUUGAAAUCACUAUUAGGCAAACCUUCUAAUUUGUCAACCCAACCUUGGUUGUCUAGAUCUCCCCAUUCUUCUUCUUCUACCAACUUCAGGGGUUUUUGGGUGAACCACAAAAAAUUAUUGAAGACAGGUUUUUUUGUUUCGAUAUGGCUAACCAUCCAGAAAUACAACAACUGCGUGCAACAUCUCAUUGCUCCCUUUCCGGUCCUCCUACAAUGAUUAAGCGUCAAGAUGGUUUCAGCUAAAAUAGCAGCCACUGGAUUGAUUUGUGUAUUCUCAUACUCUACAUAAGCAGCAGCGGCCUCCAAACUCACUAAACCCGUCUGACUUGGGAACAACACAAGACCAAAUAUGCCCAAGGCAAUUAAUCUUUCUUUUUCUAAUCCUGACUUCUUUUCCAGUUCAAUUUCUAGCAUCCUCCAUUUCAGACCGGUAGCAUUCUUUUCCAAAAAAACUUUUCCAAGUUGGAAAAUCUGAGCAGUUUUGACAGUUCGGGGAUGAUCUUGUCAGAUCUCUAAGGCGAAUAAAUCCGAUACAGAUUGUUUGGAAACUCAGUCAAAAUCCCAUAUUCCUCCAUAGUGGGACAUAGGUCUAUGCUUCCAAAAGAAAAACACCGGAGUCUGGAUCCCAAAAAUGAACUAAAGCUCGCACAACUGGGUUUAAAACCUCUACCCUUGCAAUUUCCAUCAAACGUCCGUAUUUAUUAAAAAAUGCAUCCUUAUCCACAUUCUGAAAGUGAGUCGUUAACUUGUUCACCUCAUUCAUAAUGCAAUUCAGGUUCUUGAUUGGUGAUAGUUUCUUAGCAUCGCUUCUAAGGCAGUCUCCUUCAGUCAAUUGUAACAGUUCAGAAUUUUUCCCAUAUUCUAUGAUGGAAAAUUUAGCAAUGGUGGCCAUUUCAUUCACAAGUUCUGCAAUUCAAAAUGCCGGGGGGUUAGACUUGUUUUGAUGCAAAAGAUAUUAUGGAUCAUACACCCUAAGGAUAGGUUCUAGUUCCUUUACAUGAGACAUAGGGUAGGUUUACUACUUGGUCUCUAAAAAGGGGUCUCUUGCUGUCCCAAUGAUCGCCCUCGUAAAGGCAAUAUGAGGGUUCAGCAGAUAGUGGGAUGGCACAUGUACCAAUCACUAUCAGUCUAAACACUCAGCAAAGAGUUGGGGUUUACACAAACUUAAACCUUGACUCAAGUCAUAAGGCAAGCUGCUAGUCCCCCACCUAACUUAAAGUUUAAUGUGUGUGCUCUCAACAAGAUCGUAAUAAUAAUAAAGUGAUGCAUGACUAUAUCAUGUAUGACAGAAUGUAAAGAUGCAUGCUAAAUGUAUGACAGAAUGUAAAGAUGCAUGCUAAAGCUUUUUAAACAAAGUAUCAUUCGUAUAAGAAAACAAAGUAUCACAGCAUAAACAAACCAAUUAUCAAGCCUAGUCCUAAGUCCCCAGUGGAGUCGCCAUCCUGUCGUACCCUCCUGAGAGCUCGACGUCGCAGCGACCCAUCCACGUAGCCGUGAUUGAUUUUGGGGUCUUUCUGUUGUGAAAAAGGGAGUCGCCACCUAGUAUUAAGGUCACUAGGAAACCUAACUGGUCUUUCAGAGAUUCUAAGGCAAGGGACUGGUUGCGUAAAGGGAAGGUUUUAGCACCCCUAGUACGCCCUACCUAAAGUAAGCUGCUUGGUGUUUGAUUUGCCUUAUAACUGUCAUGGUGUUGAUGUUCUCUAAUCCCAUCCGUUUCCUAGGAUAAGUCUGCUCUGAUGAACGAAAUCUAGGGUGCUUUAAAAACCUAUUUUUGUCUUAGUGUUUUAUACUCUCACGGCUCGCAAACCGUGGAGUAAAAAAAUUUGAAAUGUCCUCGAUUAUAAUCAAGGCUUCUUUCAAGGAUGUGUGCGGAUUUAUUAUUCCUAUAAAAUUAUUUUGGAUAUUUACCACUCCGGGUUUCUUUAUCCAAAUAUUAACAGUGAAUAAUAACAAAUUAUCCCCAAUAAUAUUUUGGAUAUUCGUCCUUUAAGGAUUUCUUUAUCCAAACAUUAGUGGUGAAUAAUAACAAAUUAUCCCCAAUAAUAUUUUGGAUAUUCGUCCUUUAAGGAUUUCUUUAUCCAAACAUUAGUGGUGAAUAAUAGAUGAAUUCCCCAAUAAUAUUUUGGAUAUUCGUCCUUUAGGGAUUUCUUUAUCCAAACAUUAGUGGUGAAUAAUAGAUGAAUUCCCCAAAAAUAAGAUUUUUAUAUUUUUUGGAAUAUUGGCCAAUACCCUUUGGAGUUUUACAAACAUGUUGUAAAAUCCAGAAAUGCAAGAAAAAUGAUUUUUGUUGUGUUUAAGAAAUCCAUGCGAAAACACAUUUUUGAAACUUCAAAUAUUUGUUUUUUUGAUGUCUUGACGAAAACAACGUUAGGGUAUGGCCGUANNNNNNNNNNNNNNNNNNNNNNNNNNNNNNNNNNNNNNNNNNNNNNNNNNNNNNNNNNNNNNNNNNNNNNNNNNNNNNNNNNNNNNNNNNNNNNNNNNNNNNNNNNNNNNNNNNNNNNNNNNNNNNNNNNNNNNNNNNNNNNNNNNNNNNNNNNNNNNNNNNNNNNNNNNNNNNNNNNNNNNNNNNNNNNNNNNNNNNNNNNNNNNNNNNNNNNNNNNNNNNNNNNNNNNNNNNNNNNNNNNNNNNNNNNNNNNNNNNNNNNNNNNNNNNNNNNNNNNNNNNNNNNNNNNNNNNNNNNNNNNNNNNNNNNNNNNNNNNNNNNNNNNNNNNNNNNNNNNNNNNNNNNNNNNNNNNNNNNNNNNNNNNNNNNNNNNNNNNNNNNNNNNNNNNNNNNNNNNNNNNNNNNNNNNNNNNNNNNNNNNNNNNNNNNNNNNNNNNNNNNNNNNNNNNNNNNNNNNNNNNNNNNNNNNNNNNNNNNNNNNNNNNNNNNNNNNNNNNNNNNNNNNNNNNNNNNNNNNNNNNNNNNNNNNNNNNNNNNNNNNNNNNNNNNNNNNNNNNNNNNNNNNNNNNNNNNNNNNNNNNNNNNNNNNNNNNNNNNNNNNNNNNNNNNNNNNNNNNNNNNNNNNNNNNNNNNNNNNNNNNNNNNNNNNNNNNNNNNNNNNNNNNNNNNNNNNNNNNNNNNNNNNNNNNNNNNNNNNNNNNNNNNNNNNNNNNNNNNNNNNNNNNNNNNNNNNNNNNNNNNNNNNNNNNNNNNNNNNNNNNNNNNNNNNNNNNNNNNNNNNNNNNNNNNNNNNNNNNNNNNNNNNNNNNNNNNNNNCCCUUCUCUGUUUUUCUCCCCUUUUAUAGGCAAGGAAAGCCUGCGGGUGAUAAUGGUAUCCGGGACAAGCCAUAAAACAUGCCCCAUAAUUUCAGCAAUUUACUGCAAACCAUAUCCCUGUUUUAAUGCUGAAAAUGGCUUUCUUUUAAGGAGACAAUAAAUAGUGCUUGACGCCGUUUCAAAAUUUCAAAAAAUUAAUAUUUUAGUGUUUUGACAAGUUUGUAAUCAAGCCGAAUUGUAAUUGGAUCCCUUGAUUUUAGCGCAUCUUCUAGUUUGGUCCUUGGUUUUGGAUCGUGUCAAAUAAGUCCCUAAUUGGCCAUUAAACUUCAACAUGUAUGCAAUUAAGCCCCCGAUUUAGCCCAAUCAACUCUGAAAAAUCAUAAUUUGUCCCAGAACUUUAAUUUCUUCCAAUUAAAACCUAAUUUGACUUAAAAAUCAAUUUUCUUUGCAAUCAAACCCCCUAUAAAUUCAAUUAAACCUUCAAUAAAAUCCAAUUGAGUCCAUAAACAUCCAAUUUUGAACUUUUCUCUUCAAAUUAAAUUUUCUUUUCCAACACGACCCUCAUCAUUCAAGUAUAUACUGAAAAAAAAUCACUCUUUGUAUUUUGAACCUCCUUAAUUAAUUUUCUGAUCCUUUUCUGAGUGCUCCAAACUCCUUAUUAUUUUUCUAAUUUCUUCCGGCUAUAUAUUUUUAUAUUUUUUCCUUUUAUUUCUAUUUGGGGGGGGGGAACCCAAAAAUGGGUUACAACAAACUCCUUUUCAUUUGUUGUUUAUAAUUUUAUAUAGUUCACCUCCCUAUGGUUCAACCCCGGUCUUGUCGAGUUAUUUAUUACUUCGACACUCCUGCACUUGGGAUAAAACAUCAAUCUUUUGAUCGUGUCAUAUGCAUCAACAGAGAUAACACAAUAACAAAAACCAUCAGAUGAAAAAAAGGGAGUAAGACCCCAAACAUCACGUAGGUUCUAAAGACAAACGCGACGACUUUCCUAAUGGACAAUUUGACUUUGAAAAUUAAGACGUUUGUUAUUACAAGUAAUCUUAUUUUGUGAAACUAGAAAUUUGAAAAUACAAGAAGUAGGAUGACCUAAUCGACGAUGUCAUAGAUCAGCAAAAGCAUACAUGCAAAGAGAUCAAUAAGCUUGAGGAACUGACAUGACCAAAGACCUGGUCAAAGCAUAGAGACCAUCUCUACUCUGACCGGAAAGGAGUACUACCUUAGUGUUUAGAUCCUUGACAUAAAAAAAUAGGUGAAAUUCAAAAUAAACAUUGUUAUCAAGAUAAAAUUUCUGAACAAAAAGCAGAGGUUUCGUAAUAUGUGGAACAUGAACAUUAGACAAAGUGAAAGUACGAUAUGGUGUAUGUAUUUUAUUAUAACCAAUAAUAAAUAUGGGAAGUCACUUACCAUUACCGAGUUAUGGUUCGGACCCUGUCAGAUUUGCAAGAUCAGGUGUGACGUGUUGAUUAGCACUAGUGUCCGGAAGCCAAUCGGUAGUACCUGCUGAGGAAGAAUUACUCAAACCUAGAAUCGGACUAGGUUGUUGUCCAUAUCCAAGGUUCUGAAGCUGAGGACAGUGAGGGGUGGUAUGAUUGAAAGCUUGGCAUAAUUGGCAACGUGUAUUAGCCCAUUGUGAGGGCGCAGGAUGCCCUCUAUUUCACUGCCAAUUGUCCUACCUCCCGUCAUUGCUAGAAGGUCCAUUGAAGCUGUAAAAAUAAGACCUGGAAGUAGCAGACUUGUUCCCUCUGUUGUUGCCAUUGUUGGGACGCCACCCUUCAUGAAAUUUGCCCAUAUUUCGGUGUCAAUUUCCAGAAGGCUAACGUUCAGCAACAAGAGCUGAAGGUGGUGUGGGCAAUAGAUGGGCAUUGAUGGCAACAAAUCCUAUAGAUUGAAGGGAGAUCUUGUGAAGAAAUUCACGCGUGAGAAGGUGACUAUGAAGAUUGGCAUACGAGAGAGGUUUUGCCUUGGUCACAAGGCUUGUUACUAAGUCCUUAAACUCACUACCAGAAAUUCGCUAAAUAGCAACGGAUUUACCGACGGAAUAUGUCUGUCGGUAAUUUGAGGUCGAAAUUACCGACGAACACUUUUCCGUCCGUACUUCAGUCGGUAACUACCGACGGAAAGUUUCCGACUGAAUUAUGGACGGAAAAGUUUCCGAAUUAAAAAAAAAGGCGGGUCGCUGACGUGGAGGUUUUGGGGGGUUAUUUUUUCCGACGGAAUCACCGACGGAUUCAAAACGACAUCUUGUACAGUGACGUGACCAGUUUGCCGUUUAAAUUGCCGACGGAAUCACCGAGGGAUUUGAAAUGGCAGAUCCGUAAGGUGACGUGUCAAUUUUUCCGUCAGAAUCACCAACGGCAUCACCGACGGAAAAUCCGUCGGUGAAAGUUAAUAUAUGUCAACUCUGCCGACCCUCUCCUCCCCUAUUUCUCCUUCUUCUUCCUAAUCCCAACUCUCCCCAUCUGCAAACAACCAGCCCCCCUCCCCCCAAACAAAAAUCUCCCUCAUAUCAGCACAACAAGUUAUAUUUCUUGAAGUUUUGUGGUCACAACAUCCGUGUUCUGAUUUACCGACGGAUUUUAUCAAUUUUUGUAAGUAAUUCUAUCUUUUAAAAUUUUAACAUUUAAUUAAAUGUCGAUUUUAUUGUUUUUUUAGUAUAUGUAUUUUGUUAGUAGAUGUACAUGUUUUAUUGUUAUUUCUCAAACAAACUUGUAGUACCUGUUAUGGUUUGUUUUAGAUUUUGUAAGAUUGUAUUUGUUUGUAAAUUGUUAAAACUUUAUGGAACUACCGAAGUACAUGUGUUGUUUUGAAAUAAUUAAUAGCUUGCUUAAUGGGUCCGUUUAAAGUUUUAUCAAUGGUAUUGCGGAGUGGUAAUUUUCAUAAAUUUAUAUAUUUUAAUUUGUAUGGACGUUGAUAAAUGAUAAUGAAUAUUUAAUAUUUAUGAGAAGUUGUGUUUGGUUUGUUGGAUAAUCUCGAGGUAAAGUAAUAUUUUUGCAAGUUUAUUUACCUAACUUAGUUAAUUAAUAUAUGAUGUCAUCAUAAUUUUAUAGAGGUUCGAUAUAAGUCAUGGAUGAUCGUUCAUGGAUGUAUCGAGAUUCAACCCAAGGAUUGCGGAGGAUGGAUUAUUGUAACGGGGUUCAGGGUUUUAUUAAUUUCACAAGAUCUAUUCCCAAAAAUUUUACUGGAGGCGGUAUUAGGUGUCCAUGCAGGAAGUGUCAGAAUUAAAGGUAUCUGCAUCAAGAUGUUGUAAUGAUGCAUCUUCUACACAAAGGGUUUAUGGAGAAUUACCAGUGUUGGUAUGCACAUGGAGAAGUAUUUGUUAGUAAGAGGAGAAUGGAAGAAACGGUGGUUGGGUCUACUUCUAGUGCUAGCAACGUGCAUGAAGCGGCAAAUGACAACACUAAUCCUUACAGAAAUAUGGUUAUGGAUGCAAUGAGAAUGAAUCAAGGUAAUGUCAGUCAAUGUCCAAUCGUAGAAGAAGAACCUAAUGCAAAUGCAGCUAGGUUUUUUGAUUUGUUGAAAGAUUCUGACGAACCAUUAUGGGAUGGCUGCACGAAUCACAGUAAAUUAUCGGCCGUAUCACAAGUGUUCACCAUCAAGUCAGAUCACGGGUUGAGUGAGGCCGGGUAUGACAAGAUUAUUGAAUGGGCAAGAAGCAUUUUACCUGAAGGGAACAGGCUGAAAGAGAACUUCUAUGCUGCGAAGUCCAUGAUGAAACCCUUCGGUUUAGGAUACCAGAAAAUUGACAUGUGCCCUAACUUCUGCAUGUUAUACUACCUUGAAAAUGUUGAGAUGACCGAGUGCAUGACAUGCGGGCAUUCCCGUUACAAACCUAGAACUGGCAGGGGAAAGACUCUAGUGGCAUAUAAAAAACUUAGAUACUUCCCGAUCACACCUAGACUGCAGAGGUUAUUCAUGUCACCAAGGACUGCUGAGAACAUGACAUGGCACCAAGCACAUGAUGCGGUUGAUGGAGUGAUGGUGCAUCCUUCUGAUGGCGAAGCGUGGAAACUCUUUAACAGUGUGCAUCCUCACUUUUCAACUGAAUCAAGGAAUGUGCGUCUUGGGUUGUGUACAGACGGAUUCAACCCAUUGGGGUCAUUUGCUGCUCCUUAUUCUUGUUAGCCUGUCAUACUCACAGUUUAUAACUUGCCACCGGGAAUGUGUAUGAGGCCGGAGUUCAUGUUUUUAUCUACUAUCAUACCCAGUCCAAGCAGCCCGGGGCGGAAUAUAGAUGUUUGUCUUCAACCGUUGAUUGAUGACUUGGCGCAGUUGUGGUCUUCCGGAGCUCUGACUUAUGAUAUAUCGAGGAAACAAAAUUUCUUUAUGAGGGCGGCUUUGAUAUGGACUAUCAAUGAUUUUCCAGCUUAUGGAAUGCUUUCUGGUUGGAGCACGCAUGGGAAACUCGCAUGUUCAUACUGCAUGGAAAACAACAAGGCAUUCACGCUAGCAAACGAAGGUCAAGCUUCUUUUUUUUACUGUCACCGUUGCUUCUUGCCACUUAAUCACAGGUACAGAAAGAACAGAAAAGAUUUCUUUGUUGGCAGAGUUGAAAAAGAUGUUGCAUCCCCGCGUCUUUCUGGUGAAGAAUUGCAUGAUGUUGUCUCAGAGUACGGUGACAUUGUGUUUGGUCUUCAAUCAGGUAAGCAAAAGUUUCCUGGUUUUGGUUUGACCCAUAAUUGGGUAAAGCGAAGUAUCUUUUGGGAGCUUCCUUAUUGGAAGACCAAUCUGCUCCGCCAUAACCUUGACGUCAUGCACAUCGAAAAGAACAUGUUUGAGAACAUUUUCAACACCGUCAUGGAUGUGAAGGGGAAGACAAAGGACAACAUCAAGGCUAGAUUGGAUAUAGCUUUAUACUGUAACCGUAAAAAUAUGGAGUUGGUUUAUGAUGAGUCACGGGUCGCAAAACCAAGAGCAAGCUUCGUGUUAGAGAAAAACGCACAACUGCUAGUCUACAAAUGACUUAAGAGUCUGCGUUUUCCGGAUGGACAUGCAUCGAACAUAUCAAGGCUGGUUAAUAUAGAGGACUGCAGAUUGUAUGGAAUAAAGAGUCAUGACUGCCACGUGUUUAUGCAAACACUCAUCCCAUUAGCUUUUCGUGAUUUGUUGCCAAAGGGAAUAUGGGAUGCACUCACGGAGAUCAGUCAUUUCUUUAGAGAUAUAUGCUCCAGCAAGUUGAAUGUUGAUCACAUUGAGAGGCUUCAAACGAAUAUCGUCGAGACACUAUGCAAACUUGAGAUGAUAUUCCCUCCAUCAUUUUUUGACUCAAUGGAGCAUCUCCCUAUACAUCUACCGUUCGAGGCAAAAGCUGGAGGACCGGUCCAAUAUAGAUGGAUGUACCCAUUCGAACGGUUAGAUAUUACAGUUGCAAUGUAAUUCAUAUAUAAAAGUAUUUUAUAUGUUUUUCUUGAUUGAAAAUACUUGAUUAAUAUUUCAAUGCAGGUACUUGUUUAAUCUCAAGAAAAAGGUUAAGAACAAGGCGCAUGUUGAGGCUUCGAUAUGUGAGGCCUAUAUUGUUGAGGAGAUCUCAACAUUUAUCUCGUACUAUUUCGAACCUCAUCUGAGAACGAGAAUCAAUCGCGUUCCACGGCAUGAUGAUGGCGGUGAAGUGCCUUCCAGUGGGAACUUGUCAAUAUUCUCCAAUACUGGACGACCCACACCUUAAAAUGCCGUAAGAGGAAGAUAUUUGUCGGAAAUAGAGUUCAAACAAGCACACAACUAUGUUCUAUUUAGCUGUGAUGAGCUGAGACCUUUUAUUCAGUAAGUUUAUACUAAUUAAACUUUGUUAGUAAUAUACUGUUAAUUAUAUAUUGUAAUAUCAUACACUCAUUAUCACUUGUAGGCAACAUUGACAAUAUUUGCUCUCCAAUAACUCACAGCUGACCGAAUCCCAGAUCUUUCAAUUACAAGAUGAACAGUUUGCCACGUGGUUCAGAACACAUGUAAGCAUUAUCACAAACUCAUUCUAACUUGCAAAAUUAUUGUACGUAUGCAUGUCAUUACGAGAUUCUCGUUCAUUUACUGUUUAUUGAUGUACAUUACAUACAAGGUUUAUCAAAUGGGAAGGAGUGCACCUAAGUCAUUGUCUUCACUAAGUCUGGGCCUGAAAGAAAAUGUAAGUGCUACAACGGGUAUUUUGUCAAUGGAUAUGUUUUCCAUACUGAAGAAUACGGGCAAGGAAGAAAGACAUACAACAACGGUGUUUGUGUUAAGGGAUCCACUAGUAGUGAGUUAGAAGUUGACUACUAUGGUAGAUUAGAAGAGGUCGUCGAACUGCAAUAUCAUAACGAGCAGAAUAAAGUGUUUUUAUUCAAAUGCUAUUGGUAUGACACGACUGACAGAGGAAUCAGAGUUGAUCCGCACUAUGGUCUGGUCGAAAUCAACUCAAAAGCUAGACUCCGCAACGUAAAUGAUAUCUUUGUUUUCGCAAAGCAAUUUCAACAAGUUUAUUACACAUACACCCCUUCAUGUAGAAAGGAUCGAUCAAGAGUGGAUUGGUUGUCCGUUUUAAAAACAAAACCCCGGGGUCGUGUCGAGGUUGUUCAGGAUGAGAACGAAGACACAAGUGUGCGAGAUGAAGUCUUUUAAGUUAGUGAGUUGGUUGAACCAUAUCGAGUUGCUCCUUCGAUUGAAUUGGAAGAAAAUUCAAAUUUUCAUGUUUUCGAUGAUAGUCUUGUUGAUGUUGACGCAGAGGAGUUGAAUUUUGUUUUGAGCUCUAGCGGACAAGCAAAUGUCGAUGAAGAAGAUGAUAUCCAUAUAGAAGAUUGCGAUGAAGGUGAUGACAAUUCAAUUGAUGACGAAGAAGAAGAAAAUUCUGACUAACUACCAAAAUAAUGCCCUGUGUAAAACCCUUUUUUCAUGUAAUUUAGAUUAUGAAUGAUAUAUUUUGUAACACGAAAUAUUUAUUACUUGAAAUAAUUACUUGAAAUGCCACAAUCACGAAAUAAUUACUUGAAAUAAUUAUAGAUCAUGGAUGAUAUAUUUUGUAACACGAAAUAAUUACUUGAAAUGCCACAAUCACCGACGUCCAUACCGACGGAAUAAGUCCGUCGGCAUUUCACAGAGAGUUUGAAAAUAAUUACUUGAAAUGCCACAAUCACCGAUGUCUAUACCGACAGAUAUAAGUCCGUCAGCAUUUCACAGAGAGUUUGAAAAUAAUUACUUGAAAUGCCACAAUCACCUACCCUAAUACCGACGGAUAUAAAUCUGUCGGCAUUUCAUAGAGACUUCGAAAAUAAUUACUUGAAAUGCCAUAGUCACUGACGUUAAUACCGACGGAUAUAAGUCCAUCGGUAAGUUGUCGGUGGGUCAAGUUUACCGACAAAAUUACCGACGGACCGCGCGAAUUCCAAAGGGUUGUGCAUUAAAUGCAUCUCUGACCGCGUCAUCUUGCCGACGAAAUUACCGACGGAACACGAAAAAUAUGGAGGGUCAUUAAAAUUUUUGGUGCGAAAUUCAAAAUUUACCGACGGAUUUUUGACACUUCACCGACGGAAUAAAUUAAAAUAAUAAUUAAUUUUAUAGCCGACGGUGAAUCCGUCGGUAAAACUGCCAUAUAAGUUCCCCCGACCGCCGCUUCAGCUCAUUUUUUCUUCUCCUCAGUUUUUCACCGAUUCUUUUCCUCUCCAUUCUUCAAAGGUUUCACCAGCAAUCUCUAGCAACUUUUCUCAUGAAUCUCCAUCAGUUUAAAAGGUAUGUGUUUCUUCUAUUUCAUUUUACUUUAAGGGUUUUUUUUUGCUAUUUUUUUUUGCUAUGUUUUUUGUUUUGGUGUAUUUUUUAUAAUGUAGAUAAAGUCUAUAGUUUUUUUUAAUUUAUUGAAUAUUUUUUAUUGUUGUAUUGGCAUAAUUAUUAUUAGUUAAUUUGUUGAAUAUUUAUUGUUAAUGUUGAAUUUACCAUAGAAUUAGUAAUUGAAUAUGUUGGAAUAAUUAUUAAUUUUACUCUAUUAUUGCAUGAUUUGUGUUUAAUUUUUUCCAUUUAUUUUGAUUGUUAUUCUAGAUUUUUUUUUUAAUUUAUUGUUUUGUUUUAUUGGCAUAAUUAUUGAAUAAUGUUUUGAAUUGUAAUUGUUAAUGUUGAAUUUACCUUAGUAUUAGUAAUUGAAUAUUUUGGAAUAAUUGUUAAUUUUACUUUAUUAUUGCAUGAUUUAUGUUUAAUGUUUUCCAUUAAUUUUAAUUGUUAGUCUAUAGUUUGUUUUUUUAUUUAUUGAAUAUAUUUUAUUGUUGUAUUGGCAUAAUUAUUGAAUAAUUUGUUGAAUUGUAAUUCUUAAUGUUGAAUUUACCUUAGGAUUAGUAAUUGAAUAUGUUGGAAUAAUUAGUAUAGAUUGGGUCAAUUGGUUGUGGCUUUUGUUAAUAUGUGCAGGUUUGUGGAUUUGGGUAGUAUCUGGUAUAGGAGAGGUGCUGUCGAAUUUUUUUUUAACAUUUGAAUUUAAUUAUAUAAUUAUUUGUAUAAAAUUGUGAAGAUGCGCAGAAUGAAAACCAGAGCUGGUCGCUCACGUACGGUCGCAGCUAGUUCGUCUAGCAGCGAUGAUGAUAUUUCCUUAGGUGCCUCUCAAGAAGAGGCACCUACACCACCUGCGCCGUCAACCGAUGUUGUCUCUUCCAGCGCUACUUCACAGCGCAAAGGCAGGGUGCCUUCGCAGCGGAAUCAAUUUACCCGCAAGUACGAGGCACAGUGGAAGGACGACCUUUCAAUGUAAGUUUGUUAAGGUUUUAUUUUUUAAAAAACAAAUUACAACAUAAUUUAUGAAGUAAUCACUAUUUAAUUUAUUUCAUUUAUUUUCAGGUUCACAAACAUUGAGGCCGCCCGAGUAAUAUCAUCGGUGUUUAAAUCGUCGAUGGAGAUUCCAUUGUUUCAAUGGAGUCAGAUAUCCAAGCAUCCUGAAUGGAUGCCUCAAAUCAAUGCAUGGUUUGAUAGAUUUCAGGUUGGUGUUAAUUUAUAAUUUUCAGCUUAUUUCUAAUAAAUUAUAAAUAUAAUUGUAAAUAAAUUAUUAUUUUUAUUUAAACUUGUUUAUUUAUACACAACACAAAUUCUGUUGGGACAGUGAGCAUAUCACUAUUGUGAGGAGGGUGUGGGAAAAUCACGCGGCAACUAGGUAAGAUCGAAAACAGUACAAGAUUUUUUUUAGACAAAAAUUUAUGUUUCGAAAUGUAAUUUUUGGUUGUGUGAAGUAAGUUACAUGAUUUUUGGUACGAAGCACAAAAAAGGGCAAAAAAAACUGCGAGGGAUAGGGGUUUCCAAGGCUGGAACGAUGUUGCGGUUUGGAGGGAUUUCAAACCGAUAUACAUCCCGGAAGAUAUAUGGCCGCACUAUCUUGAGCACGUGACGUCUGAGCGGUUCACACGAAGCUCACAGUCCGGUGCUGGCAACCGGAAUCGGCCAAUUCAUGGCUCGGUGACAACGCACACUGGCGGCUCUGUUCCGUUUGCUGCACAUGCGAAACGGAUGGUAAGAUUAAUUUAAAUGAAAUAUAUCAUUAAAUUAAGUUGUUGUUAAUAUAUCUUUUUUCAUUAUAGGCUGCGUCUCUUGGACGUGAGCCGAGCCCGAUGGAGCUGUUUGUGGAGACGCACGUGUGGAGUCAAGACCGCCAAAAGGGGGCGCAAUAGUUUGUUGAUAAUCGUGCUCAACAUUUCGUGGUAUGUUUGUUCAACCAUUUUAUUUUGUAAGUUAUUAUGUUUAUUGAAUUGAAUAUGAUGAUUACUUUUUUUAUUUUCAGGAGACCUAUAAUAACCGGUUGAGGGAGAGAUACGGGGAUGAUAUUUUGACCCAUCCGGAAUUUGAUCCGGAUUUGUGGAUGGAGGUUGGAUCAUCAGGUGGACCCGAUAAAAAUCGGGUUUACGGGCUCUCCAACACUACGGCCGACAACUUGCGGUCGACCCGUAGUGUUUCAACCGUUGGGAGCUCCCAAUCAAUAUCAAGCUCCCAAUCUAAGGAGUUCGUGGCCUUGCAGCAACACACGGCUCAGCUCACCGACAAAUACGACCACCUAUCAGCGGAGUACGCACAACUCAAAGCGUCUCAUGCACAACAAAGAGCGGAGUCUGAGCAAAUCAAAGCGUCUCAAGCACAACAAAAAACAGCUUAUGAACAACAAAAAGCGGCUUAUGAACAGCUUCGCGAAAUGGUCAUGAACAUGGCAACACAUGGUGGAACAUGUGCGCCUAAUCCUUUUUUGCCGUAUAACCACCAGCCUCCUCCUCCAGGAUCUCCUCCUCCUCCUCCAGCUCCACCUUUAUAUUAAUUUGUAAUAAACAUUAUUUACCUUUAAAACUUCAUUUAAUAUUUUUUUUGAAACAUAUUCAGUUUGUAAUGAAUAUUAUUUAACUUUGAUUUUUUUUGUUUUAUGUCUAAUAUAAAUUUUAUUUGCAUAAUUGGUUUUUAUUACCAUUAAUUUAUAUAGUUUUAUAUUAUAUAUUCUAAAUAAUUUUUUAAAAACAAAUUUAGAAAAAACUAUUACCAAGGGUUUUACCGACGGAAUUAAUCCGUCGGCAUCUGACAGUAGCAUUCACCGACGCAUUUACAGACAGAUAUAUUCGGUCGGUAUUUUAAACACUCACCGACAGCCUUACCGACGGACUUAAUCCGUCGGCAUUUGACAGUAGCUGCCACACUUAUCGACGAAUUUACAGACGAAUAUAUUCGGUCGGUAUUUCAUACACUCACCGAUAGAUUUACCAAUGGUAAGUAGUCGUCGGUAAAUCACGAUAUCACCGACGAAAUAAAAAUCCGUCGGUAUAUUUCAAGCGGGAAUCAAUUUUUUUUAGCGCGCAAAUUCCGUUUGUAAAACCAUCGGCAAAUGAUUUUUUUGUUUUUCCGACCGAUAUAGCGACGGAAUGGGGAAUCACCGACGAAAGGAAAGCCGACGGACGUAAUCCGUCGGUGAUGACGUCUGUAAAUAAAUCACCGAUGAACUGCUAAUCACACACCGACAGAAUAUGUUCGUCGGUAAAACUGUGAAAUCUUGUAGUGACUCUCCCCGAAGACCACGAAACACAUACAAAUUAAAAUCUUCCCGCGAAAUAGGUUGGCCAGCAGCGCCCAACUCAUCAAAUGAUGCCUUAGAUUUUUGCAUAAACUGAGUUACCGACUCAUCACCUUGUCGAAGAUCUUGAAAGGAGGCAUGAAGUUGCAUAAUACGAGAAUUGGACGAGGAAGCUAUAACUUGCUCAAGUGUGCGCCAAAUAGAGCUCGAAGUUUGGCAGUCAACAACAAGAUGGAGAACAUCCAUGGAUAGCGAAGAUAGCAAGGCACUUAGAAUGAGUUGGUCCUACUGUUUCCAACGAAGAAAAGAAUGUUUUACCUGAAGAGAAUUACCAUCAGCAACAAAUACAUGUGGAGGAGGACAAGAAUUUGAGCCAUCCACAAACCCAAAAACUCCUUAGCUUAUUAGAUAUGGCUUCAUCUGCAUUUGCCAAUAAACGUAAUUGGUGUUUAUUAAUUUGAGAGAGAUGACUUGGUAAGUGUGGGAAAGGAAAACAAUGGUAGGGGCAACAACAGAGGAAGGCUGCAACAGAGGAGUGUUGUUCGGGUUGACAAGAGCUUGGCCAGCAUCUAUUGGCAGUGGUCACAGCAAGACAGAAGCAGAGGAAGACACUGGUGAUGCGGUAGAGGAGGAAACCAACAUCGGCGGUGCUGCAGAGGGGGAGGCAACAGUCGGCUAAGAGGAAGAGUCCAUUGGAGAGGGAGAGAAAGUGUUUUAAGUUAUUUAGAGCUUUGAUACCAAGUUGAGAAUAAUAGAAUGGCUUGAUUUAUCUCUUAGCCAACCUUUCCUAUUUAUAUGCCAUAACUAUAGGAACUAUAACAUUGGAAUAAUCCUAUAAUAAUUCCUAUUUAUAUAUGUACAUUCUAUAAUAAGCAUUGAUACACCUCCAACUCAAUAUCUCACUUCAAGCUUUCUUGCAUGAACUUUUAUAUUCAAGCUUUCUAGCAUGAACUUUUAUAUUCUAGUUGUUGAAAGUAGGCAAUGGAAGUGCUCAUGGAUAAGAAAUUUAGCCAAACUGAUAUUUAUUCUUAAAGUAGUUCUAUGAUAAAAUAUAUUGUAUCAUAGUUUUAAUAAUUAAAUGGACAUGAUAUUAAAUCUUUCUAUUCAUAUUCUUUCUAUUAGGAAAUUAUAUAAAUCAUAUUUUAGAGCGUUUUGACAUAGUUGAGAAUAACAGAAUGACUUGGGUUUGCCUUAGCCAACCUUUCCUAUUUAUAUAUGUAGGGCAGAACACGGCAGUAACCGUCGGGAUUACAACAUUGGAAUAAUUCUACAUUAAUUUCCUAUUCAGAGAUAUACAUGUUAUACAUUCUAUAAUAUUCCCCCUCAAGCUGAGGGUGGAGGAUCGACUCGAAGCUUAAACCUGAAAGCAGUAAAGGAUGCAGCGGAAAGUGGUUUGGUGAAGACAUCAGCAAGUUGAUCCCGAGAAGGGAUAAAGCGAAUAUGAAUUUCCUUCUUCGCAACCCGGUCGCGGACAAAAUGAUAAUCUACCUCAACAUGCUUAGUACGAGCAUGAAAGAUAGGAUUCGCUGAGAGAUAGGUUGCACCAAGAUUACCACACUAAAUGGUAGGAGCAGAGACAGAGGGAACCUGUAGAUCUGUUAACAAAUAUUGAAGCCAGAUGACCUCAGCAGUACCAUCUGCUAAGGCUUUAUACUCAGCCUCAGUGGAGGAGCGGGCAACUGUACGUUGCUUGCCGGAUUUCCAUGAAAUCGGUGUCUGACCAAAGAAAACAAGAUAGCCACCCGUAGACUUGUGUUCAUCAAUACUACCAGCCCAAUCUGCAUCUGUAAAACCAUGAAGAGCAAAAGAGGUACCUCGAGUGAUAUGAAAACCAUAGGAUGUCGUUCCUUUAAGGUAGCAGAGGAUGCGUUUAACAGCAGCCUAAUGGGAAUCUGUAGGAGCAUGCAUGAACUGACAAACUCUGUUAACAGGAAAGCAGAUAUCUGGGUGAGUGAAUGUAAGAUACUGAAGAGCAACCAUGAUUUGACGAAAUCUUGUGGGAUCAGAGAAUGGAUGAUCCGGCUGUAUAACAAGUUUGGAAAGAGAGACUGGAGUAUUAACGGGUUUGCAAAAUGUCAUACCAGCCCGAGUGAGGAUGUCAAGAAUAUAUUUGUGUUGGCGCAACAUCAGACCCAUACCUAUAGACUGAACUUCAAUACCCAGAAAGUAGUGAACAUCACCUAAGUCACGAAGCUUGAAUUCUGAGCUUAGUAAUAGGAUUAGUCGAUGAAGCAUGGCAGAGUUGCUGCCCAUAAGCAGAAUAUCAUCAACAUAGACCAGGAGAUAAAAGAUAUUAGUACCAUCAGAUAAGAUAAACAAGGAGGUGUCAACCUUGGAGGCAAGGAAACCAAUGGAGAGUAAAAAAUCACUCAGAUGGGUGUACCAUGCCCGUGAUGCCUGUUUUAAACCAUAUAAUGACUUGUGCAAUCUGCACACAUGAGAUGGAAGAGUAGGGUCAACAAAACCUAGAUGUUGUUUCAUGUAGACAUCUUCAAUAAGAACACCAUUGAGAAAGGCAAUAUGAAUAUCAAGCUGAUGAAUCUUCCAAUUACGUGAAACCGCAAUGAAAAAGACUAAUCUGACGGUGGCUGCUUAAUAACUGGGCUGAAAGUUUCAGAAUAAUCAAUGCCUUCCUGUUGAGUAAAGCCUCUAGCAACUAGACGGGCUUUAUAACGUUAAAUGCUGCCAUCAAUAUGACGUUUGAUCCGAUAUAUCCAUCGGCUGCCAACAACAUUCAUCGAAGGAUGAAAGGGCACUAGGGACCAAGUGUGAUUGGAAUGCAAAGCCUUGAUCUCAUCACACAUAGCAUCAUGCCAAGCAACAUAUUUAUCUGCAUCAGAGAAGGCAAUAGGUUGAGAGGAAGGAGAGAGCAAUACCCGGGUGGCAGCUGUAUCAGCUGCAGCAGAGGCCACCAUAUUUGCGGUUUGGGGCUGCCGCGGUCUAAGGACCAUAGGGUGGCGGCUAAGCAACGGUGGCGACGCAGAAGAGGUAGGUGUCACGAAGGUGUCGUGCUGCAGUGGAUAAGCGGAGAGAUCAACCACUAGAUUCAAACCAGGUGAAGAAGCCGGGGAAGAAGCUGCCGCAAGCAGAGGGCUGGCAACAGAGAUAGAGUCUGUAAAAGUCGGGUGACUGGCAAAAUAAGGGGAAGCAGAGGAGGAACCAGAGGGUGUCCCAGUACUAGCAGAGACAUUGUGCUGGAGUGCAGGGAAAACUGAUCUACAACCUGUACCUGCAACAAAAUGGUGAGAUAAAGAUGCAUGUGGUGAUUGGCAAGGGAAAGGUGGAGGCUGUGGUGUUUUGGUAGGAGGUGAAUGCAGGGCAGAGGCAAAGGCGAGAUGGGGUGUGUUAUGAUCGGUGAACAAUGGGGAGUGGGUCAGAUUUGGGAGGAUGGUAGCAAGGGAUGGUGUGUGGUUUUGAGCCGAGACCUGUGUAAUAUGUUCAGAAUUAUCAAACGGAAAAACAUGUUCAUGAAAACGAACAUGACGGGAGAUAUACAUGCGAUGAGAUUCAAUGUCAAAACAUCGAUAACCAAGAUGAGAGGAACUGUAGCCAAAAUACACACAUGGAGAAGACCGAAAAUCCAAUUUAUGAUUAUUAUAGGGACGCAAAAAAGGAAAACAGAGACAUCCAAAAGUACGCAAAAAAUGAUAAGCAGGAGGCCGUUGAAACAAACAAUCAAAUGGAGAUUGAUUUGCAAGAACAAGAGUAGGCAUGCGAUUGAUGAGAUAAACCGAAGUGUUAAAAGCAUAAUUCCAAAAGCGGAAUGGAGCUUUACAUUGUCCUAGAAGAGUAAGGCCGGUUUCCACAAUAUGCCUAUGAUGUCUUUCUACGGUUCCAUUUUGUUCGUGAGUGUGAGGACAUAUCAGACGGUGAUGAAUACCAAUGGUCUGAAAGAAAGUGGAGAGUUUGCGAUAUUCACCGCCCCAAUCAGUUUGAACAGAUUUUAUUUUUAAUGAAAAUUGAUGUUCGACAACAGUUUGAAAUUGAUGAAAAACAGAAUAAACAUCAAAUUUUGCAACAAGUGACUUCCACAAAUAGUGCCUUCUCUUUUGCUGGAAUUUGGAAAGGUAUUGUCCCUCCUAAGGUAGAGAUCUUUUGCUGGAUGGCUAUCAUUAACAGAAUCAACACCCGGUGUAUGUUGGUUCGAAGAGGUAUUUUGGGUAGCUCAUAGUCUAAUUGCCCUAUAUGCCUAGUGGAGGAAGAGUCGGUGGACCAUAUCCUGCUGCACUGCCAUAAGCUUUGGCUCAUUUGGUCCAAAAUCAUUAAGUGGUGGGGUUUAGUUUGGUGCUGCCCAAAGAGCUUCUCAGAUUUGUGGUCUCAGUGGACUUCCCUGGUACAUGGUCACUUUCAGAGGAGAGCAUGGAUGAUGUUGUUCUUCUCAGUGGCAUGGUCUCUUUGGCUUCUUUGAAAUGAUCUGAUUUUCCAACAGAAGACACCUGACUAUGAUUCAAUAUUCUUUCUUAUUAUCACCCGUCUAUGCCUACGGCUAAAAGCUAUCCAUUCUGAGUUCCCAUACUCCCCUACAGAUCUGAUCAGAUCGGCAGAUGGCCUGCUUCGGUGGUCCAAUGCUCACUCUUUUAUAAUUAAUAAUAUGUGGUCUCCUCCUAUGAUUAAUAGCCUCAAAUGGAACGUAGAUGGCUCUUUUCUUGGUAAGCCAGGCCCCUCUGGAAUAGGUGGUGUGCUGCAAAAUCACCAUGGCCAUCUUCUUGGUAUGUUCUCUGUUCCAGUUGGGAUUUUAGACUCUAAUAUUGCUGAGUUAAGGGAUAUUGUCAAAGCCAUUGAACUAUCAGCAUCUAAUUGUCUCCUCCACCAUCAACAUCUCAUCAUAGAAUCUGACUCUGCCAAUGUUAUUAACUGGAUGCAUAAGCCUCACAUCCGUCCCUAGAAGCAUCACAAUGUUUUCUCCUCUGUCAAUAGACUGGAUGCAUUUUGUGGCUCAAUCACCUUCUCCCAUAUCUUUCGUGAAAGUAAUUGCAUGGCUAAACAAGGAGUGCGGAGAUCAAGUGAAUUUGUUGCCUGGUUUUGACUCCACCAUUAAUAUUGUGGCCUUGCUUAUGUGUCUUCUGCUGUUAUGCUGUUGAGUUUAUUUUUGUUCUGUUUUGUAGGGGACUGCUUAGCUAUGAGUUCAUUCGGAUGGAUAUUCUCUGGUUUUCUUUGCUUUUACUUAUCUUAGACUGUGUUUUAUCUUCUUUAUGGUCUUUUGUCAUAGUAAGAUAUUGUGCAGCUUCUAUACUAAUCUCGCCAGACUUUGGCGUUUAAAUGAUAUAAGUAUCUUUCAAAAAAAAACAAGAAAAGCAAGUGAUAUUUGAUCAAAUUUCUCUCUUUGUUGUGCACGAUGCAUUAGGAAAAAGAAAAAAAAAUGGCAUCUUUAUAUAACCCCAUUAAUAAGUUAAUAGAUUAUUAUCAUAUAAAUCAAAUUUAAAACUUAAUUUUUUGAUGAUUAAUUAAUAUGAUAUUAGAGUAUUUUUAACUAGAAUGUACCAUCAAAUAAAUUUAUGCCCUUAUAAACAACGUGAAAAGAUUUAAUUUGAGCGGUAGCUAGCGCGCUACAUAGUAUAAUACAUCGCUGUCAUAGCAUGCAGAAAAGAGCUAGCAUAUAUAAAAAUAGUUUAAUUUAAAAUUCAUAUCAUUUUUAUCCAAACAAAGUGUUGAUAAACCAAUCAAUAGUUGAAUUGCUGACUGACAGUUGACCAUUUCACAAUUUAUGUCUAAAUGGUCGGUGAAUAUAUAGCUGGAAGCAAAUGACUGAUUCAAAACACUUAUCAUCUACCUUUGGUGCAUAAAUUGUUCUAACCUCACUCUAUCUUAAUUACAUGUCUUUUAUCGAUCUAUUAAACGUCAACACAAACGAUGAACGUCCAAUAAUAUUUAUUUAUUAUAUAUAAAAAAGAAUGUUAGAAUGUGAUGGAUUGAAGAUAUAUGUCGAGGGAGAAAAUAGUGCGUAUCCGUGCAUGCACUUAAAUUGCCGUAAGAACAUACCCUUUCGUAGGGCACGAAAUUGGAGUAGUAAUUAAUGAAUGCUCCAUCCCUCACUGAAAAGGGCCAAAUCUUGGAGAUGGUCACUACCAUCUCUAUCAGAAAAACGUGAGACAAUUGCUGAUAAGAGUUUGCUUUCGAAAGUCAUUAGUUGCUGAUAAUAUCUUGCUUGUUCAAACUAUAGAGAUUUUUCUUACUGAAAGUAUUGACCAACAAAAACAUUGGAAUUCAGAGAAUUAAAUUGUUUCUAGAACAAUUAUGUGAUAAAAAAAGAGUGAAACAAGACAAAUAUUAAUUAAUAGGAUAAUUAAAUACCAUGUUGCCACUUAGUAGAGCCAUGUUUUUGAAAUAAUAACCUAUCAAUUCUUUUAGUUAAUUAAAUCCAGUUAAUCUAAUAGAUUAAUUUAUAAAUUGAUUCACCUGAUGAGUGAGUUAUGAUUUUACAUAUAAAUAUUAAAAAAAUAAUUCCAUUUUAACUUUUAAUAAGAAAAAAAUCAUGAUUUAAAAUAAAAUUAUUUAAAAUUAUCUCCACAAGGACAGCCAAAAGUAGCCUAAUUAAAUAGAAAGGGGAUCCCUGUCAUGGCGGUGGUUCCUUUUAUCACAGCAGACGGGGCCCUUUUACCCUUUUGUCGGGUCUUCCAAGAUUGAUUGCUGCUGGGGAUUAUUUAAUCCAUCUCUCGUAUCCAAGUCUCAAUCUAGUAAGGAUGUUUUCGGAUGAUUUGACAGUAACGCUUGCACCUGUGAGCAACAAUAAGGGACAAUUUCCCUCGCGCAGGCCCCACAAUUAUACGGAGCUGGUGAAGCCUAUCAGAAUUCUCACGCAGGUAAGAACAUGGACCGGCCAAUAUGAACAAAUAUAUAGUCGUCCAUUUGGGUACGGUUUCCGAGAUUCCAUCAGAUCUGAUGCCAUCUGGUCACACAACCAUUUAAAUGACUGGAUUUACAGAUCAGAGUUCAUCUCUCUCUUUCUUCUCUAUCUUCACCGGAAAAACAUUCUCCGUCCAAGCAAGAUAGCCUCCUACCACGUUGCUUACAUCUUUGAAACCCUGCCCAAUUCAACAACAAUUCAGUUUUCUCACCCUUUCAACCUCUCUCACUCUUCAAUCCUUUGAAAAAGCAUCUAACCCCUUUAUUAACUUUUAUAAAUCAUGAGUUCAUUAUAACUUGGAUGGAUACUUGUAAAUCCCCAAUAGCAUAUUGGAAAAGUGAUAUAUGCCGCCACACAGCCAAAUCCUUUCUGCAGGUAAAUUAUACUUUUCAUCUAGAUAGGCAUUCAUUAUAAUAAAAUUAUUUUGAAAUAUUUUUUUAUUUUUUUAUUUAAACACGUUACCCAUUAUAAUAAAAUUAUUUUGAAAAACAAUCCUAACAUUUUUUACUUGGACAUGUCACCUAUCAUAAUAAAAUUAUUUUGAAAAAAUUCUUGGUAUUUUCCCCUUGGACAGAUCGUCCAUCACAAUAAAAACAUUUCAAAAAUUCAUUGUAUUUUUUAUCUGGGCAGAUCACUCAUUAUAAUGAGAUCAUUUUAAAAAUCUUUGUUUUUUUUACUUAAACAAGUCACCUAUUACAAUGAGAUCACUUUGAAAAAUCUUGAUAUUUUUCCACCUGGGAAGGUCCCUUAUAUUCAGACCAUUUUAAAAAAUCUUUGCAUUUGAUCAAGUCACCAAUUACAAUGACACCGCUUUAAAUUUGUUUUGCAUUUUUCACAUAGGCACACCUAUUAUAGUAAUAUCACUUUGAAAUCCUUUGUAUUUUUCACCUGGACAAGUCGCUCAUUACAAUAAGACCACUCAAAAAAUCUAUUUUUAUUUUUCCACCUGGAUAGAUCACUCAUUACAAAGAGAUAACAUUUGAAAAAAAAACCUUUGUAUUUUUCAUCUGGGUACGUCACCUAUGACAACAACUAUUCCAAAAUCUUUGAAUUCUACAAAUAAGCAGGUUGCCUGGUACAACCAUACCACUUCAAAAAAUCUUUUACAAAGAUCAUCUUUUUCUUUACAAUUCAUAUCCCUUUUUCAUCUUGUGCGUUUUUGAACCCUCACUUCAAACAUUUUUAGAAAGGUUGACCAUAUCUUGAUCUAGUAAAUCCGUUAUCUCUCAUUCCUUUGUCUUUUUUACAAAGCUCACCAUCUCAAUUCUCUUACGAGACUUUUUUGUCGCAAGCAAUGUAAAGAAGGGGAAACUAUCAUAACUCGUUUCUGGGUUAUUUCAAAUGUAAAAAAGGGGAAACAUUUUUACCCAUAUCUUGAUCAUAUCUAUCAUAAAGAAGGGGAAACAUUUUUAGAAAGGUUGACCAUAUCUUGAUCUAGUAAAUCCAUAUCUUUUUUCUUUCCAAAAUAAAAAUAAAUAAUAAUAGUAAAAAGACUAAUAUUUUGACAGAAAGCAAUCUGAGAGGAUUUCAAAUGUAAAAAAAAUCAAGCUGCAAUUUUGGAUGAAAUCGAGAUCCUAAUUGCACUCUAUUUUACCCAAAAUUGGAGAGACAAUGCACAUUCAAGGUCAAGUUACAUGAUUACUUGACAAAUAUGAAUAAAAAUUAAGCCUAAGAACAUAAUUAGAUUUUUAAUAGGCCAAUUUGAUUUAAUCAUGGGCCAAAUUAAAGUUUAAUUAUGUUUAAGAAUUAAUUUGGAUCCAAUUGAAGGAUUUAAUUAGGUGCAAUGACUUAAUUAUACUUUCAAUAGGUCAAGUUAAUUUUAUUAAGGGCUUAAUUGAUGAAACAUUAAGUUUGGGAGCCCAAUUUGAGCUUAAUUGAGAAGAUUGGAAUUUUAGAAGAUCAAAAUUAAUUUGUACAAAGUUAAUUGGUUCAAAUUAGGGGUAAAAUUACAAGAAAAUCAAAGUUUUUAAGUCACUUAAGGGCUAAAUUGAAGAAAUUCAUAGUCAUAGACCAUUUUGCAAAAGGCAUCAAACUAUGAGGACUCAAUUAUCAAGGGGAGAAAUCAGAAGCCAAAGUUGAGAAAAAACCAUUUUUCUGCCUAGUUUUUCUUUCCCCACUCUUCGCCACCACUUUGGCCACUUCCUUUGUCGUGCUUUAGCUGCCACCAGCCACGCUUCGGUCUUCCUUACAACACUAGGAACGACUCCAACAAUAAUUUGCCUCUAGCCAAGCAAAGUUGUGCCACCUCCUCCUUUUUUUUUCCCUUCCUUAUUAGGGUUGCUGGGCGGGCCAAUAACCAUGCGGGCUUGGGUUGGACCCAACCUAGAUGACUAGGCCAAGUCUAGCCCACCCUAAAAAAACAAGAAGAGAAGAAUAAGGUUUUAUUGGGCUGUAACUCGGAAUUGAGCUCCUUAUCAGGUUCUUCCUCUAAUUCCUCUCAUAGAAGUAAUCUAUGUGUUGAUCUGUCGAAAUUCCAGCUUCAGUAGAUACCGGCCAGUGUUGAUAACAACUCCUCCUAGCCGGCCCGCCUUCAUCCUAUGGUGUUUCGACCACGUCCACCAAAGGAUGCUAACUUCAGUGUUGCAACUUCCUCACGGGUUGCAACAUUACCUCAACAGGAGCCGUUGUCUUUUAAGGAUGCCAACAGGUAUUUGGUUUGGCAUAAUGUCACGCAGGAGGAAAUCCGGGCACUUCACUCUAAUCAUACUUAGUCAUUGGUGCCAUCUCAUCCGUCUAUGAAUGUGAUUGGUAGUAGGUGAGUUUACAAAAUUAAACGCCACGCCGAUGGUUGGAUUGACUAAUAUAAGGCACGGCUGGUUGCCCGCGGCUUCUCUCAACAAUAGGGGAUUGAUUAUUUGGAGACGUUUAGCCCGGUGGUUAAGCCUACAACGAUACGUCUUGUGCUCACUAUUGUUGUCUCGUAUGGUUGGAAUAUUCACCAAUUGGAUGUUCAUAAUGCUUUCUUGAAUGGCAUUCUUCAAGAGGAGGUAUACAUGGCACAACAAUCGGGGUUUGCUGAUUCUGCUUUGUCAUCUCAUGUGUGUCGUCUUCAUAAAUCUUUGUAUGGCUUGAAACAAGCACCUCGAGCUUGGUACAACAGGUUGAGCGAGUUCCUCCUUUCCAUUGGAUUUCAGGCAUCCAAGGUUGACACUUCUCUGUUUAUUCUCUCUCUUAAUGGUGCCAUGAUUUAUCUGCUUGUGUAUGCGGAUAAUAUUUUACUGACCAGGAGUAACUCAGCCUUGCUUCAUAGAUUGAUUACUUUACUGCAAACAUAAUUUAAGCUUCGGGAUUUGGGUUCUGUUCAUUUCUUCUUGGGCAUUGAAAUUAAACCUACAGCUAUGGGUAUCUUGUUAAGUCAACACAAGUAUGCACUCAAUAUUAUCCAAUGAGCAGGUAUGGCUUCCUGCAAACUGGUUGAUACUCCUCUGUCUACCUCCUCUAAACUAGAAAUUGUGCCUGGUACUCUUCACUCUGAUCCGACAUGGCAUCGACAGAUUGUUGGAGCACUGCAAUAUCUUACAUUUACUCGACCUGAUAUUUGCUAUGCAGUCAACAAAGUAUGUUAAUUUAUGCAUGCCCGUACUGAUGAUCAUUGGACUGCUGUUAAACGUAUCCUACGUUACCUGCAGGCUACAACAACCUAUGGUCUGCACAUUACUCGAGAGUCUCUUUUGACUCUUCAUGGUUUCACAAAUGCUGAUUGGGCAGGUAGUAUUGACGAUCAAAAAUCAACAGGUGGUUAUCUUGUAUACCUUGGUUCUACACCUAUCUCAUGGAAAUCCGGGAAACAACGCACUGUUGCUAGAUCUUCUACAGAAUCAGAAUACAAAGCCUUGGCUAAUGGUACUGCUGAAAUUUUAUGGAUUUGUUCUUUAUUGGUAGAACUUCGGAUUUCCACGUCGUCCAUGACUACGUUAUGGUAUGAUAACUUAGAGGCCACUUUCUUAUCUGCCAUCCGAUAUUCCACGCUCGUACUAAACAUGUUGAAGUUAAUUAUCAUUUUGUCCGUGAUCGUGUUGCUAAGAGAGAAAUUCAAGUACGAUUCAUCUCUUCAAAGGAUCAACUUGCGGAUGUUCUUACCAAGCCUCUCCCUCCAGUUUCAUUUACUUAUUUUAGAUCCAAGUUUCGGGUAGAAUCUCCACCGUCAACUUGACGGGGUGUAUUAAGGAAAGAGUCCACAUAUAUGUAAAUACAUUAUAUAUAGGGAUAGUUAUCAUGUGUAGUAUAUUCCACCAUUGUAUUGUAUACAACCCUAAAUGUAUAAAUACAAAGGGAUGGUUGGUUUAUCAAUCAUUCAUCACAAUUAUACAAAAGACUAUCUCUCUAAUCUUAACUGUCAUGUUUUUAAUAACUAUAACACUGCUUAAUAAAUCAUUAGUAUUUCAUUAAAAAAAAGUGGCUAUUAAAUGGUUCAGUACGUGGACCGGCACACAAAUGAACUCUUGAAAUUAUAAAGUUCGAAUGCUACUACCACACUUGUUUAAAACAAAAACAGACUCUAUAAAUCAACGAUCUCAUUUAAUUAGCCAUUACACAGAAAGAAUCAAUUAUAAACACUAAUAUAAUUAGAUGUGCUUUUCAUAGAUAUACAUAAAGGAUAGAUAGUUUAAAAUUUUGUAUUUAAUAAGUAAUUCUUCCGAAGUUUAAAAUUUAUAAUUAUAUAACGUAGAAGGCUCAACUCAACUCUCGCAUGACAUAUAUUCGUAUGUAUGAAGCUCAACUCAACUCUCGCAUGUAUGAAGCUCAACUAAACUCUCGCAUGUAUGAAGCUCAACUCAACUACGGCAACAAUCGUUUAGAGAUAGUCUUAUAUUUUUUCCGAUCUUGAAAUGGUCGAGGGAUAUAUAGCUGGAAGCAAAUGUUUGACCGAAAGUGAUUCAAAACACCUAUCACCUUUAGUGCAUAAAUUGUACUAACUUCAUCCUCACUUUAUCCAAUGCCAUUUAUCGACCAACAGAAGAAAAACCAAACGAUGAACGUCGCGUAAUAUUUAUUAAAAAAAAAAUUUGAAUGUUCGGAGAUUUUUCUUACUGAAAGUAUUGACUACCAAAUCAUGGGAAUUCAGAAAAUUCAAUUGUCUCUAGAACAAUUAAUUUUAUGUCGAAUAAGUUUAUACAUCAAUAAAUAUAGAGUGAAACACAACAUCACGCAACAAGCUACUGGCUUACCAUAAGAUCACUGCUGAGUUCUCUAUAAAUACUUGCUACCCCAGUCACUACAAAUACAUAAAACCUUCUCUAACCUAAUUAUUUCAAAGCAUUAGUUUUCACUAGCCAUGGAAAUCUUCACAAAGCAACUCACUCCUAUUGAUUUUGAUAGAGGAUUGGUGCUACCACCCCGUUCUAACCUAGAACCCCUGCAACAUUUUCAAGGGACCAUAGAAUUGUCCACCAUAGUUGAGUCAGCUGCAGGAACCCGUUUACCGGACCCAGUGACAAUUCACUGUUCUACCAUAAGAGGAAGCCUUGUAUUUAAAACAGGUUGGUAUGAUAUUGCUCGCUAUGUUGGCCUCAAAAGUGGAGAUACUGUGACUUUCUAUCAGGAGGUUAACGGAGGAGCACAGUUCAAAUUGAAAGUGAAAAAUGUUUGUUAAAGUAAAGAAGAAACGUGAUGGAAACAGUGUCUUCCAUACAUGCAUGAACGUCCGAGUGCUCGUCCUUCUGUUUCUUCUUUGUUCUGUCUCCUGCAAUCUUGGUGUCUAGCUUCUUUCCGAUGUCAGCAGUUGAGAAAACUUUUCUCAAAAUUAUCUCCUGCAAUCUUCGUGUCUUGUUUCCUCAAUUCCUUGCAUUUGUGAGGAAAUUAUGAAUAAUUAGUUUCUUCUUUAGAUGAAAGAGUUUGUCUGUGAUUGUAAUAUGUGUUUUGAGCUUUAAUUUUGUGAUUUUUGGUAACAAAAUUAUUUUGUGUUGUGAAUUACUUUAAAAACUUCAAUGAGAUGUGAUUUGAUUCAUCAGCUUAAACUGAAAUUAUAUAUUAAAGAAGCAAAUCAUUUUACUCUAAAUUAUAUAUUAAAGAAGAAGCAAAUCAUUUUUCAGAGUAAUUUAAUUAUGUUUUUCCAAAAGAAGAAGAAAUAGCGCAUGAGGUGACAUUGAAGCUUAACUCUCAGCUAAUUUAAUUUUGAAUGAUGAAAUUAUUAAAAAAUAUUGAUGAAAAAAGCUUGCAAAUGCACAACAAAAUAGCAAAAAAAUGAAUGGGGAUAAAAUUUGAGAGAGAAAACCUGAGGAUGAAAUUAAAAAAUAAAUAAAUAAUGAUUCAAAAAUAAUAAAUAACAAUUAAAAGAACGAUGACAAAAUUGAAAAGAUUAAAAAUCAUAGGGGGUGAAAUUGAAAAACAUUUGUAAUUUGAUAAAUUAUUUAUAGAUUAAAAAAUGGUAAAGGGUGAAAUUAAAAAAAAAAAACUAUAGAGGGAUAACCCAAUAGAAUCAAACCACAAAGAAAAGGAUAAAAAUAAGAAAACAUCAACUUUAAAAAAGAGAGAAAAAAAACCCUACAAAUCCGAGUAAAUCUUCUAAACUUGAUCUAAUCUCUAAAACCAAAUGAAAAAGAUAAGACGAGAAGCCCAAGCUCGACGAUAGGGGGCAUAAUGAAUCAUUUUACAAGUCAAUCCUAAGGUCUAGAAACACAUGGACCAAAAGGAGAUCUGCUAGCAAGCACUAGUGAUCCUUUCAUACAGUAAGGAAUAUAAUAUGUAUUGAUCUUCACUUCGUUCAAGAACUUUCUUCUAUCUUAGGUACUCCAAUGAGCUGUCAAAUGUCCUGAAAUAAGAAAAUUAACAACAUUAGCAAACAAAGGCAUUGUAGAGACAGAAAAUAAAGAUUCAUCAGGAAAGUAGUCAUUGAUUGGUGUGAUAUCAGAUCUCGAAUCUGUUGUCAAUGUUGACAAAUGAUCUGCAACAACAUUUUCGGUGCCUUUCUUGUCCUUGAUUAAUUGUGAUAUCGAAUUCUUGAAGUAACAAAAUCCAUCGUACCAAUAUAGCCUUAGAAUCCUUCUCAGAAAGAAGAUAUUUCAAUGCUGCAUGAUCACUAAAAACAACAACAGGUGAGCCAACAAGAUAAGAUCUGACCUUGUCACAUGCAAAUAAUACUGCAAGUAAUUCCUUUUCAGUGGUAGUGUAAUUCAUUUGAGCACUAUUUAAAGUUUUACUUGCAUAGUAAAUCACAUAGGGUUUCUUAUCUUUUCUUUGUCCUAAGACAGCACCUACGGCAUAAUUACUAGCAUCACACAUUAUUUGAAAAGAUAAUGACCAAUCAGGAGGUUGAAUGACUAGAGCAGAAGUAAGCAAGCUUUUAAGUUUAACAAAGGCUUUUUCACAUUGUUUAGUUCAUUCAAAAACAUUUUUCCUUGUUAGAAGGUUAUACAAUGGUUUAACUAUUACAUUAAAAUCUUUGAUGAACCUUCUGUAAAAACCAAUAUGUAUUAAGAAUGAUCUAAUAUCUUUAAUAGAUUUUGGUGUUGGCAAGUUAGCAAUUAACUUGAUUUUAGAUUUAUCAACCUCAAUUCCUUUCGAUGAAACAAUGUGACCAAGUACAAUAUCGUUUGUUACCAUAAAAUGAUAUUUUUCCCAAUUCAGUACAAGAUUCUUCUCUUCACACCUGCUCAAAACCUUUUCUAAGUUAAUCAAACAAUCAUCAAAUGAAUCGCCAAAAACAGAAAAAUCAUCCAUAAAAAUUUUAAGAAAACGUUCAACCAUAUCACUAAAUAUAUUGAGCAUGCAUCUUUGAAAUGUGGUUGGUGCAUUACAUAAUCCAAAAGGCAUUUUUUGAUAUGCAAAAGUACCAAACGAACAUGUGAAAGUGGUUUUCUCUUGAUCUUCAAAUGCAAUUUCAAUUUGAUUGUAACCUGAAUAGCCAUCUAGGAAACAAUAAAAUUUAUGACCUGCAACUCUUUCUAGGACUAAUAUAGUUAAGAUUAGAAAGAGUCUUUUGUAUAAUUGUUGUCGCACCCUCGCGAGCGGAGCGCGGCGUCGCGGCGACCCGAUUGGUUUCGGGGUCUUUUGUUUUUGUGAAUAAAAGAGUCGCCACCUAGUAUUAUGGUCACUAGGAAACCUAACUGGUCUUUCAGAGAUUCUAAAGGCAAGGGACUGGUUGCGUAAAGGGAAGGUAUUAGCACCCCUAGUACGCCCUACCUAAGGUAAGUUGCUUGGUGUUUGGUUUGUCUUAUAAUUGCUAUGGUGUUGGUGUUUUCUAAUCCCAUCAGUUUUCUAGGUUUUGAUUCAAACUAAAAUUAUUAGGAUAGAAAUCCAAGGAAGUUUCAUGUGCUUUAAAAGCUCAUUUUCCCCUUAGUUUUUCAAGAGUUUGCGACUCGUAAAUCGCAAGGAGGAGGGACAAAAAUUUAGAAAUCUAGGGUGCUUUAAAAACCUAUUUUUUGUCUUAGUGUUUUAUACUCUCACAUCUCGUAAACCGUGGAAUAAAAAAUUGAAAUGUCCUCGAUUAUAAUCAAGGCUUCUUUCAAGGAUUUGUGCGGAUUUAUUACUCCCAAUAAUAUUUUGGAUAUUCGUCCUUUAAGGAUUUCUUUAUCCAAACAUUAGCGGUGAAUAAUAGAUGAAUUCCUCCCAAAAUAAGAUUUUUGUAUUUUUUUUGGAAUAUUGGCCAAUACCCUUUGGAGUUUUACAAACAUGUUGUAAAAUCCAGAAAUGCAAGAAAAUAAUUUUUGUGUUUAAGAAAUCCAUGCGGAAACACAUUUUCAAAACUUCAAAUAUUUGUUUUUUUAGAGGAAAUUCAAAAAAAGAUGUUAGGGUAUUGGCCGUAUGCAACACACAAGAAAACAAAUUUUGAUAUAUAUGUAUAUUUGCCGCAGUUGCGUCGAAAACCGAGUAUUCUAAAUACGAGAUUGGUAUAUAUUUUUUUACAACAAAAAAAAUUCAGACUUUAAAAUAAAUAUUCCAGAAAAUAAAUCUCUUUCUCUUUCUUUUAUUUUAUUCAAAACAAAAAAAGAAUUAGGUCCGGCCGGGUCACUUGCCUCAGCAGGGGACCCGGCAAGACACAAAAUUUAGACAAACUGUCCAAGUGAAUUAUAAUUCACUUGAACAGUAACCAAAAAAGAUUGCACAGUAACAUAUAAUUAAAAUGCAAAGCAAAGAGAAUGCAUGGACUUACCUGGCGCUGAAACAGGCGAAGGAGAUGGCACUGCAGUUGCUGCACCCGGUCGUAUAAAAAUAACAAAGGAGGAGAGAUUGGGGCUUAUACCUGCAGUUCCUGUUUGCAGAAAAUGAAACCAGGGACCAAAAAUAUCACAGCUCACGCGUGUUUCCUUGAAUACCGUCGCCUGCCUCUCUUGCGUGUUCCUUCAAACUGCAGCUCCUGUUUGCAGAAAAUAAAACCCAAGGCCGAAAGACACAGCUCACGCGUGCCUCCUUGGCUGCUGGUAAAUGACAGACGAAAAUAGAGAUGCUGAAACGGACGAAAUAUUUCAGCUAUGUGCUGGUAAAUGACUGGUUUCCCCGUCGCCUGCCUCUCCUGCGUUUUCCUUCUCUUUCUUUUGCUGUUUCCUUCUCUGCUCUUUUCUCUCUGUUUUUCUCUUAUUUUUCUGCCCUCUCUUUUCUAUUUUUCUGCUCUCUUUCUGUCGCCCCUUGCUAGGUCAUUAGAGGGGUUUAUAUAUAGUCUAACAUAUCUCUAUUUAGGAAAGAUUUAAUGCAUUAAUUCUAGGACGUAAAUCCCUACUGAUUUGCAGUAAAAAAAACGCAAAAGGAAGCUGCAAUAUUCUGAUUUUGUGCUGGUGCUUUACGUCUGAUUUCUUUCCAGUUUUAGAGGAGGGUGUGGCUCUUUUCUUUCCUUCCAUAGGGCCAGCUGCUCCCUUUGAAAUGAGGCAACAAAACAUGGUCUUCAGCUCCAAAAAUCAGGCUGAUGAGAAAGGAAAACAUCAGAGAAAAAAGGAAAGAAAUCAGCUGGAGGGUGCAGCUGCAAGGUCUUAUUUUCCUUAUUCGGUGUGGUAAAAAUCCUGUCAUUUAUGAUGAUCCAGCCCCCCUCUCCAGCAUUCAAUGUCCUUCUUCAAUUCAAUCCCUCAAUUUAGCACAUUUCGAUUCAGUCCUUGGUCCAAAAAAAAUCCUUCGAAUCAGUCCCGCGAACUUGGGCAAAAAUCCUUCUCGCGGUCAGGAAUCCCUACUUUCAACACCAGAUAUUCAAACGAGAAUAUCUUGAGCUUCUGAUAUUGAAAUCAAGUGAUUCAAAAGCCCAAAUUCAUCUACGCGUCUAGGACUACAACUUUGAUGAAGGAGUCGAAGUGAGAAAAAAAUCUUUUUACAAAACAGAAACUGGCAGUAAUCUAGUUGGUCAAAAAGGUUCUUGAUCUGACAAAACUGAGCCAUCCAAAUCUGACUGAGAAUCUGCUCUAAGAAAAAUGAUCCUUAGGACCUAAUAAAGGUGUACGUAAAUUUUUCAACAUGUAAUGAGUGAUAGGAUAUACCUAGGAUGGUCAGAUAUCGUACGAAACUGAGUCAGAAUCGGAGCCUAAGUUGGAACCAAAAAAAUUAUGACAGCAGCAGAACUAUUUUUUUGGUGCAAAUUCUGAGGGAUUUAUUCAACCUUAAAGACCAGAUAAAAAAGAACGAAUUUAGCAUUAUGAAGACUCCUGAUCAACCUAAGAAAACCUGAUGAUUUUGGUAGUAAAGGGGAAGGAUAAAAAGAGCAGAAAACAGCUCAAACAAGGUUUCAAAACACAAAAUAUUUCUUUCUGUGCUUUUGUCAAUCUUCUGGCGAAUAUGAGCUAAACUCCUAUACUCUGUUUAAAAGAGGUAUACACCGUCUCUAGCACGUGGGGUCCGAAAAUAAGUAACAACAAUUGUGAUGAAUGAUUGAUAAACCAACCAUCCCUUUGUAUUUAUGCCUUUAGGGUUGUAUACAAUACAAUGGUGGAAUGUACUACACAUGAUAACUAUCCCUAUAUAUAAUGUAUUUACAUAUAUGUGGACUCUUUCCUUAAUACACCCCGUCAAGCUGAAGGUGGAGAUUCCACCCGAAGCUUGGAUCUAAAAUAAGCAAAUGAGACUGGAGGGAGAGGCUUGGUAAGAACAUCCGCGAGUUGAUCCUUUGAAGAGAUGAACCGUACCUGAAUUUCUAUCUUAGCAACGCGAUCACGGACAAAAUGAUAAUCAACUUCAACAUGUUUAGUACGGGCAUGGAACACCGGAUUGGCAGAUAAGAAAGUGGCCCCUAAGUUAUCACACCAUAACGUAGUCAUGGACGAAAUGGAAAUCCGAAGUUCUGCCAAUAAAGAACGAAUCCAUAAAAUUUCAGCAGUACCAUCAGCCAAGGCUUUGUAUUCUGCUUCUGUAGAAGAUCUAGCAACAGUGCGUUGUUUCCCGGAUUUCCAUGAGAUAGGUGUAGAACCAAGGUAUACAAGAUAACCACCUGUUGAUUUUCGAUCGUCAAUACUACCUGCCCAAUUAGCAUUUGUGAAACCAUGAAGAGUCAAAAGAGAGUCUCGAGUAAUGUGCAGACCAUAGGUUGCUGUAGCCUGCAGGUAACGUAUGAUACGUUUAACAGCAGCCCAAUGAUCAUCAGUAGGGGCAUGCAUAAACUGACAUACUUUGUUGACUGCAUAACAAAUAUCAGGUCGAGUGAAAGUAAGAUAUUAUAGUGCUCCAACAAUCUGUCGAUACCGUGUCGGAUCAGAGUGAAGAGUACCAGGCACAAUUCCUAGUUUAGAGGAGGUAGACAGAGGAGUAUCAACCGGUUUGCAGGAAGCCAUACCUGCUCGUUGGAUAAUAUCGAGUGCAUACUUGUGUUGACUUAACAAGAUACCCAUAGCUGUAGGUUUAACUUCAAUGCCUAAGAAGAAAUGAACAUAACCCAUAUCCCGAAGCUUAAAUUCUGUUUGCAGUAAAGUAAUCAAUCUAUGAAGCAAGGCUGAGUUACUCCCAGUCAGUAAAAUAUCAUCCACAUACAUAAGCAGAUAAAUCAUGGCACCAUUGAGAGAGAGAAUAAACAGAGAAGUGUCAACCUUGGAUGCCUGAAAUCCAAUGGAAAGGAGGAACUCGCUCAACCUGUUGUACCAAGCUCGAGGUGCUUGUUUCAAGCCAUACAAAGAUUUAUAAAGACGACACACAUGAGAUGACAUAGCAGAAUCAGCAAACCCCGGUGGUUGUGCCAUGUAUACCUCCUCUUGAAGAAUGCCAUUCAAGAAAGCAUUAUGAACAUCCAACUGGUGAAUAUUCCAACCAUACGAGACAGCAAUAGUGAGCACAAGACGUACCGUUGUAGGCUUAACCACUGGGCUAAACGUCUCCAAAUAAUCAAUCCCCUCUUGCUGAGAGAAGCCGCGGGCAACCAACCGUGCUUUAUAUCGGUCAAUCCGACCAUCGGCGUGGCGUUACCAAUCACAUUCAUAGACGGAUGAGAGGGCACCAAUGACCAAGUAUGAUUAGAGUGAAGUGCCCGGAUUUCCUCCUGCAUGGCAUUAUGCCAAACCAAAUACCUGUUGGCAUCCUUAAAGGACAGCGGCUCCUGUUGAGGUAACGUUGCAACCCGUGAGGAAGUUGCAACACUGAAGUUAGCAUCCUUUGGUGGACGUGGUCGAAGUACCAUAGGAUGGAGACGUGUCGGCUGGGAGGAGUUGUUAUCAACAUUGGCCGGUAUCUGCUGAAGCUGGAAUUUCGACAGAUCAACACAUAGAUUAAUUCUAUGAGAGGAAUCAGAGGAAGAACCUGAUGAGGAGCUCAAUAUAUGUGCAGGCCGUGGGGUAGAACCAGCUGUAGAAUCUGCUGGAGUCACUGCCAGAACAGGGGAACCAGCAGGAGAAGAACCAGGGGAGCUAACAGGAGCGAUCUGAACCUGUACUGCAUGCGAGGGUGGCAAAUCUGAACCUGUACCUACAACAUGAUCAUGAUAAUAACAUGCAGAUAAUGGUAAGGGAGCCAAAUGAGAUGUAGGUGGUGUGGGGGGUAACGGUGGAAGGGCUGAAGAUGGUGGCUUUGGAUGAUAUAAAGUAACCGGUAUAGUGGCGGCAAUAGGAUGUGUAGGUGGGACUGCAAUCUGUUCAGAUUUACCAAGAGGAAAAACAUGUUCAUGAAACCGGACAUGACGAGCAAGAUAAAUACGUUUGGAUGUCAAGUCAAGACAUCGAUAACCUAAAUGAGAGUUACUAUAUCCUAGAAAAACACAAGCAGAUGAACGAAAAUCUAACUUAUGAGUAUUGUAUGGAUGGAGGAAUGGAAAACAAAGACACCCAAACGUACGAAGAAAAGCAUAAUCAGGAGAUGAUUUUAAAAGACAUUCGAAAGGACUCUUAUAAUUAAGAACCGGAGUUGGCAUGCGAUUAAUCAAAUAAACAGAGCUUUCAAAGGCAUAGCUCCAAUAUUUAAGGGGAGCGUGACAUUGCCCAAGAAGGGUAAGUCCAGUUUCGACAAUAUGUCUAUGACGACGUUCAACCAUGCCAUUUUGUUCAUGGGUGUGCGGGCAGAUCACACGGUGAUGAAUACCUAUUGUUUUAAAAUAUGUAUUGAGUUUUCGGUAUUCACCACCCCAAUCUGUUUGAACAGAUUUUAUUUUUAAAGAAAAUUGGCGCUCAACGAGCGCUUGAAACUGAUGAAAAAUAUGAAAAACAUCAAACUUAGCAACCAUCGAAUAAAACCAGAUAAACUUUGUAUGGGCAUCCACAAAAAUAACAAAAUAGCGAAAACCGUCUGAUGACAACAUAGGGGAGGGACCUCAGACAUCACUAAAAAUUAAAUCAAGAGGAGCUAGAGUUUGAUGACCCGUAGUUUUUAGAGUCAGACGACACGACUUGCCCAAAGGACACGCAGGACAAUUGAAAUUAAAACAUUUUUUUCGUACAUGACACUUUUUUAUUUUUCACCAACAAAUGCAGAAUGCGUGGGCUUGGAUGCCCAAGUCGACGAUGCCAGAUAUCAGCGGAAGUAGAGAGACAUGUAGAUGAGAAAGCCUGAGGCAAUGACAUGGCAGACGACUCGGACAAAACAUAUAGACCAUCUCUACUCUGACCGGAAAGAAGCACUUCCUUUGUCAUGAGGUCCUUAAUAUAAAAGAAACAGGAAUGAAAUUCAAAAAACACAUUAUUCUCAAGGCAAAAUUUUUGAACAGAUAGCAGAGGUUUUUUAAUGGCAGGAACAUGUAAAAUAUUGGAUAAAGUAAAGGUGCGUUUUGGGGAAUGAAUUUUAGAGUGAGCAAUAUUAGAAAUAACAAGGCCCUUACCAUCACCAACAUGCAGAUGAUCAUUACCAAGGUAAGGUUCUGAAUUCGUCAUACUCGCAAUGUCUGGCGUUACAUGAUGAUUUGCGCCCGUAUCAGGAAACCAUGUGAUAGGAGAUGUUGCAGGAGCAUUAUUAAAAGUGAGAUUGGCAUUGGCUUGAAGAGGAUGAUUAGCCAACUGAGAGCACUGUUGGGCAGUAUGCCCAUACUCAUAACACAGCUGACAUUUUACACUGCGAUUAUACCCACCAAAGCGAUUACCUUGCUGCCCAAAUUGUCCUGAUAGCCGAGAGGGAGAUCCAGAAAACUGUCCUGAGGAGAAUCGAUGUCCUUGUUGCCCAAAUUGCUGACCUGAGGUAUAACUGUUGUUUCCAUUAUUUCCACGAUAACCAUUGUUGCGAUUAUUAUUAUUUCUCCAACCCCCACGAAACCUGCCUCGUCUAGCAUUAUUGAAGCCCGAGUGAUUCUACACAAAGAAAGCAGUUGGUUGCUGCAGUGGGGUUGGUAACAGAGGUGUUGUUACUGCUGGUUGGAGAGCAGCUUUGUGAAGAAAUUCAUGUGUAAGUAGACUGCUAUGGAGAUCAGUGUAGGAGAUGGGGUCAGCCUUGGUAGACAAGCUGGUGACAAGAUCUUUAAAUUCGCUACGUAACCCCCGAAACACAUAUAGGUUGAAUUCUGCCAAGGAGAUUGGUCUACCAGCCGCAACAAGUUCAUCAAACAAUGCUUUUGCCUUCUGCAAGUAGGUGCUGGCAAAAUCAUCUUGCUGGCGUAGCUCUUGGAAGGAACCGUGAAGCUGCAUGAUCCUGGAAUUUGAAGGAGACGCAAGAGCUGUUUCCAGCGUUCUCCAUAUAUCAUGGGAGGUGCUACAAUCCACCACUAAGUGUAGAACUUCCACCGAGAGAGAAGAUAAGAGGGCACUCAUGAUUAGGUGAUCUUGCUGCUUCCAUGUCAAGUAGGCAGGAUUGACAGAGGAUGAAGAUACUGCAGCAGAUUCCAGAUGAGGAGGAGGACAUGUUGAUGUGCCAUCAACAAAAGAGUAUACGCCUUGGCCCAAGAGGAACGACUUCAUCUGCAUCCUCCAAUACAAAAAGUUGGUAUUGGAGAGUUUUAAAGACAUUACCUGUUGCGUGUUAGGAAGAGAUAUGAUGGCAGCAGCAGGGGACACACCAUAGGUGGCUGUCGGCGCCAUAAUGGAGAAAGAAGAUUGGGGUGCAGAUGCAGCAGAAUAAUGAAGUUCUUGAUUGUCCAUAGGAGGAAGAAGAUUGGCAGAACACGUUCUUGAUAUUUGCUGGAAGAAGAGAAUCGGAUGUAAGGGAGAAGUAUGAAAGAAAGCUGCUGGGAAAGGAGACUGCUGGACGAUAGAAGGCUGCUGGAUGUUUGUUUUUGCUCUGAUACCAAGUUAAGAUUAGAAAGAGUCUUUUGUAUAAUUGUGAUGAAUGAUUGAUAAACCAACCAUCCCUUUGUAUUUAUACCUUUAGGGUUGUAUACAAUACAAUGGUGGAAUGUACUACACAUGAUAACUAUCCCUAUAUAUAAUGUAUUUACAUAUAUGUGGACUCUUUCCUUAAUAAAUAUGACACUGAACUUUGAUAUUUCUUUAAUUAAGCCCCUAAUUUCAUUGAUGAAACUAAUUCAGAGUUUAAUUAAAUCCCUAAACUUAUCAAUUCUAUCAUUUUUUGGCCAAAUUGACAUCCAAGUUUAUAAUUUCCUCCUUACUAGUCCAUGAACCUUCAAUUUGUGUUGUUUUGACUUAAUUCUCAAAUUAUUUUUCAUUUGUUUUAUUAUUAUUAUUUAUAACCACUUAACCUAAAAUAUUAAGAUGUGAUUAAGUUGAGCCUCUAGUGCAUAAAUAUUAUGUUAACCCAAUUGAUACUUCGUCAAAAAGCCUUUGAUAACCUUUUAAAGAAUCACUCAACAUAAACAAUUAGGUGAGUUACUUAUUUGAUUAUUUUAUGAGAACAAUUAUUUUGAAUAUGUGUUAUCAAUAAUAACCAAAACUCUGCCUUCGCUUUGGUGUCUAUAAGGUCCAAAAUUUUCGAGUCUAAUAUCUGACCAGCUUUUUAUGGAUAUGGCUUGGAAGAGUUGGCCAACCUAGAAGAAAUUAAAGGACAAUCUCUCUUGGUUUUCUUUCUCUUGUUUUUUCUUUUUUUUUCUUUUUUUUUUCUUUUUUCAUGGCAGGCCAGUAGUCAUGCCGUUGUCUGUUUGUAUGCUGUUCGUGUUAGGAUUAUUUUAGACCAUUGGAAGAACACACCGUUGAUUAUUAGACUAUGACAAAGUCAUUGUCACCUUUCCUGAAACAAGCUAAUAUUGGCGAGUUCGAUACGCAGAGGGUGGCUAUAGCCUGCGUGACAUGGCAAUUAAAUAUCUUCGCCACACAAAUAAACUCUCGCAUGUAUGAAGCUCGACUGCGGCAACUUUCGUUUAGAGAUAGUCUGAUAUAUAAAAAUAGCUUUAUUGAAAAUUCAUAUUAUUUUUAAAAAUAAAGUGAUUCAAAACACAUAUCACCUUUAGUGCAUAAAUUGUACCAACUUCAUUCUCUCUUUAUUCAAUGCCAUUUCUCGACCAAUUAAUCAUCAACAGAAGAAAACCAAACCAUGAACGUCGCGUAAUAUUUAUUAUAAAAAAAAAAAAAUUGAAUGCUAUAGCAAAGGGUGGCCAUAGCCUGCGUGACAUUCGUGUAUGAAGCUCAACUAAACUCUCGCAUGUAUGAAGCUCAACUCAACUACGGCAACAUUCGUUUAGAGAUAGUCUUAUAUUUUUUCCGAUCUUGAAAUGGUCGAGGGAUAUAUAUAUAGCUGGAAGCAAAUGUUUGACCGAAAGUGAUUAAAAACACUUAUCAUCUUUCGUGCAUAAAUUGAACUAACUUCAUUCUCACUUUAUUCAAUGCCAUUUAUCGACCAAUUAAUCGUCCACAGAAGAAAAACCAAACAAUGAACGUUGAUCCUUCACUCACUGAAAAGGGCCACGUAGAUAAUAUCUUGGAGAUGGUUACUAGCUAGCAUUUCUAUCCCAAAACCCUAAGACCAAUUCGACAGAAAAGAAAUUGCUUUUUGAAAAUCAUUAAUUGUUGAUAAUAUAUCGUCAGUUCAAACUAUGGAUAUUUUUCUUACUGAAAGUAUUGACUAACAAAUCACGGGAAUUCAGAGAAUUCAAUUGUUUCUAGAACAAUUAAUUAUAUGUCGAAUAAGUUUAUACAUCAAUAAAUAUAGAGUGAAACACAACAUCACGCAACAAGCUAGCUGGCUUACCAUAAGAUCACUGCUGAGUCUCUAUAAAUACUUGCUACCCCUGUCACUACAAAUACAUAAAACCUUCUUUAACCUAAUUAUUUCAAAGCAUUAGUUUUCACUAGCCAUGGAAAUCUUCACAAAGAAACUCACUCCUAUUGAUUUUGAUAGAGGAUUGGAGCUACCUGAUAAACCACGAAGGUCUAAUAGGGUGCCUAUCAAGAAUCCAAGAUAUGAGGGUUGAGCUGGGACACGUAUUAUGAGGAUUCAGCUGUGGGCAAUUGCUGAAUUUGUUUAAUUUGUUUUUUUUGAAUUGGUCAAUAAAGUUAGAAGGAAUAAGUCAAUUAGUGGGGGCUAUUUCUCUGUCAACUAGCCGUUCCACGUCCUUCUAAUUAGCGAAGUAGUUAAGUUUUUAUUUGUAUUUAAAUCAUUGUUUCCAGCAAGUUGAGGACAAGAAAAGUAUUACAAGGUUUAUUCUCACCUUAAGCAGAGUAUUUUCUUAUUUUCUUAAAGGCUUUGACUGGGACCUAACAUUGGUAUCAGAGCUUUCACACUAUGACUACCAAUAAAGAGAGGAUCGAGAAUUUAGAAGCAGCUAUUGGGGGACUUCAAGACAAUUUCAACAAGAUGGAACUGGGUGUUACUGACAAAUUACAACAGCUAGAGGCUGCUAUUAGCAGAAUUUCUGAAGUACUGCUUCCAAGGCAAGAGCCGAACUCUAGCAAUGUCCAAGAACGCAGUGGACAAGCCUUUGGUGCGCGAUCUCGUGACACCACAGACGGUGGCCGCUCAAUGUUCUCCUCCAAAUUGGCUAAGCUCGAAUUUCCCAAGUAUUUUGGUACUGACCCAACUGAAUGGCUCACGCGUGUUGAUCAAUUUUUUGAAUACCAGGGCACUUUGGAAGCACAAAAAGUGUCUUUGGCUUCUUUUCAUUUGGAAGGCGAAGCAAAUCAAUGGUGGCAGUGGUUACGCAAGGCUUAUCAUGAGGACAAAAAGGAGGUAUCAUGGGAGAUUUUUGUGGAAGAAUUAUGGGCUCGUUUUGGUCCCACGGAUUGCGAAGAUUUUGAUGAGUCUUUAUCAAAAAUAAGGCAAACGGGAUCCUUACGGGAAUAUCAGAAAGAAUUUGAGAGGCUGGGAAACAGAGUGCAAGGGUGGACUCCGAAGGCUUUGGUGGGUACUUUUAUGGGUGGUCUCAAGCCUGAAAUUGCUGAUGGAAUUCGGAUGUUUAAGCCAAAGUCCUUGAAAGAAGCCAUCAGUUUGGCACGGAUGAGAGAUGAGCAGAUGAUUCGUCAAGAGAAACCACAUCGGCCACUCUACAGAACCUCUGAUCAUUCUGAUCGACCAUUCAAGCACACUGACGUCUCUAAUCGUCCAUUCACCAGGUCUGUUGGCGUCUCUUCACCUUUUAAAACCCGUCUGCAUCACCUAUGAAGCGAUUAACAUGGUCUGAGAUGCAACAAAGGCGUGCUCAAGGCCUUUGCUUCAAUUGUGAUGAAAGGUUUGUAUUGGGGCACAAAUGUAAGGGGCCGCAGCUGUUAUUGCUUGAAAGCAGUUAUGAAGAUGAUGAGAUUGAUAAUGAGGAACCUGAAAUUUCACUCCAUGCUCUCACGGGGUGGUCAACAGCUAGAACCAUGAGAGUCUCGGCCAAAGUGGGACAUCAUGAAUUGAUUGUGCUUAUUGACAGUGGGUCAACCCAUAAUUUCAUCAAUGAACGGGUAGCUGAAAUAUUGCAUUUACCGGUGGUGCCCACUGAACCCUUUGCUGUGAAAGUGGCUAACGGAGUUCCGCUAAGGUGUCAGGGGAGAUUUGACAAUGUGCAUGUCUUAUUGCAAGGUAUUCCAUUUACCUUAACUCUUUAUUGGGUUGGAUAUGGUGUUGGGAGUCCAGUGGCUAGAACAGUUGGGAACGGUGGGUUGUGAUUGGAAGAGGAUGACGAUGAAGUUUUCAUGGAUGAAUCAGCAUCAUCAAUUGGAAGGAAUUGGCAAUCAACCAAUUCAGCCGAUACAGGUUCAAGCACUGUCGAAGGAGCUGAAGCAGGGCAAUUCUAUUUUUGCUGUGUGUCUACAGCCGGCUGGGGAAGAAACACCACAGAUGAACCGACCUGAUAUGCAACAAUUGUUACAAGAAUUUGCGGACAUUCAUCAAGAACCACAACAGCUCCCUCCCCAAAGAGAAAUAGACCACCACAUCACCCUCAAAGAAGGAACUGAGCCCAUCAAUGUCCGGCCAUACAGGUAUGCCUAUUUUCAAAAAGCUGAGAUUGAAAAGCAAGUUCAUGACAUGUUAAAAUUGGGGCUAAUUAGAUCUAGCACAAGUCCAUUUUCUUCUCCUGUGUUGUUAGUNNNNNNNNNNNNNNNNNNNNNNNNNNNNNNNNNNNNNNNNNNNNNNNNNNNNNNNNNNNNNNNNNNNNNNNNNNNNNNNNNNNNNNNNNNNNNNNNNNNNNNNNNNNNNNNNNNNNNNNNNNNNNNNNNNNNNNNNNNNNNNNNNNNNNNNNNNNNNNNNNNNGUCCGGGUCCAAUCCCCUUAGGAAUAUCCACCCAAAAGCUGGCGUGUGGCACACACAAAUGGGUCAUUAUGGAGUAAUUUAGGUUAUGCCCGUUUAGGUUUAAUGUAAUGACUCCUUCCCACGAUUUCAGGGCGGUCAAUGAAUUUCCAUAUUUUCGUUCCUUUACGUUCGCAAAAUUUGUAUUUAGUUUUCUUUGAUGAUAUUCCUAAAUCUAUAGCCCCCCAAUUGGACCCAUGCAUAUUGAAACAUGUUAAACCACCUUUUGAAAUAUUAAGGCAUCAUCAGUUUUUCAUCAAAUUGAAUAAGUGUGUGUUUGGGCAACAAGAGGUGAAGUAUUUGGGGUCACAUUGUGACGUCCCAAGGUGUGAAGGCCGACAAGGGCAAAAUUCAAUCUAUGCUUAAUUGGCCCUGCCCAACUAAUGUUUCUGAAUUGCGAGGGUUCUUAGGCCUUACAGGUUACUACCGGAAGUUUGUUCGCAAUUAUGGAAUCAUUGCCCGACCACUCACAAAUCUUUUGAAGAAGGGGCUAUUUCGGUGGACAGAGGAGGCAGAUGCGGCAUUCCUUGCCUUGAAGCAAGCGAUGACUUCAACUCCUACGCUUGCUAUGCCUAAUUUUAAUGAACCUUUUGUCAUUGAAACUGAUGCUUCAGGUACUGGUAUUGGGGCGGUGUUAACUCAGCACGGGAGACCCAUUGCAUUCAUGAGCCGAGCAUUGGGGGUCACUAAACUGUCAUGGUCCACAUAUGCCAAAGAAAUGCUUGCCAUUGUUCAAGCUAUUCGGUUGUGGCGUCCGUACUUGCUGGGCAGGAAAUUUUUCAUACACACUGAUCAUUGCAGCCUCAAGUACUUGAUGGAGCAGCGCAUUGUCACCCCAGAACAGCAGAAAUGGGUGUCCAAAUUAGUAGGGUAUGACUACGAAAUCACUUAUAAGCCGGGAAAGGAGAAUUCUGCCGCUGAUGCCUUAUCAAGAGUAAUUGGCAGCCCUAGCCUUAAUGCACUAUUUGUUCCUCAAGCAUCUUUGUGGCAGACUCUCAAGGAGGAAGCCAACCAGCAUCCUUACAUGAUCCGUAUUGGCAAACUUGCUACUGCCAAUCCGGGAGCUCCCUAUAAAUGGUUGAAUGGUUUGGUGUGUUACAAUAACCGAGUAGUCAUUCCCCCUAAUUCAACUCUUGUCCAGCUUCUAUUACAGGAAUUCCAUGAUUCACCUUCUGGAGGUCAUUCGGGGGUGUUACGCACAUACAAAAGAAUGGCGCAACAAUUUUAUUGGCCAUCCAUGCAUAGAGUGGUUCAGCAAUAUGUUGCUUCUUGCACGGUUUGCCAAAAGAAUAAGGCUGAUACUUUAUCUCCAGCCGGGCUUCUACAACCGCUGCCAGUUCCUUGUCAAAUCUGGGACGAUAUUACCAUGGAUUUCAUUGAAGGGUUACCACCUUCUAAUGGUAAAAGCACCAUUUUUGUGGUCGUGGACCGUUUAAGCAAAUCUGCUCAUUUUUUGGCUUUAGCACAUCCUUACACGGCCAAAAUGGUUGCUGAGAAAUUUGUGGAGGGGAUUGUCAAGCUUCAUGGCAUGCCGAAGUCCAUUAUUAGUGAUCGGGAUCCUAUCUUCAUCAGUCAUUUUUGGCGUGAAUUCUUCAAGAUGUCAGGGACAAAGCUGCACAUGAGUUCCGCUUAUCAUCCCCAAACCGACGGUCAAUCGGAGGUGGUUAACAGGUGUGUUGAGCAGUAUCUUCGAUGUUUUGUUUCUCAACAACCUCGAAAGUGGUGUUCUUUUCUUGCAUGGGCUGAAUUUUGGUACAACACCACAUUCCAUUCCUCUAUCGGGAUGUCUCCUUUUCAAGCUCUCUAUGGCCGACCACCACCGAGCAUCCCGAAUUAUCAGAUUGGGGCCUCUUCAGUGCACGAGGUGGAUCAGACUAUGAUUUCUCGUACUUCUCUUUUACGUCAGCUCAAAAUUAAUCUGCAGGCUGCAAUUAAUCGAAUGAAGCAGGGGGCUGAUUCCAAAAGACGGGACGUGAACUUCCAAGUGGGGGAUUUAGUCUUUCUCAAACUACAUCCUUAUCGCCAACAAUCUCUGUUUCGGAGACCAGCUCAGAAGUUGGCCAGCCGUUUUUAUGGUCCUUAUAAGGUUGAGGAAAAGGUGGGAAAGGUUGCUUACAAGCUUCAGCUUCCUACAGAUGCUCGAAUACACCCUGUUUUUCAUGUUUCACUUCUCAAGAAGCAAGUUGGAGAGUCCACGGUCACCAGCGCAGAACUGCCUCCCAUUACUGAUGAUGGUGAGUUUGUUUUAAAACCUAUUGCUGUGUUGGAAACCCGAUGGGUGCGGAAAGGGUCUACUUUUGUUGAGGAACUCCUUGUCCAAUGGGAACACUUGUCAAAGGAGGAUGCUACGUGGGAAAAUGCACAGGAGCUGCGUGACAAGUUUCUGUCCUUCAACCUUGAGGACAAGGUUCUAAUUCAAGACAGGGGCAAUGAUAAACCACGAAGGUCUAAUAGGGUGCCUAUCAAGAAUCCAAGAUAUGAGGGUUGAGCUGGGACACGUAUUAUGAGGAUUCAGCUGUGGGCAAUUGCUGAAUUUGUUUAAUUUGUUUUUUUUGAAUUGGUCAAUAAAGUUAGAAGGAAUAAGUCAAUUAGUGGGGGCUAUUUCUCUGUCAACUAGCCGUUCCACGUCCUUCUAAUUAGCGAAGUAGUUAAGUUUUUAUUUGUAUUUAAAUCAUUGUUUCCAGCAAGUUGAGGACAAGAAAAGUAUUACAAGGUUUAUUCUCACCUUAAGCAGAGUAUUUUCUUAUUUUCUUAAAGGCUUUGACUGGGACCUAACACUACCACCCCGUUCUAACCUAGAACCCCUGCAACAUUUUCAAGGGACCAUAGAAUUGUCCACCAUAGUUGAGUCAGCUGCAGGAACCCGUUUACCGGAACCAGUGACAAUUCACUGCUCAACCAAAAGCGGAAGCCUUGUAUUUAAAACAGGUUGGUAUGCUAUUGCUCGCGAUGUUGGCCUCAAAAGUGGAGACACUGUGACUUUCUAUCAGGAGGUUAACGGAGGAGCACAGUUCAAAUUGAAAGUGAGAAAUGUUCGUUAAAGUAAAGAAGAAAUGUGAGGGAAACAGUGUCUUCCAUACAUGCAUGAACGUCCGAGUGCACGUCCUUUUUUUUCUUCUUUGUUCUGUCUCCUGCAAUCUUCGUGUCUAGUUUCUGUCCGGUGUCAGCAGUUGAGAAAACUUUUCUCAAAAUCAUCUCCUGCAAUCUUCGUCUCUGGUUUCCACAAUUCCUUGCAUGUGUGAGGAAAUUAUGAAUAAUUAGUUUCUUCUUUAGAUGAAAGAGUUUGUCUGUGAUUGUAAUGUGUUUUGAGCUUUAAUUUUGUGAUUUUUGGUAACAAAAUUAUUAUGUGUUGUGAAUUACUUUAAAAACUUCAAUGAGAUGUGAUUUGAUUCAUCAGCUUAAACUGAAAUUAUAUAUUAAAAUGGUCGAGGGAUAUAUAGCUGGAAGCAAGUAUUUGACUGAAAGUGAUUCAAAACCACUUAUCAUCUUUCGUGCAUAAAUUGUACUAACUUCAUUCUCUCUUUAUUCAAUGCCAUUUAUCGACCAAUUAAUCGUCAACAGAAGAAAACCAAACGAUGAACGUCGCAUAAUAUUUAUUAUAAAAAAAAAAUAAUUGAAUGCUUGGAGAUGGUUGCCAACUAGCAUUUCUAUCCCAAAACCCUAAGACCAAUUCGACAGAAAAGAAAUUGCUUUUGAAAAGUCAUUAAAUGUUGAUAAGAGUUUGAAAUUGAUGAAAAAUAGAAUAAACAUCAGAUUUUGCAACAAGUGACUUCCACAAAUAGUGCCUUCUCUUUUGCUGGAAUUUGGAAAGGUAUUGUCUCUCCUAAGGUAGAGAUCUUUUGUUGGAUGGCUAUCAUUAACCGAAUCAACACCCGGAGUAUGUUGGUUCGAAGAGAUAUUUUGGGUAGCUCAGAAUCUAAUUGCCCUAUAUGCCUAGUGGAGGAAGAGUCGGUGGACCAUAUCCUGCUGCACUGCCAUAAGCAUUGGCUCAUUUGGUCCAAAAUCAUUAAGUGGUGGGGUUUAGUUUGGUGCUGCCCAGAGAGCUUCUCAGAUUUGUGGUCGCAGUGGACUUCCCUGGUACAUUGUCACUUUCAGAGGAAGGCGUGGCUGAUGUUGUUCUUCUCAGUGGCAUGGUCUCUUUGGCUUCUUUGAAAUGAUCUAAUUUUCCAACAGAAGACACCUGACUAUGAUUCAAUAUUAUUUCUUUUUAUCACCCGUUUAUGCCUACGGCUAAAAGCUAUCCAUUCUGAUUUCCCAUACUCCCCUACAGAUCUGAUCAGAUCGGCAGAUGACCUGCUUUGGUGGUCCAAUGCUCACUCUUUCAGAAUUAUAAUAUGUGGUCUCCUCCUAUGAUUAAUAGCCUUAAAUGGAACGUAGAUGGCUCUUCUCUUGGUAAGCCAGGCCCCUCUGGAAUAGAUGGUGUGCUGCAAAAUCACCAUGGCCAUCUUCUUGGUAUGUUCUCUAUUCCAGUUGGGAUUUUAGACUCUAAUAUUGCUGAGUUAAGGGUUAUUGUCAAAGCCAUUGAACUAUCAGCAUCUAAUUGUCUCCUCCACCAUCAACAUCUCAUCAUAGAAUCUGACUCUGCCAAUGUUAUUAGCUGGAUGCAUAAGCCUCACAUCCGUCCCUGGAAGCAUCACAAUCUUUUCUCCUCUGUCAAUAGACUGAAUGCAUUUUUUGGCUCAAUCACCUUUGUCGCACGUGAAAUGUGUCGCGGCGAUCGCCCACCCACACUCAAUUGUGUGUGGGUCUGGAAAAUAUAGGGAGACAAGGAAUUCUUGUCUCUUAUCAGUGGAAAAAAUAGAAUGGGAGUCGCCACCUAGUAUUCUGGUCACUAGGAACCCUAACUGGUCUCAGAGAUCGGGUACGGAGACUGGUUGUGUAAAGGGAAGGUAUUAACACCCCAAAUACGCCCUACCUAAAGGUAAGCUGCAUUGUUUUAUUUGUCUGAUCAAAAUCUAAGGUUUGGUCGCGUUUUCUAAUUGUUGGUCCUGGCUGUCUAAGAUUCAAGAAAGCCCUCCUCAGUAAGGAGGUUCUUAUCUAUGGGGCAAGCCUAACCGUUCUAAUAUCUAUAAAAGAAAACUAUCUUUUUAAUAUUGGGAAUACGUUUUACAUAUAAAUUCAUAAUCCUUGAUAUUUAAAAGAAAAAAAUAUUUUUUGAUUUUUUUGAAAUAUUGGCCAAGUUCUCGUGACUUUAAUAAACUGGUUAUUAAAGCCGAAAUGCAUGCUAAAACAUUUUUUUUUUGAAGUUUUCUUUGUUGUAUGAAAAUAUGAUGUAAUUUUUUCUUUAAGAGACUUGGCCGUAUGCAUGAAAACAAAAACAUUUUUUUUUUCAAAGUUUUGACGAAAACCGGGUAUUUUAAUACCGGAUUUGUAUCUUUAUGGUAUAAAAAUACAAACCAAUAUUAAACAAAAUUCCAUAACAAAAUACACGGGGAAAUCACAAAUUUUUCCGAAAAUAUUUUUUUGAAAAUUUUUGGAACUGGGCCAGACCCGGCCCAAAAAAAAAAAACUGGGCCGAAUAAGCUACAGGGCUGGACUCAGCCCAGCCGCGUGGGCUGGGCUGAUGUUCCCACCCAAAAGAACAACAGGCCGGUUGCUGGUUACUGUGCUGAGAACAGUAACCAUUGAAUUAUAAUUAGGUGGUUACUGUGCUCUACACAGUAACCACCUAAUUAUAUUUCAUUUGCUGCAGAACGUGAAUUGCUCACGUUCUGCAUGCAAAUGAAGGCGAACCAAAAAAUGGACAGCAGAGGGGGAAGAGGGUUACCUGGAAUGAGCCUGGAUAGAUGGGCUGACGGUGGUGCUGGUGACCAAUUUGGCGGUGGUGUUGCUGCGGCCUUCUUCCUCCUCCCUGCUGUUUCGGUGCUGCUUUUUCUCUUUAUUUCCUUUGCUCCCUCUGUCAACAACGUUCUUCUCUCUCUGCAGCGGCUUCGUGGAGAUGCUGGUGGUGGCGGCCUGGGGGAGUGGCUUGGACGAUGGUCGGCCUUUCUUCCUCUUCUUCUCUGCGUUUUUCUUCAGCUCUGUUCGCCUUUGUUUCUGUUUCUUCCUUCUGCUUCUCACGGGGCUGUUGUCGACUGGGAGGGCAAUGGCAGCUGGCGGUGAUGCUGGUGGCGGUGGAGAGGAAUCCGACUAUGCCUCACGGUGGUUAUGAAGGUGGCAGUGGCUGGGAAGCCCGAUGACAGCAGCGGUUUUCUUCUUCUUCUUCCCCGUGCAGAGGCGCAGGUUGCUGCCUUUUCUUCAAUGGUGCAGCAACGGGUGGGAGGAAGAUGAUGAGCUGAGGAAGGCUGACUAUGGCGUGGGCAGUGCUGCUGUGUUUGUGCUCCUGGUGGCGUGGGUGUCGCGGCAGCCGGCUGUGGUCGCUCUUCCUCUUCUCUUUUCUGUCAUUGCUUCUUCUCUCUGUUUCUGUCACCUUGUUUCUCUCCAAACAAUUCUCUGUCUCUCUCUCUCGGUUUCCCCUUCUUUCUCUUUUUUUCUACUCCUUCUCUGUGUUGUCAUUCUCUCUUUUUUUACCCCCCUCAUUCGGCACCCCCUCCUCGAGUAUUUAUAGGCAAAGGAGGAGAGGUUCACCAUACCCUGUACAAGCACAGGGCAUGGUGGUCGGGGCAUGGGUCUUCUGCUUUUCGUCAUGGUGGGGGGCAUGGGUCUCCUGUUUCUCCAUUAAUGAGGGUAUGGGUUGUGUAAGUAGUUAGGCAAGUGGGGAGGUAGAGAAGGAGAGGGUGAGCGGGAAAAAGAUUUCAAAAAUCUUCUUCUCCCUUGUCUCUGCAUUUGCAGGGGAGAAAAGCUGCACAGUGCCGUUCAAAACGGCACCGUGCAGUUUUUUUUUUUUUUUUUUUGAAGAAAAGGAAAAAAGAUUUGGGGUGACCCAAAAAUGGGUUAUGACAGUUGCCCCCCUCUUUACAAUGCUUACGGAGCAAAGACUUUGCGUAGUAAGCUUGUAAAGAAAACAAAAGGAAAGAAAAUGAUCUGAUUAUCUUGGGCAACCUGCCCACACACGCUCACAGUAGUCUAUUUUCAGGGGCGACCAACCCACACACUCACACUGGUCUAUUUUCACGGGCGACCUGCCCACACACGCUCACACUGGUCUAUUUUCAUGGGCGACCUGCCCAAGUAGAAAAAGAAAGAGUGGUCUCAUUGUAAUGGGUGACCUACCCAGGUAAAGGAAUGGUCUCAUUGUAAUGGGUGACCUACCCAGAUAAAAAAAUAAAACAUGAAGAAUGGUCGAGUUGUAAUGGGUGACCUACCCAAAAAUGGGAAAAAGGAAGAGUGGUCGUGUUGUAAUGGGUGACCUACCCAAGUGGAGGAGUGGUCUCAUUGUAAUGGGUGACCUACCCAGAUAAAAAAAAAAAAACAUGGAGAAUGGUCGAGUUGUAAUGGGUGACCUACCCAAAAUAGGAAAAAGGUAGAGUGGUCGAGUUGUAAUGGGUGACCUACCCAAGUAGAGGAAUGGUCUCAUUGUAAUGGGUGACCUACCCAGAUAAAAACAUGGAGAAUGGUCGAGUUGUAAUGGGUGACCUGCCCAAAAUGGAAAAAAGGUAGAGUGGUCGAGUUGUAAUGGGUGACCUACCCAAGUGGAGGAAUGGUCUCAUUGUAAUGGGUGACCUACCCAGAUAAAAAAAACAUGGAGAAUGGUCGAGUUGUAAUGGGUGACCUACCCAAAAAUGGAAAAAAGGAAGAGUGGUCGUGUUGUAAUGGGUGACCUACCCAAGUGGAGAAAUGGUCUCAUUGUAAUGGGUGACCUACCCAGAUAAAAAAAACAUGGAGAAUGGUCGAGUUGUAAUGGGUGACCUACCCAAAAAAAGGAUGGUGAGGGCUCAAAGGCGCACUCGAAAGGAGGUAGGGUUAGAAAACGCACUACCUAAGAAACGGUGGCUCAAAGGCGCACUCGAAAGGAGGUAGGGUUAGAAAACGCACUACCUGAGAUGUGAGGGCACAAAGGCCUACUCAAAAGAGAAGGUGUGAGGGCUCAAAGGCGCACUCGAAAUGUGGUGUAACACCAAUCUGUUAAUGAUGAAAGCAAUGCAUUAUGAUUGAUAUGCAUGUAUACUUACCUGAGAAAUAUAGGUCCCCAUUUCUUCAUGGUGUCUUUAUUUUCUCAAAAGUUGGAGUGUUGGUAGUGAACUUCGAUGGCUUUUUCGCUCUCGCUUACUCGAGUCAUCUCUUGUGAUCUUAACUUCUGGGAAGGGCUUGAUAUCAUCAUACUUCUUUGUCCUCCACCCUUUAUCUCAAGGGUUGCCAAUUUUGCCCGGCAUUUUCUUAGAAGGGAAUCAUGAAGCCAGCCCUACCAGGAGUUUUUUUUUUAUUGCCCCCCAGCUUGAUCAUGCCCCCAAGUAUUCAAUUCGGGUUUGCGGAUGAGGCUAUGUGAAGGAAGGUUUGACAAGGAGUUGUUUUCAUGCAGAAAUUUUUGGAAUUUCAAAGUUAUUCCAUACACAGAAUUCAUUUUGACAUCGAUUCAAAGCAAACUCAUUCUGAAGAAAUUCAAGUGAUUCCUAUGGAGAGGUUUUCAGAAGUGAUGAAAACUUUUUAUUUUGAUUUUGGUGAAAAACAUGAAGUGACACUUGGUUGGUCAAAAAGGUUUAAGAUUUAAUUUGAGGGUUUCAAAGAACCAAUGUUCAAAGCAUUCAUUUUAUUUGCAUGAAUAAUGACUUGGUUUGCAUGAGAAAGCACUGCCUACCGAUCCAGAUUGCUUGCAUUUGAUCAAAAAGGGCUUGAUUAGGCAUGUAAUGUAGGUUUGAGCUCUUGGUUAUGAAGAACUGGAUAUUUGCAAGCUCAAAAGGUGUUUAAGGGAUUUCAAAACUAAGGAUCACUUGUGCUUGUUUCCUGACCUUUUGUCUUUUGAAUGUCUUUCCAAAAUUAUCUAUUGUGCCCCCCCAGUGUUGGGCUUGGGCUCUUUCUCUUUGUUUUUGUUUUCUUCAUUUGGUUGAGCAUCUCAUUUUUUCUUUUUUCUUUUUUUUAUGCUCAAAAUUUUUUUUGGAUCCUUUGGAUUUUUCUUCAUGCCCCCAAGCUUUGUUUGGGCACUUUCAAACGUUGAGGUUUUUUCUAUGUCUCUCGCACCUGCCCCCCAGUGUGGGGUGUGAUCCUAGUCGAGGUUAUUUCCAAAAAACGUUACCAGGCUCAAAAGGGGACUGCAAAGGAUAUAUUUCAGCCUUGUGAAAGGAUUAUCAAAGAUGGCCUUUCUUCAUCUCAAAUGCAUGCAUUUAGGAUCGGUAAGCCUUGCUUUCAUGCGAGUAUGCAAAAUGAUUUCUCAUUAUUCAUUCAAAUAAAACUCAACUUUUAGAGUCACUUCAUGGUGUUUUUGUUUUUGUUUUUUUUUUAGGUUUUCUCGGAGUAUGGUUACCUUUCUAAGGAAUCACUUGAAUUUCCAGAACUGUUUGUUUUGGACAAACACCGACAUGAUUUCUGUUUUUGUACUAAACUUGGAAUUCCCAAAAAAAAUCCUUGUGAACAUGUAUGAUCGAUGCAUAAUUUUGGAGGGAAAAAGGGAAACACAUCAGUGGUUUCGUGGGUGAAGAUUGAGCUUAGUGUGUUAUUUGCAUGAAAUGGCAACAAAAAUAAAGGUACAUCAUGAAUACAGGAAAACAUAUGAUCUUAUUUAACAAGAAAGGCUCAUUUGACAGAGAAAGUCUUGUGGCAUUAUGAGCCGAAUUACCAACAAGACUGAAACAAGUUAAAAUAGACAUGAUCAAACAAAAUGAAAUAAUAGGGUCGACUUCAUUCUUCCAAUUUGGUAAAUCUUCUCUUAGGCUAGCCUCACCCACAACAACUCUUGUAGAGGUCCCAUUGACGGCGGGGACAAAAACUGUGGUCAAAAUUUAAGUUCUUCAAAAUUGAGGCUACUUUUUUUCGCACCCUGCCUUGACCAUCGAUGCUUUCUGAGCAUUCUGCCUCUAGUGCCUUUACUGAUCCACAACUUCAAGCAUGAUUAGGUAGAGGGUUCGUGUUCACAUUAGGAGCGUCUUCCAAUUCUAUCCACCCUGCCUUGAUUAAUUGCAAAAGCUUUCUCUUGAAGGCGUUGCAAGUAUGAAUGCUAUGUCCAACAACACCAGCAUGAUAUUCGCAAGUGAGCUCUGGCUUGUACCAAUUAGGGUAAGGUGGCUGCACAGGCGUCAGAGGUUCGGGAGCUACCUGCCCGAUGCUUACUAGCUUCUGGUACAUCUCAUUCAAGGGUAGCGGUAAUGGAGGUAGUUGUUCUUGGACCUUUUGGUAAUUUCCAAUUUGGCUUUUGGCUUGAAAGUUUUGGGGCUCAGGUUUUUUGAUGUCGGCAACUUGGGAUGGAGUGUGGUAGUUUUGGGAUGAGGUUUUCCUACCCUUAUAGUCGUCUCCAAUAUGGUUGACAUCUUUCCUUUCGAAGCCUCUUUUCUCGGUGGGUGCAGAAAUUCUACCACUCUUGACGCCUUGCUCUAUACGCUCACACACUACCACAGCGUCAGUGAAUUGUUGUGCCGAACUACCCAUCACAUGCUCAUAAUAUGGUGCUUUGAGUGUGUUGGCAAAUAAAGUGACCAUCUCCUUAUCCAAAAGUGGAGGAUGGACUUGAGCAGCUGAUUCUCGCCAUCUUUAAGCAUAUUCCCGUAUGCUUUCUUUGUCCCUUUUCUCUAGAUUGGACAAGCUGGUUCUGUCGGGAGCAAUGUCCAUGUUGUACUUAUAUUGCUUGAUAAAAGCAUCCAUCAGGUCUUUCCAUCUCCGGAUCUUUGUGUUAUCCAAUCUCAUGUACCAGCUCAAUGUUGCCCCACUUAAGCUAUCUUGAAAAAAGUGCAUCAGUAGUUUUUCAUCAUGUACUACUUCUGCCAUUUUAUUGCAAUAGGAUUUGAGAUGAGUCAUGGGGCAUUGUGUUCCACUAUAUUUGAUGAACUCCGGAACACGAAACUUUUUCGGGACAACCACAUUUGGGACCAGACAAAUCUCUGCUGCCCGUACUGGAUCAUAUAAGUCUACCCCCUCAAUUACUCUGAUUCUGGCUUCUAGCGCCUCCAUCUUAUCUUGAUCAAUUCUAUCAGAUGACUUGGCCUUGUGGGACUCAUUAGCAAAUGUAUUCAUGACUGCAGGGGCUGGUGCAGGUGUUGCUGACUGCACAAAUGUUGGAUUAUGUUGAGGCUCUUGACCAUGUUCGCUCAUUCUUUCUUCGGGCUGUGCUAUUGUUGGAAUCUGAUUAAAGGUGACCGGUCGGUUAGAAGGACCUUCACCAGAGGUAUUUCUUAGUGUUUGCUCGAGUAAGCUAGUGAGGCGAGCCACACUUGUCUUCAGAGACUCCAACUCUUCUUGAAAAUGGGCGUCACGGUGAGCGCGCUCUUCAUCUUCCAUGUUUCUCGCUCGAAGUCGGGUGUUGUAGACUCUUUGGGGACCUAUAUUUCAACCUGGAGCAUGUAUGUAUGUUAUUUACAAUGAAUGGAUGUAUGUGUACAAUGCAAAUGUAUGUACAUGCGUAUUAGGGAGUUCAUACUCUAAGGAUAGGUUUGGGCCAUUACAUGAUGGGUGGCUUUCUACCUGGUCUCAAAAGGAACUCUUGUUGUCCCAGUGAUCACCCUCAUGAAGGCAAUAUGGGGGCUCAGUAGGUAGUGGGAUGGCAUAUGCACCAAUCAUUACCAGUCUAAGCACUCAGCGAAGAGUUGGGGUUUACACAAACUUAAACCUUGACUAAAAGUCGUAAGGUAAGCUGCUAGUCCCCCACUUAACCUAAAGUUUUUUCAGUAUAAAUCGCCUCAAAUGUGAAUGAUGCAUGAAAUAAUUUUAUACAAUGCAUGAACAAAUAUGUACAAAAUUAAAGCAUAUGAGCAAAUGAGAAUGAAAGUUAACAAUAACACAAAACCAAACAAUAAAAAACGAUGAUCAGACAAAAACAAAGCUUAGUCCACAAGGUUCCCAGUGGAGUCGCCAUUCUGUCGCACGUGAAAUGCGUCGCGGCGAUCGCCCACCCACACUCAAUUGUGUGUGGGUCUGGAAAAUAUGGGGAGACAAGGAAUUCUUGUCUCUUAUCAGUGGAAAAAAUAGAAUGGGAGUCGCCACCUAGUAUUCUGGUCACUAGGAACCCUAACUGGUCUCAGAGAUCGGGUACGGAGACUGGUUGUGUAAAGGGAAGGUAUUAACACCCCAAAUACGCCCUACCUAAGGUAAGCUGCAUUGUUUUAUUUGUCUGAUCAAAAUCUAAGGUUUGGUCGCGUUUUCUAAUUGUUGGUCCUGGCUGUCUAAGAUUCAAGAAAAGCCCUCCUCAGUAAGGAGGUUCUUAUCUUAUGGGGCAAAGCCUAACCGUUCUAAUAUCUAUAAAAGAAAACUAUCUUUUUAAUAUCGGGAAUACGUUUUACAUAUAAAUUCAUAAUCCUUGAUAUUUAAAAGAAAAAACUAUUUUUUGAUUUUUUUGAAAUAUUGGCCAAGUUCUCGUGACUUUAAUAAAACGGUUAUUAAAGCCGAAAUGCAUGCUAAAACAUUUUUUUUUUUUGAAGUUUUCUUUGUUGUAUGAAAAUAUGAUGUAAUUUUUUCUUUAAGAAACUUGGCCGUAUGCAUGAAAACAAAAACAUUUUUUUUUUCAAAGUUUUGACGAAAACCAGGUAUUUUAAUACCGGAUUUGUAUCUUUAUGGUAUAAAAAUACAAACCAAUAUUAAACAAAAUUCCAUAACAAAAUACACGGGGAAAUCACAAAUUUUUCAGAAAAUAUUUUUUUGAAAAUUUUUGGAACUGGGCCAGACCCGGCCCAAAAAAAAAAAAACUAGGCCGAAUAAGCUACAGGGCUGGGCUGAUGUUCCAACCUAAAAGAACAAAAGGCCGGUUGCUGGUUACUGUGCUGAGAACAGUAACCAUUAAAUUAUAAUUAGGUGGUUACUGUGCUCUACACAGUAACCACCUAAUUAUAUUUCAUUUGCUGCAGAACGUGAAUUGCUCACGUUCUGCAUGCAAAUGAAGGCGAACCAAAAAAUGGACAGCAGUGGGGGAGGAGGGUUACCUGGAAUGAGCCUGGAUAGAUGGGCUGACGGUGGUGCUGGUGACCAAUUUGGCGGUGGUGUUGCUGCGGCCUUCUUCCUCCUCCCUGCUGUUUCGGUGCUGCUUUUUCUCUUUGUUUCCUUUGCUCCCUCUGUCAACAACGUUCUUCUCUCUCUGCAGUGGCUUCGUGGAGAUGCUGGUGGUGGCGGCCUGGGGGAGUGGCUUGGACGGUGGUCGGCCUUUCUUCCUCUUCUUCUCUGCGUUUUUCUUCAGCUCUGUUCGCCUUUGUUUCCGUUUCUUCCUUCUGCUUCUCACGGGGCUGUUGUCGACUGGGAGGGCAAUGGCAGCUGGCGGUGAUGCUGGUGGCGGUGGAGAGGAAUCCGACUAUGCCUCACGGUGGUUAUGAAGGUGGCAGUGGCUGGGAAGCCCGAUGACAGCAGCGGUUUUCUUCUUCUUCUUCCCCGUGCGGAGGCGCAGGUUGCUUCCUUUUCUUCAAUGGUGCAGCAACGGGUGGGAGGAAGAUGAUGAGUUGAGGAAGGCUGACUAUGGCGUGGGCAGUGCUGCUGUGUUUGUGCUCCUAGUGGCGUGGGUGUCGCGGCAGCCGGCUGUGGUCGCUCUUCCUCUUCUCUUUUCUGUCGUUGCUUCUUCUCUCUGUUUCUGUCACCUUGUUUCUCUCCAAACAAUUCUCUGUCUCUCUCUCUCGGUUUCCCCUUCUUUCUCUUUUUUUCUACUCCUUCUCUGUGUUGUCGUUCUCUUUUUUUUUACCCCUCUCAUUCGGCACCCCCUCCUCGGGUAUUUAUAGGCAAAGGAGGAGAGGUUCACCAUACCCUGUACAAGCACAGGGCAUGGUGGUCGGGGCAUGGGUCUUCUGCUUUUCGUCAUGGUGGGGGGCAUGGGUCUCCUGUUUCUCCAUUAAUGAGGGUAUGGGUUGUGUAAGUAGUUAGGCAAGUGGGGAGGUAGAGAAGGAGAGGGUGAGCGGGAAAAAGAUUUCAAAAAUCUUCUUCUCCCUUGUCUCUGCAUUUGCAGGGGAGAAAAGCUGCACAGUGCCGUUCAAAACAGCACCGUGCAGUUUUUUUUUUUUUUUUUUUUUUGAAGAAAAGGAAAAAAGAUUUGGGGUGACCCAAAAAUGGGUUAUGACAACCUUCUCCCAUAUCUUUGGUGAAAGUAAUUGCAUGGCUAAACAAGGAGUGCGGAGAUCAAGUGAAUUUGUUUCCUCGUUUUGACUCCACCAUUAAUAUUAUGGCCUUGCUUAUGUGUCUUCUGUUGUUAUGCUGUUGAGUUUAUUUUUGUUCUGUUUUGUAGAGGACUGCUUAGCUAUGAGUUCAUUCGGAUGGAUAUUCUCUGGUUUUCUUUGCUUUUACUUAUCUUAGACUGUGUUCUAUCUUCUUUAUGGCCUUUUGCCAUAUUAAGAUAUUGUGCAGCUUCUGUACUAAUCUCGCCAGACUUUGGCGUUUAAAUGAUAUAAGUAUCUUUAAAAAAAAACAAGAAAAGCAAGUGAUAUUUGAUCAAAUUUCUCUCUUUGUUGUGCGCGAUGCAUUAGGAAAAAGAAAAAAAAGAUGGCAUCUUUAUAUAACCCCAUUAAUAAGUUAAUAGAUUAUUAUCAUAUAAAUCAAAUUUAAAACUUAAUUUUUUGAUGAUUAGUUAAUAUGAUAUUACAGUAAUUUUAACUAGAAUGUACCAUCAAAUAAAUUUAUGCCCUUAUAAACAACGUGAAAAGAUUUAAUUUGAGCAGUAGCUAGCGCGCUACCUAGUAUAAUACAUCGCUGUCAUAGCAUGCAGAAAAGAGCUAGCAUAUAUAAAAAUAGUUUAAUUUAAAAUUCAUAUCAUUUUUAUCCAAACAAAGUGUUGACAAACCAAUCAAUAGUUGAAUUGCUGACUGACAGUUGACCAUUUCACAAUUUAUGUCUAAAUGGUCGGUGGAUAUAUAGCUGGAAGCAAAUGACUGAUUCAAAACACUUAUCAUCUACCUUUGGUGCAUAAAUUGUUCUAACCUCACUCUAUCUUAAUCACAUGUCUUUUAUCGAUCUAUUAAACGUCAACACAAACGAUGAACGUCCAAUAAUAUUUAUUUAUUAUAUAUAAAAAAGAAUGUUAGAAUGUGAUGGAUUGAAGAUAUAUGUCGAGGGAGAAAAUAGUGCGUAUCCGUGCAUGCACUUAAAUUGCCGUAAGAACAUACCCUUUCGUAGGGCACGAAAUUGGAGUAGUAAUUAAUGAAUGCUCCAUCACUCACUGAAAAGGGCCAAAUCUUGGAGAUGGUCACUACCAUCUCUAUCAGAAAAACGUGAGACAAUUGCUGAUAAGAGUUUGCUUUCGAAAGUCAUUAGUUGCUGAUAAUAUCUUGCUUGUUCAAACUAUAGAGAUUUUUCUUACUGAAAGUAUUGACCAACAAAAACAUUGGAAUUCAGAGAAUUAAAUUGUUUCUAGAACAAUUAUGUGAUAAAAAGAGAGUGAAACAAGACAAAUAUUAAUUAAUAGGAUAAUUAUAUACCAUGUUGCCACUUAGUAGAGCCAUGUUUUUGAAAUAAUAACCUAUCAAUUCUUUUAGUUAAAUCCAGUUAAUCUAAUAGAUUAAUUUAUAAAUUGAUUCACCUGAUGAGUGAGUUAUGAUUUUACAUAUAAAUAUUAAAAAAUAAUUCCAUUUUAACUUUUAAUAAGAAAAAACUCAUAAUUUAAAAUAAUAUUAUUUUAAAUUAUCUCCCCAAGGACAGCCAUAAGUAGCGAAAUAAAAUAGAAAGGGGAUCCCUGUCAUGAUGGUGGUUCCUUUUAUCACAGCAGACGGGGCCCUUUUACCCUUUUGUCGGGUCUUCCAAGAUUGAUUGCUGCUGGGGAUUAUUUAAUCCAUCUCUCGUAUCCAAGUCUCAAUCUAGUAAGUAUGUUUUCCGAUGAUUUGACAGUAACGCUUGCACUUUUGAGCAACAAUAAGGGACAAUUUCCCUCACGCAGGCCCCACAAUUAUACGGAGCUGGUGAAGCCUAUCAGAAUUCUCACGCAGGUAAGAACAUGGACCGGCCAAUAUGAACAAAUAUAUAGUAGGCCAAGCAAUUAUCUUUUCCUCUGCAGAAAUGAUUCUUAAUAUUGCUUUUAAGGUUUGACGGUUACACGUGCAAAUGCUUCAUGUCCUGAUCUGAUGGAAUCUUGGAAACCGUACCCAAAUGGACCUACUUCAAUCAUGAAAAAUUAGCUACAAAUCUCCAAUAGCAUAUUGGAAAAGUGAUAUAUGCCACUUCAAUAUUAGGCAUUCAUUAUAAUAAAAUUAUUUUGAAAUAUUUUUUUAGUUUUUUAUUUAGACAUGCUAUACAUUUUUAGAAAGGUUGAGCAUAUCUUGAUCUAGUGAAUUUGUUAUCUCUCAUUCCUUUGUCUUUUUUACAAAGUUUACCAUCUCAGUUCUUUUACGAGACUUUUUGUCGUAAGCAAUGUAAAGAAGGGGAAACUGUCAUAACUUAUUUGUGGGUUAUUUCUCAAAUUCAUCUUUUUUCUUUCCAAAAUAAAAAUAAAUAAUAAUAGUAAAAAGACUGAUAUUUUGACAAAAAGCAAUCUGGGAGGAUUUCAAAUGUAGAAAAAAUCAAGUUGCAAUAAUAAUUGUACCCUAUUUACCCAAAACUGGAGAGACAAUGCACAUUCAAGGUCUUUGUCAAGGCACUUACAUGGAUCCCUUCAAUAAGAAUUCAUUUGGGUGCACGAGCCCAUAAUAAAUUGAAAAAGUCAUGUUUAUUCACACGAGUAAAUUUUUACCCGGAGCCAUAGAUAGACUACCGGUUAGAAACUCAUCAAAACCUUUAAACGACAUUCAAAAUCACAAUGCAGAUUACCUCAAGUAGGGUGUGCUAGGGGUGUUAUUACCUUCCCUCACCACAAUCAGUCCCUUAAUCUUGAAUCUUUGAUAAAACCAAUAUACCCGGAUUUCCUAGCGAGAUUAAACCCAACAACUAGAUGGAGACUCCUUUGACCCCCGAUGCCACGCAUCCAUAUGCGACAGGGUGCGACUCCCAUGACCCCCGAUACCGUGUGUUAACGUGCAAUAGAAUGAUGACUCCUUCGACCCCCCUGACACCACGCGUCCAUGUGCAACAAUUACUACAAUGUUUUUUUUCUCAUCAAUAGAUUGUAGAGUCAGAUUCUUAUAAUGCUAUCAAUUGCAUUAGAGGAACUAAUGAUAUGUGUAUUUGGCGCUUGCAAGGUGCGUUUAAUGUUAUUUUCAAUACACGCAAAAAGUUCUCUGGUGUUGAUUUUCAACAUGUUCAUUGAGAGAAGAAUGAAGUUGUAGUCUGGCCAAGCAAGCAUUUUUUGGAGAUAUUGAUCCAGUAGCCUGGCUUUAGCUUUAUUCAGUUUUAUUUUUAAUGUAUGUGAUUACGUGUCUUUUGUUUUGUUGUAAGUUUCUGUUAAGUCAUGUUAUUAAUAACUAUAACAGUGCUUAAUAAAUCAUGUUAUUAAUAACUAUAACAGUGCUUAAUAAAUCAUUAGUAUUUCAUAUAUAAAAAAGUGGCUAUUAAAUGGUUCAGUACAUGGACCGGCACACAAAUGAACCCUUGAAAUUAUAAAGUUCGAAUGCUACUACCACACUUGUUCAAAAAUUUGUAUUUAAUAAGUAUUUCUUCCUAAGUUUAAAAUUUAUAAUUAUAUAACAACAAGGCUUUCUAACAACAAGGCCUUCUAAUGAAACAAAAAAAAAUCUCAGUAAUAUGUUAAAUACUAUCAUAAAUACUAUCAUAAAUAACCACUUAAUCCAAAAAAAUAAGUAUUGAUUAAGUCAAAAAGCCUUUGAUAACCUUUUAAAGAAUCACUCAACAAAAACUGUUAGGUGAGUUACUUAUUUAUUUGAUUAUUUUAUUAGAAAAAUUAUUUUGUACAUAUGUGUUAUCAAUAAUCACCAAAACUCUCGCAUAAUUAUGGCGACUUCGAUACGCAAAGGGUAUGAAGCUCGACUAAACUCUCGCAUGUAUGAAGCUCGACUACGGCAACAUUCGUUUAGAGAUAGUCUUAUAUUUUUUCCGAUCUUGAAAUGGUCGAGGGAUAUAUAGCUGGAAGCAAAUGUUUGACCGAAAGUGAUUCAAAACACCUAUCUCCUGCAAUCUUCGUGUGUAGUUUCCUCAUUUCCUUGCAUGAGUGAGGAAAUUAUGAAUAAUUAAUUUCUUCUUUAGAUGAAAGAGUUUGUCGGUGAUUGUAAUAUGUGUUUGGAGCUUUAAUUUUGUGAUUUUUGGUAACAAAAUUAUUUUGUGUUGUGAAUUACUUUAAAAACUUCAAUGAGAUGUGAUUUGAUUCAUCAGCUUAAACUGAAAUUAUAUAUUAAAAAAGAAGCAAAUCAUUUUACUCUAAAUUAUAUAUUAAAGAAGAAGCAAAUCAUUUUUCAGAGUAAUUUAAUUAUGUUUUUUCCAAAAGAAGAAGAAAUAGCGCAUGAGGUAGUGCCAUUGAAGCUUAACUCUCAGCUAAUUUAAUUUUGAAUGAUAGAAUUGUUAAAAAAUAUUGAUGAAAAAAAGCUUGCAAAUGCACAACAAAAUAGCAAAAAAAUGAAUGGAGAUAAAAUUUGAGAGAGAAAACCUAAGGAGGAUGAAAUUAAAAAAUAAUUCAAAAAUAAUAAAUAACAAUUAAAAGAACGAUGACAAAUUGAAAAGAUUAAAAAUCAUAGGGGGUGUAAUUGAAAAACAUUUGUAAUUUGAUAAAUUAUUUAUAGAUUAAAAAAUGAUAAAGGGUGAAAUUAAAAAAAAAACUAUAGAGGGCUAACCCAAUAGAAUCAAUCCACAAAAAAAAGGAUAAAAAUAAGAAAACAUCAACUUUAAAAAAAAGAAAAAAAAAACCUACAAACCCGAGUAAAUCUUCUAAACUUGAUCUAAUCUCUAAAACCAAAUGAAAAAGAUAAGACGAGAAGCCCAAGCUCGACGAUAGGGGGCAUAACGAAUCAUUUUACAAGUCAAUCCUAAGGUCUAGAAACACAUGGAUGGACCAAAAGGAGGUCUGCUAGCAAGCACUAGUGAUCCUUUCAUACAAUAAGGAAUAUAAUAUGUAUUGAUCUUUACUUCGUUCAAGAACUUUCUUCUAUCUUGGGUACUCCAAUGAGCUGUCUCAACUACGGCAACAUUCGUUUAGAGAUAGUCUUAUAUUUUUUCCGAUCUUGAAAUGGUCAAGGGAUAUAUAGCUGGAAGCAAAUAUUUGACUGAAAGUGAUUCAAAACCACUUAUCAUCUUUCGUGCAUAAAUUGUACUAACUUCAUUCUCUCUUUAUUCAAUGCCAUUUAUCGACCAAUUAAUCGUCCACAGCAGAAAAACCGAACGAUGAACGGGCCACAUAGAUAAUAUUUAUUAUAAAAAAAAAUGAAUGUUGAUCCAUCACUCACUGAAAAGGGCCACAUAGAUAAUAUCUUGGAGAUGGUUGCUAAGUAGCAUUUCUAUCCCAAAACCCUAAGACCAAUUCGACAGAAAAGAAAUUGAAAUUGCUUUGGAAAAACAUUAAUUGUUGAUAAUAUAUCGUCAGUUCAAACUAUGGAUAUUUUUCUUGCUGAAGUUGUUGACUAACAAAUCAUGGGAAUUCAGAGAAUUCAACAAUUAAUUAUAUGUCGAAUAAGUUUAUACAUCAAUAAAUAAUAAAUACAGAUUGAAACACAACAUCACGCAACAAGCUAGCUGGCUUACCAUAAGAUCACUGCUGAGUUCUCUAUAAAUACUUGCCACCCCUGUCACUACAAAUACAUAAAACCUUCUUUAACCUAAUUAUUUCAUAGCAUUAGUUUUCACUAGCCAUGGAAAUCUUCACAAAGCAACUCACCCCUAUUGAUUUUGGGAGAGGAUUGGAGCUACCACCCCGUUCUAACCUAGAACCCCUGCAACAUCUUCAAGGGACCAUAGAAUUGUCUACCAUAGUUGAGUCAGCUGCAGGAACCCGUUUACCGGAACCAGUGACAAUUCACUGCUCAACCAUAAGAGGAAGCCUUGUAUUUAAAACAGGUUGGUUUGGCAUUGCUCGCGAUUUUGCCCUCAAAAGUGGAGAUACUGUGACUUUCUAUCAGGAGGUUAACGGAGGAGCGCAGUUCAAAUUGAGAGUGAGAAAUGUUUGUUAAAGUAAAGAAGAAAUGUGAUGGAAACAGUGUCUUCCAUACAUGCAUGAACGUCCGAGUGCACGUCCUUCUGUUUCUUCUUUGUUCUGUCUCCUGCAAUCUUCGUGUCUAGUUUCUGUCCGGUGUCAGCAGUUGAGAAAACUUUUCUCAAAAUUAUCUCCUGCAAUCUUCGUGUCUGGUUUCCUCAAUUCCUUGCAUGUGUUAGGAAAUUAUGAAUAAUUAGUUUCUUCUUUAGAUGAAAGAGUUUGUCUGUGAUUGUAAUGUGUUUUGAGCUUUAAUUUUGUGAUUUUUGGUAACAAAA
RNAcentral lists this long non-coding RNA (113032 nucleotides) under Populus trichocarpa (black cottonwood). RNAcentral's name for it is "long non-coding RNA (PTRI_LNC004386)". The record is from RNAcentral. Lineage: Eukaryota; Viridiplantae; Streptophyta; Magnoliopsida; Malpighiales; Salicaceae.